AACAUAACAUCCUUAUUAAACCACUAGCUAGAAUAAGAACUCAGCGUACGUACUCGCUAGACAUGCAAGAUUCUACUUACACACAAGUACCCACUAGAGAGACUGAAAACCUUUUUCCCAUAACCUCAUUACUCAGUCUUUUCUACUGGGGUUUCUGUUUCAACCUCCUCCACUGCUUCAACAGGUUUCUCUUCUCCCUUGACUUCUUCUUCUUCCUUUGGAGCUUCGACUGCAACUUCUGGUUCUGGUGCCUGUGUCUCACCAGACUCGGUAGCCUCUUUAGCUUCUUCAACAACCUGCUCUGCAGGUACUUCCUCUGGAGACUCCUCUUUUGUCUCCUCAACAACCGGCUCUGGUGUUUCCUUAGGUGUCUCCUCCUCUGUUUUCUCUACCACUGUUGGCUCUUCUGCAAGAAUCUUGGUCUCUUCUACCACCUCUUUAGUCUCAACUUCAGCUGGGGCCUCGGGGACUGGUGCCACGGCCUCUUCAGAUGCUGCAGGUGUCUCUACUUCUUCUUUUGGCUCUUCAGCUACUGCCUCUGGUGCUGCAGCGACUGCUUCUUCUGUGGCGGUCUCAAUCUUGAUUGGUUGUUCAGUUUUUUCCUCUGCAAGUGCACUCUGCGCUGACACAACCUGCAGGAUAACCAGAUGAUCAAAGAAUGUUCACCAAAAUGCCGAUGCUAUCUAUUUUUCAAGAACUGUUACUUGAAGUGUCACAGUGAUAAGGAAAAAUGUUCACCAAAAUGCUGACGGGGUUUUACCUUUUGUUAUAUAUAUAUAUAUAUAUAUAUAUAUAUAUAUAGAGAGAGAGAGAGAGAGAGAGAGAGAGAUGAGGAUUAUGAGUUUUCAAAUAUGAUUAUCCAAGAAGUAAAGAUCAUAAAAUUGAUCAAGAUUUUUCAAAUUUUAACACUUGAUAUGUAUCAAAUGACUAAGAAGAAGCAUCUGUUAAAUAAGUUUCUCAACAGGGACAUUAAUUGAUUAAUAGUGAAUGAGUUACCUCGACAGUGGCCAUUGGAACUGAAAGGAAAAUAAAGCAAAUGGGAUACAAAGAAAACUGUAAGAAGCAAAAUAGAAAGGAGUGAUUAUCACACAAGAAGACGAGGAAAGAUUGCUUUGAGUGUUUGAUGCAAAGUGAUCAAUGAGAGUGGGUUUAUAUAGAGAUGUAAGGGUUAGUAUAAUAUGUUUUGUAGGCCAUCAAUCCAUGAUAUUAUUAUAUUCAUGUAAAUAUAUAUUUAUUAUUAAUAAAGACUUAAUUUUUUUAAUAUUUAUAUAAUAUUAUAUUAAUGAAUCUAAUAUUUAAUUUAUGAAUUUAGAGUAAAAAUAAAGUUCAUGAGAUAAAAAUAUUUUCCAAAAAAAAUUAUAAAGUUGUUAUAAUUCUAGGAUUUAUAUUGCAUCAAAGCAUUGUUCUUAAAAUGUUCUUGGUCGAUACUUUUUUAAAUACUGAAUAAUAUUAGAGUUGUAGAAACUCAUACGUAUUAUGUUCUUUCCUUUAUGAAAUGAAGAAGUUGAUCUCAAAAGUUUAGGUAUAAGGAAUACCUAGAACUAAUAUGUAGGUGUUUGUCAUAAGAUAUGUACAUUGAACUGACCCGCAUGAGAAUUCCAAAUGAAGAGAUCAUAUAUGUCUAUUGAAAGGCUCACGUAACGGUUAUGUAAGUGAUCCUUAGACUUGAGAUCACUAGGUUAUCUUAUAUAGAGAAUAUUAUGCUUUAAUCAUGUUGUAUGUUAUCUUAAUUGAGGUAACGAAGGAGCGAACAUUGGGUAUAUCAUGAACUAUAUAAAGGUAUUUGAGUGAUCAAAAGAGGAUGCAUCACUCUAUGUGAAUUAAGAAAAAUAUUUCAUCUGUUCCCAAAUAGUAUUGACUGAGAAAUCUUUGGUCAGAAUGGAAUGAGAUUUGAAAAGAGUUUCAAAUCUUAUUCAAACGAUCAAUAACUAUUAUAUGGAGAACAAACAUUAUUUAAGAAGGCAAACAUACUCCAUGCUUUAAUGUUAAAUCGAGAUAUUAUUGAUGAAAUGAUAUUGAUUACACUAAGAAACCAGUCACUAAAAGUUUAAGUCAAACCACUAAUAUCUUUUUCAAUAUUUGAGGGAUCAUGAUAUGUUGCUAGACGAUGCACCUAAUCUUCAAAUACAAUUUAAUCAAUUGUUCAAUUGAUAAUAAAUUAAAUUGUUUAAUUUCUUUAAUUCUAUUUAAUUAUAAUUAUAAUUUAUAUUUGGGCCAACAAAUAUAAGGACUAGAAUGUAAUUUACACAUGGAUUACAUUUAUAGACCUAGAAAAAUCAAAUAAGAACUUGAUUGAGUUAAUUUAUAAAAUUAUCAUGAAUUAAUAUAUGUAUAUUAUUCAAGGGGCAAAUUGGUAUUUUUUUAAUUUAUAGGGUUUUUCAGAUUUUCCUAUAAAUAUUAAUUUACGUCUCUUAUUUUUUAUUGGUUGUUUGUUAGACAGAAAAAUUACAUAAGUCACAUAAUAGAAAACUAGCACUAUAGGCAUAACAAUCUCUCUCUUUUAACUAGGGAUUUAAGAGAUUUUUUAUUGGUGGUUCGUAUAGAUUAUUAUUGGAGCCCGAAUAAUUGGAUGACUUGUAGUUUGCAACAACUCAAUCUUUAAAGAAUUAUUUAAAGUAAAAAAAUCAAACUUUCAAGUAAUAUAUCCCUGUAUAAUUUUAUUUUAUAAUUUUCAAUACGUAUAUAAUACUCGGAACCAAAAGUAACCGACCUCACGCUCAAUCAAUUGAGUGAGGGAGCUACUUUGAGGAAUCGUGGGAUAUGACACCUCAGCCUCACUGAAUUCAACGGGGAUUAGCAUGUUUGGUAAUGAUGUUUAGGAAAUUUUCUGGAGAUGGGGUUUAAGUAUUUUUAAUGGCUAGUUGUUUGUAUGCUUUUGAUCGGGAAAAAGGGUAAAAUAAUGGAGGUCAGGUCAUCUUCAUGAAAGCCAUCAUCUUCUUUUGGUUUUGUGUGCUUGUGUGCUUAGCGCAGUCGGCCCCGUACGUGACCUGUUUUCCAUCCUCCACCUGCCAUUCGUCCUUAAGACUAUUUUAUUUUUAUUUCUUGGCAUCGACCUUGCCAAGCUGUUUACCCUAUGGUAAAUAUUGUCGCACCGCCCUCUCAACUUCAUGAUUGUAUGAAUUUUGUCUUCCUAACAUGGAGUUAAUUAGUCCCAUUAAACCUUCAUAAUUAUAAUAUAUGAUGAUGCAUCUCACAAUAAUUUCUUGACAUUUUUGUUUCCUGUGGAGGCUGGUAAUUCACCCGUGAACGUACAAUGUAUUUGGGAAGCACCAUUGAUUUAUAUGUAGACUUGAGAAAAUAGAUGUUUAAUUUAUAAGAUUAUAUAAAGAUAUUUAGUUUAUAUUUUAUAGUAUUAUCCAUAAUAAUAUAAACCAAGGUGAAAUGUAUCAUAUGCUCUUUGUGUUAAUGUCUCACAUCAACCCGAGUUCGUCCUAUUUAAUUAUGCUAAAUCAAUUUUAUAAAAUCACCAUUUUGAUCAUUUUUUUUUAAUCUUUAUCCUCCAGGAUUUUUUUUUCUUCAAAAAAUAAAAUCAUUUUAAACAAGUUUUAUCCAAUCAAUCAUUUAUAUUCUGAUUUUUUUUUGGAUUUUUAUCAUGUAGAAUGACUUUUAUUUUUUAUUUUUUUUAUAUGUAUUAUAUCUUGCGCUAACUAGUUUACGCACAUUAAAUUAGAUCUCUACACUCCAAACAAGGCUUAUAAAAUAAGACUUACACCAGUAAUAGCAAGCAUAGGGAGUUAAAAUGAAGCCUAUAUAAAAAGCAUGUAUUUUAGCCCAUAUCAAUUUUACCAAUUCAAUCAUUUAAAACCAACAUGGAUGGAAUUCUAAGAGUAUAAUUUCCUCAAAACACUUAAUUAUAUUGAAUGUGUUUGAAAUUAUUUUUAAAAAUGAAUUUGAAUUUUUUAAAAAAAUCCCUUAUAUAUUAAUAAAAAAAAUACUUGAAAUUCAAGGAUAUUUUUAUAAAAUCACACUAGCAGACUCUCAAAAUCAAAAAACCACCACCAUCACCGCCUCAAGUGAUGAAUUGACGUCAAAAGAAAUAUUUUUUUUAUUUUAACCUAUAAAAUUCUCAAUAAGCUAUAGACGUCAUUGUCUUUAUAUUAUGUCUAUAUUAUUAUUGUUGUUGUUUUGUUUUUUUUAGCCUUUUCUAGAAAAAGAAGUUCGGCCUAUGGGCCUGUGUCUUGUGGGAGUUGAAGGGUCGCCCAAAACCAAUGGUUAUAAUUUACGUAAAAGAAACGAAUAAAACUCUGACGUGGCACUUUAAAGUUGAUCUACUCUCUCUAGCGUUUCUAAAGCUUGUGGAUCCCACGAGAUGGAAAGCUGAGACAGAUUUUGACAUUAGUGAAGGAAGACUCGAUUAGCUGAGUUGGAGGAGCUCCUAGCUCUUGAUUACGUGUCAACAGUCUUUCUUUUCCUCUCUUUUUUUUUUUUUUUCCAAACUUGCUUGAAAACUUUUAUAAGCAAUACAAUAUUCAAAAUUAAAAUAUAGACAGACUUAGAAAUGAAGUAAAUUAUAUUAAAAUAAUAUUUUUUAUAAAAAAAUUUCAAAACUCAAUAAAAAACUAGUUAAAUCACCGUUCUAAACUUAUCUUAAAAGUGAAAGUUCAAAUUAUACCUGGAAUAAAGAUUCUGUUUGGAAGGUGGUUGCGGUUAUUUUUUAAAUAACUUUUCGUAUUAAAAUGUAUUAAAAUAAUAUUUUUUUAUUUUAAAAAAAUUAUUUUUUAAAUCAGCAUAUCAAAACGAUGAAAAAAAUAUAAAAAAAAUUAAUUUUUUUAAUAAUUUCGAAACUCAUUGUUAUUUAUUUAUUUAUUUAUUUAUCAAAAUUAAUGUUAACACCGUAAAAUCAUGAUGAUGAUGCUGCUGCUGCGAUGAAUAUAGAACAGUUAUCUCGUAGAUCCCCGAGUCAAUAAUAGUCCUAAUUGAAAACUUCGUACGGUGGCGGGCACCAAGUUAGAUGCAUUUGCAGCAGGGGAUGGCUGGUAUCCACCGUGUCGUUUCAUCCCCCGAAAAGGAUUGCCAGAACGGCAAAGAGUUCAACAAUUCUGUAAAGGUCUGCCUUUUAGGUCUAGGUUCAGGUUUUGGGCGGUGGGCUGGCCUACCAGACGUGGAGCCCACAUGGGUUCCGUGGUCCAGCCUGCCAAUCAGGCCGUGCCACGUGAAAUGCACGUCACCCACCACGUGGGAUGAUGCUGUUGCCAUGUCAUUAUUGGAUGGGACAGGGUCAUUUGGAUGCAAAAAGAGGUGGGCCCACUGGACGAAAUUAGGGAGCUGUUGGUAGACGAUGGACGGAGGAAGCUAGGCUUUUCGGAGGCAACAUCCAGAUUGUGGUAAUCUUUUGUAACUUUAGUUAAGAGAAAGUUUUGUGUUUUUUUUUUUUUUUUAAUAUAUUAAAAUAAUAUUUAAGCAAAGCUCAAUGUUCAUUACCAAUCGGUUAGGUCGAGUGGCAAUGACCUUUGUUGGCUCAUCUAGAAGGUAACUGAGUUCAACUCAGUCCAAUUUUACCUCAUGUAUUUCGCUUGUUGUUUUGGAGGUGAAAAUAGCAUACGCUGUUCACUGAGGUUUGCGUCUUCUAGUCUUUUGAUUGGCUUCCGUUAACAUUAUAGUUUUGAAACUCGGUCUAGCCUGGUAGGUCGAUUCGGGACCUGGCCGAUCCAGAGCUGAAAUCGGGCCGGGUUGAAGAAAAAACGGGGAAAGAAAAAACCCAGUGUGACUUGGCGGGUUAACCCGGCAAGACGCGGUUGCAAACCCGUUGACUUUUGUUUUUUUUUUUGUUUUUUUACUAAAACGACGUCAUUUUGAUUUUUUAAAAAAGAAAUGACCCGGCCGACCCGGUGACCCGGUCAAAACCCGGAACCUGGACCUUGGACCGGGCCGAGUCUUAAAACUAUGGUUAACAUAUUAUAAAUCAAAAAGCUAUGCUUUUGUAUAUAUAUAUAUAUAUAUAAUUAAUGUUUAGGUGUCAUAACGUAUUUUUUGACAUCGUGUAAAAAAUAUAAUUGUUAAUAAAAAAAUCAAUACUUAUAUAUAAUAAAAUAUAAUGAAGAUCAUAUACGUUAAUAAAAACAUGUGAGAUCUCAAGCUAAUUUUUAACGUGAUAGAAAAAUAAGACAAUGUUGAAUUGCAACAUUAAAACACCAUUUUCUUAAUCUUUGUAUAAUAAGUUUUCUAAGGAAAAGUGCAAAGAAAAAAAACUAAAAAACAAUUAUAAAAGAAUGAAGAUAAAAAUAAAAAAAAUGGUAUAAAUAAAUCAAUUGUAGAGUGAUAAAUAUUCCAAGUAUAAAGAAUAAAAAAUAAUAUUUUUUAUCCAAAAAACAUAUACAAAAAAAAUUACAAGAAAAUAAAGAUAAAAAGAUUGUGAUAGAAAUGCCAAGUAUAAAGAAGAAAGAACAUAAGAAAAACUUAUUUCUAGAAAAAUAAAAAAUUACAGAUUUGUCACCGACAUAGUAAAACAAUUGAUAAAAUUUAUAAUUAUGUCAUUUUUACAAUAAAAUAUUAUUUCCUUUUAGUAUAUGUAUAAUUAAGUUAUCAUUAAAUAUUCUUCGAAGAUAAUUAAAAAAACAGUAUAUAUCAUUAUACAACUAGAAGUAUUGAUGACCAUAUUAAAGUCAUUUCUAGCCAAUCAAACAAUAAAGAAAAAAAAAAUCAGUUUAAGUCCUGAUUAGGUGAUUCCUAAUUAUAGAGGAUGAAAUCAUAAAGAUGCUACGAGGAGUUAUGAUUUCUAAAAGAUUAUUACUAAAGAUCAAUCUACUUGUUUUUAGUGGGAUAAUCUAAAGAGUUAGAUAAGAAAAUGUAAAAAGUUUUUUAAUAUGCAUUUUACUCUAAUGCAUUAAUGGGUGGAGAUAGAUUUUUUAUACCUAGAAGGAAGGAUAAAAAUAUGAUAUGAAGGGUUUUUAAUAGGUGGAGAUGAUUUGAAAAAUUAAAAAGAAAUUAACAGAGUUAUUUGUAUCAGAUUUAAUAGGAUAAUGUAUAAUAAUUCAAUAUAUUAGUACAAGAUUCAGGAGUCGAGGAGUAUGUUGAAUUAUUUAAAGAACUUAAAUCUUUGAUGAAUGUUUUAAAUUCAUCACUAUCAAAAUCCUACUAUAUUUCUAAUUUUAUAAAUGGACUCAAAGAUGCCUAUGCUUAAGAUUCUUAAACCCAUAACUUGAUAUAGACUUUUGAUCAAGCUAAAUAGAAAGAAAAAUCCAACAAUGCUUUGGCCAAUAAUAAUAAAUUCAUACCAAGAACCAACUAUUCAUAUGGUUUGGGAAAAAUAACAAGUGAUUCCUACUCUAAACCUCUUAAUCAUUAAAAAAAAAACAAAGGUGUUAUAUAGCUCAAAACAAUAGCCUAAAACCUUACAUGAGCAAAGAAAAAGGUUGAGACAGUGUUUUAAAUAUAAGGAUAAGUAUAUACUGAGACAUCGAUGUAACAUGAGAGAUUGCAUAUGAUAAAAAGAUGAGAAAAAAAAAAUGAGGAAUUUGUAAAUGUAGCUGGAGGAUACAAUAAUAGAAUAAUAGUCGAGGAUGAUAAAAUCAAAGAAUAUGGAUUGUCCUUGAAUGCAUUGGUAGAUAGCUAUACAAAUAACACAAUCAUGAUCAAAUAUUCUUGUCAAGGAAGGAACAUUACCAUUCUAAUUGAUAAUAGUAGUACACAUGGUUUUAUUGAUACAUAAGUGAUUGAAGAAAUCAAGAAAAUCAUCUAAAGGACCACUAUAUUGGCAAUGAUAGUAGCUAAUUAAGGUAUUAUGAGAUGUGAUGCUUAUAGUUGUGAGUUCAAAUGGUCCAUGCAAAGUUAUGAAUUUCAAGCUGAUUCGAGGAUAUUGAAACUUGAUAAAUAUGGUAUGGUGCUUAGAGUAUAUUGAUUAAAGAUUUAUUCACAAAUUAUAUUUUAUUUUAUUAAAAGAAUCAUUAAAAAAAAUGGCAAAAUAAUUGGGCUAAAAAGAACUGUGGAAUAAGCAAGGUUGCAAGUAAUCACAACAACUAAUGCACAUAAGAGUUUAAAAGAAGACUUGUAGAUUUUGUUAGAUAUUGUUUUUUCCAUUUAAGCUUUUGAAGCACAAAAAAAGGAGUGUAGAAUAUAAUAAUAAAGUUAUUAUUAAAAGAAUACCAAUUUAUGUUUACAGAAUCAAAACAUCUUCCAACUGCCAUGAGCUUGGAUCAUAAAAUACUCAUGAUACUAGAAGCUAAAUCAGUCAAUAUUAGACCAUACAAAAUAUAUUUUAUGUAAAAAAAAAAGAUAGAGAAAUUGGUAAAGAAGAUGUUGCAUAAUGAAAUUAUUUAACACAACUACAACCUAUUUUCUUUUUUAAUAUUAUUGGUUAAGAAGAAAUGCUAUACUAGGAGAAGAGAACCUUUAAGACUCAUUAUAGGCACUAUGAGUUGAAGGUAAUUUUAUUUGGUUUCACUAAUAUAAUAACCAUGUUCAAGAUUUAUUAUUUGUAUUUUGGAUUUUGAUUUUAAUUUCUUUUAUCUUUCGUACUUUAGGUUGUUGUUUUAGUAAAUAUAGGGUUUUCUAAUCUAUUUAAAGAUUUUAUAAAUUUCUUGAAGAGACAACCAUUCUAUACUUAUUUUUAGAUAAUAAAAUUAUAAAUAUAAGGUUCACAAUUGCAUUCUUUUUAACUCAUUAAACUUGUAUGUUUUCUGUGUUAUUUUUGUCCUAAGAUGAACCUCUUAUAUAAACUGAUUUAAUAAAACCUCUUGGAAAAAAAUUGAGAGAAAUUGACAAGAACAUUGUACAUUUGUACCUUCAGGCUUCAAAGUUACACACAUAUACAAGAAUCUGUACUAUUCAACGUUCACUGGAAUUUUUGGAUUGAAGAGUUCAGUGGGUUCCUCUCACAAGCCCAUAACCUGACAGAUUGAAGUAUUGAAACAUUGGGUUCAUCACAUUACAUUUUUUUUUAAAAAAAGAAGAAGAUUGAAACAAUAUAAAUGGCCCAUGCAGGUUUCGAACCUGCGACCUUCGCGUUAUUAGCACGACGCUCUAACCAACUGAGCUAAUAGGCCAAUCCGAUGGGUAUCUUCUAAUUAACUGUACUGAAAAUAAGUGAAUAGGUUGGAUCUAAUCCAAUUCUGCAAGCAUAUCAUUUUAAAAAUCCAUCAACUCUGUGUCCCCAUUCUGUUUCUUCUUCUUCAUCUUUAGUUCAUACCUAAUUCAGAUAACAUGGCUAGAAAUUUGAUAUUCAGUAAGCAUCCCUCUUUUUAAAGAAAGUUAAAUGCCCUAACAGCAUCAGUGGUGAGUGCAGGCCAGUUCUUUGAAUGUUCUGCUUCGUCUACCUUGCUAAGAUGUCACAAUUAUAUAUCCAGCAGCUCCUAUACUGGAACAAGUGAUAGAUACGGCCAUGCUAGGCUAUCCUUCUAGCUUUUUGCCAAACCCUUGAAAUUAUUUGUUGUGGUUGGCAUAAUGGGUGGUCCAUAUAACGAUUGAUGAGUAUGUUGGCUCCAUUCGUUAACAUUAUGCCAUUAGAAAAGGGAACCCACUGGAAUCUUAAAUACUCCAAUAAAGAUCACAACUGUUGACGGGAUGUAUAUAAUGAUUCAAAUCCAAUAACAAUAAAGGGGUGAAGAAGAUUCAGGCAUCAUGUUUUUGACAAUGUUUAUAAAUUUGAAGCCUUUAAUCUUUGCCAGUUUUAAAGCCAGCGGUGUUUCUGUUGACGGUCAGUGCCUUGGAAAUUAAUUGUUCGUAGAUGGGUUUUAAUAUCAAACAAAGAACUCAAGAUCAGGCAUUCAACACAACGAAUAGACUGGUAUCUGCUAAGAAGGUGGAUAGAACACAAGUUUUUUCUGCUUUCUAUCCAUUAAUAACUGGAUCAGUGUCACCUAUUAAGGGUUUUUUUCGCCUUGGAUUCGAGGUAAAGUAGUGAUGAUAACUGGAAAAGCAGCGUUAAUUAAAGAUAUAGAACUGGUUAGGUGAAAAGCACAUGAAGAAAUCAAGAUUUUCGACAUUUACAGGCAAGCAAUUGUUUUCCACAUCACAAUUACAAUGCCAUAAAUUUCUCAACAUCAUUUUUACAAGCAUUUGGGGUCAUAAAGUUCCAAAUAUCAUAAAACAAAAUAAUUGCUUCCAUAUACAGCUAUGAGAACCAAGAAAAUGACAAGAGUACUCUAGUUGAAUAGAAAUAAAACUCUCAAGUUCACAUACAUAAAUCAAAUGACAUGUAUAAUCAAAAAAAUGGUUUUAAAUCAAAACAAAUGACAUAAUCCAGAUAUACCCUCUUCUCAUAAAUUAAUACACAACAAUGAAAUCCUGCCUUACAAAAACAGGACCAGCACACCUGCAAUAGCUAGAACCAAUUGACUCCAAAUACCUACACCAUUGAUCCUAUAAGAAGAAUUUGGGGGGGACUUUCCUGGGGCGCUCCCUGCUCCUGCUGAGUCGUCAGAUGUUGGGGAAUCUGCAGUAGGGCUAGUGUCAGGAGCUGGUGCUGGAGCUGGGGUUGGAGGUAUAUUAGUACCAAAGAUUGCCUCAGGAAGGAGGACUUUGUCAACUUGAUAGAUUGCAACAGGAUCAGUUGAAUGCACACUACUACUAACUUUAGUUUUAGACCAUCCUGAAUCAAGGUGCACGGUCCCAGAUGUAUCGGUGAAAUUCAAAGCAUAUCCUCCUGCACCAGCAAAUGUGCUGACAGGGCUCACUUGGCUAAGGUUCUUGAAAUCAGACAACGAGUAAUAAUGUGGCAAGGCAUGAAAAAGAAUGAGUUGCUUGAGCUGGUCUUGAGUUAGGUUUGACAAAGAAGCCUUCUUGAGAUUUUUGAAGGCAUCAUCUUUUGGUACGAAGAUGGUAAUGCCUUCAUCAGUGUUGUUGGCUUGGUUUUGAAAGGUGUCAAUGACUUUAGUGGACUCAAGGUAGUUAAGGAAGUUGUGGAAUGGGCCAGCAACAGAGAGUAAAUCAGUGAGGUUAACGUAAGGAGGUGAUGGUGCUGGUGCUGGGGAUGGAGUUGGGGUUGGUGCUGGAGGACUAGCUACUUUUUGAGCAUAUGCUAGUGGAGUGCACGAAAACAGCAGUGUGCUGCUAAGCACAAUAAUCAUAGAAAACUUCAUGGUUUAUCUUCUCUAAAUCCCUGCAAGAACCAAAUCCCAUCAUUGAUUAUAUCUCAAUUUAUGAGCACAAAUCUAUCGAUGGCAAACCAAUGCGAAUCCACAGCAUGAACAGAAAAACUAGCUAAUAAUUGGAGAAAUCAAACCCAGCAUUUCAGAAUCCAGGUGAGAUUCCCAAAUCCACAAAAUCCGACUAACCAAAUCUUUGUAAUGACCAUGGAAAGCCAUGGCUAUCACUACUUCAACAACAACAACAACAAAAAAAAAACAAGAUCCUUUUCAACUCAUCUAUAGAUAGUUUUAAAACAAUUACUAUAGCAAAACCAACCCUCUCUUCUAGGCACAAAUAAGAUAUUAAAUUAAUUGAGAAAGGUUGGAAGAGGAUCUAAUCUAAUGACAGAGAAAUGAAGCAAUGACUGAUGACAUAAAAAAUGCAAAUGCCAAUGCCGUAGAAAAGAAACAUCAUGCACAAAUCACAAGGAUGAAAUACCAUACCCAACUUGCUAAAUCCCCAGAAGAUCAAGUAUUCUUGCAAAAACCAAGAUCAAAACCCCAUUAAAAGUACAAUACAUCUUGUCCUUUUUAAGGUAAAAGAGAGAGAGAAACAGUGCAAUCUAUGUUGCUUUCCUUUCUCUUUCGUGACUGGAAGCUAGUAAAAGCAAGUCAAAACAAAUUCUGUUGGACAAAAAAGAAAACCACAGCCACCACACAAUGUAGUUCAACAUAAAGCAAAGAAACAGAUCUAGAUCAGCUCAUCCCAAUAGAAACAGACCCUUUAGCAUAUUUAACCCCCCCCAAAAAAAAAGGUUAAGAAGUACUGACCUGAGCAAGAAUUCAGAGAGAAAUUGUUUUGGUUUUGGCCAGGGAAUGCCAAAGUGCCAACGCUAAUGCUGCAACGCAAAAUGUAAUGUGUUGCACUAUAUAAAGAUGGAUUUUAACUAGAAAAGAGAUUAAAAAAAAAAAGGGGGUGGGGGCGGUAGCAGCUGGUGAUGGUUCAAGAGAUGAAUGUAAAGGUACAAAUCAGAAUACAUUUAAGUAAUUGUAGAAUGUACAUGGGCGUGAGGAGAGGAGGUGAGGCUGUCUAUUAUUCUUUAUUAGAUGUUGUUUUCACUUUCCAGACUUGGAUGGUUCUUUCUUACCGGGCAAAACAAAGCAUGCUUUCUUGGAAAUCUUUUCAAGGUAAGAAGAAAUAAAAAUGGGUGGCAUUUCUUAAUCAUGUAUCUGCUCAUUAUAUAUAUAUAUAUAUAUAUAUAUAUAUAUAAUUCUUGAGACACCCACCUUGCACUCUACCCUAACAUUAUCAUAAUCUCUCUCAAUUUAUCAUCUCAUGAUAAAUCAGCCUCCUAAAGGAUUUUGAUUUCAUAGAUGGGUUUGGUAAUGCACUGAUACUAAUUUUUCUUUAUUUCGGGAUGUAGUCAGAAAUAGUUUAUUGGCCGUCGUGAUUUUUUCUAAGCAUAAAAAAAAUUAAUAAAACAUGAGAUUAGAAAAAAUAUAUAUAUGAAUUUUUUAGCCAACACACAUUGUAAACCCUCGUGUAAACAUAAGAUCAAAAGUAAUAAAACUAGAAAAAAUAAAUAAAUAAAAAUAAAUAAAUAAAUAGUACAUGUGAUGUGUAAAGGGAAGGUAUGACAUCUAUAAAUAAAUUUAAAGGUAUUGAUGAAAUUAAAAUGAGGACUAGAAAAUUUAGUUUCAAAUUCAUAACGAUAGUAUAAACAGUAAUAGGUUUCAAUAGAUAGAAGAAUUAGAAAAAAUUAAAAUAAAUGUGUUUUGAAAGUGAUAAAAUAAUUCCAAAGAGUUAUAAUGAAAAUGAGGAAUUAAAUUUAAGAAAUAAUUACAUGAAAAAGUGUUGGUGUAAACCCCGGUUAAAAAUCAGUAAACUUACCGUGAAACAAUAAAAAAUCUGUAAACAAAAUAAAUUGUGAGAAGAAAAAAUAAAUAUAUUUUGAAAUAAUGAAAUGGUCCCAAGGAUUUAGUAAAAUGGUUAAUAUGACCUAUGUAAGGGUGGAAUAAGAGAAUUCAGAUUUUUGAUAAAAAAAUCAUAAACUAACUAGUUUUACGCUAUCAAGCAUAACUCUUCAUUUGACAGUCAGAUUAGACUGAAAUUUUACUUAAAGUCUCCUAACAUGUUUUUCUAUCCUGGGUUAAAUUUCAUGCCAAUCAAAGUUUGGUAAGGCCAUACAAAAUUAUCAGUGGCUGAGAGAAAAUCCAGAAAAAUAGCAUGUUAAUAAUAAAUAAGGGCAAAAAUGCAAUUGGCCAGACAAUUCCAGCUUCUUCUUCUUUUUAAAUGGUUAGUCAUUUUUGGAGGGGAGAGAGAGAGAUCUUUUUCUUCAUUUUUGUUCAAAUCAUCCUUGAAAAAUCACCAUAAAUGAGAGUUUUAGGGAGAAAAUGGAAGAAAAGAGGGAAAAGAAUGGAUCAUUGACAGAAAUUUAUGAGAAAAAGAGAGAAAUUUUUUGAUAGAGAGAGAAAGUAGAAGAUUAAAGAAGAAAAAAGGUAAUAGAAGCUUUGGACCAUGGAAAUUGUCAUUAAAUUGAAUUUGAAAGGGUAAAAAAGCUUUCCCUUACAUUUAUAUUCAAGUUUUAGUUGAUUUUGAUUAUGUGUUAAAUAAGUUUGAAAAAAGGGUUGGGGUUUGUUGAAUUAUGGAUGAAGAAAUGAUAUUUGUAUGAGAAAUAAGUUGUUAGAUUAUGCAAUAUAGUUGUUUAAGUGGAAAUCUUAAGAAAAAAAUUGAAAUAAACCAAUAGGUGUUUUGACCAUAAUUGGUUGGCCAUGGUAGAAGAAUUUAGAGAGGGAUUGUUGAUGUAAUUUUAGUGAAUUGGUGUGUGUUAAUGUGAUUGUAUAAGUUUAUGAGAUUAUAAUUAGGUAGAAAUCUUAAUGAUAAUUGUAAAUUUAAUGUUGUGUGAAUGUUUAGAAUGUGUAAAAUGAAAUUAUUGAAAAUUUAGUAUGGUGAAUUGUUACUUAAAUGAUGGUAUAAUACAUUUGGUGUUAAAAAGAUUAACAUGAUGAAGUAAUAAUUUGAGAGGAUGGGAAGAGUUAUACGUUUUGGGUUAAAUUGUUAAUAAAAGUUUUCUUUAUGAAACUUGAGAAAUAUUGGUUCCUUGAUUAAAUCAAAAUGUUGUGAUGUUGUGUAAUGGUAGGAUUUUGAAUAAGAUAAGUUUGAGAUUAUUAUAUAAAUUAAAGGGUUCAAGCAAUUAAAGGUAUGUUGCAAUAUGAUGAGAUAUAUUAGAAUGAGAUUGAAUAAAUGUUAAGGAAUUGUGAGUGGAUGAGGUAUCAUUAAAAUAAUAUGUAUGAAUAUUAAGAAUAUUCAUGAGUGUAAGUUAAAAUAAACUUAUUGAGAAGGUUGAACUAUUGUAAAUACGUUAUGAAUGAUUGAGAAAUUGUGUAAUAGAAAUUGUAUUGAAGAAAUUGAAAUCACUUGUAAAGGUUCAACCAUUAGUGAUCAACCAUGUGAGAUUUAGUUGGAAGUCGUGUGUUUGAUUUGGACUAUAAAUGCUAUGAUUAUAAAUUGUAUAUUAGGAUUUAGUUAUGAUCAUUUGAGUUAAGAUAUGAGGAAUAAAUUUUUAUCGGUGUGUAGAAGGGAGAAUAAUAACAUUGCAUAUAAGGUGUUUGAUAAAAUGUAUGAAAGAGAUGAAUAAGCUAGUGCUUAAGGUGUGGAUAAAACGACAUCAAGGGUGUUAAAAUUAAAUAAAUGGAUAGUUAUGUAUGUGUUUGGCCAAGCAGAAUGCCGAAAUUGUAUAGUUGAAUUUUAAGUAAAUGGAUGUUAAUAGGUGUGUAAAGUAGAUAUAAAUAAAAGUAGUGUAUCUAAUAAAUCAUUUUUUAGAAUGAUACGAUGAAUUAUUUUGUACCGACUUAGGAGAGACUCUAGAAAACUUACCAUGGAUCGGAAAAACAGGACCUACGUGUGAAUCAGGUAAGUGUCUUACAUCUUGACAAUUUCAUUUGUAUCAUUUAGAUAUUUUUUUAAACUACAGUUUCUUUAAAGAUGUAACUCAUGAAUAUUCAAUGAAAUAUUAAAAAGAAGGAAAAAAAUGUUAAUUUAAUUUAGUUACCUAAGGUAAUUCAGAAGCUAAUGAUAUCAAUGUGAUACAUUGAUACUAGUAUUUACUUAGAUGAAAGCAUAUUGGUUAAGGAUUUGAUUAGUCAUUUCUAUAAUGAAGACUAAUAAUGCCAAUGAAGUUUCAUUGACGUUGGCAUUAACGUGAUGACAUUAAAGUGUUGAAAAUGAACUUGAUUAGCUUUCCUGAUUCAGAAAGCUAAUGAUAUCAAUGAAUUGUAUUGGUAUCAACAUCUCUUAAACUUGAUUAGUCAUUCUCAGUUUGGGAGACUAAUGAUACCAAUAGAUUGUAUUGGUAUCGACAUCUCUUAAAUUUGAUUUGUCGUUCUUGGUUUAGAAUACUAAUGAUACCAAUGGAUUGUAUUGGUAUCAGCGUCUUUUAAAUUUAAUUAGUCAUUUCUGGUUUGGAAGGCUAAUGAUAUCAAUAGAUUAUAUUGGUAUCGACAUCUCUUAAACUUGAUUAGUCGUUCCCGUUUUGAGAGACUAAUGAUACCAAUGAUUGUAUUGGUAUCAAAAACUCUUAAACCUGAUUAGUCGUUCCUGAUUUGAGAGACUGAUGAUAUUAAUGAAUUGUAUUGGUAUCGAUAUCUCUUAAAUUUGAUUAGUUGUUCCUGAUUUGGGGAGCUAAUGAUACCAAUAAAGUUCAUUGGUAUCAGUAUAAACAUGAAAGGAAUAUAUAAAAAAAGGAUUUAAUUAGCUAUUCCUGAAAAAGAAAAUUAGAAGGAUAAUAAUGUCAAUAGGUUUGUUGGCACCGACAUGUACUAGAAAAUUUGAUUAGAUAUCUGAUGGAAUAGAAGCGAAUGAUACUAAAGGAAUUGGUGUCAGCAUACCAUUAAUUAGCCACACUUGAGGUGAUGGCUAAUGAUAUCAAUUUAGGAAUUGAUGUCGACAUCGAUCAAUUGACCAAGUUUAUAGGUGACAGAUGAUAAUAUUAUGUUAGAUGUUGAAAAUUCAUAUAAAAGACAAAGGAAUAAUAAGUAAAUGAGAUAAAAAGAUUUUACUUAUCAGCACGAGAUAAAGGAAAGAGAACUUAGCUAUAUUUAUCUGAUGUAAUAUUUUUAGUGAAAUUAUUUCAUUUGUUUAUCAACACUUUAUAAUGUGUUAUAUAAUUAUUUGUAUUUGAUAUUGGAUGGUUUGAAGUUAUUGAAAUAUAGUUGAUGUAGAGCAUGAUCUAGGAUCACUGGAUUAAGGGAUUGAGACUAUGAGUACAAGUAAAACAGGUUUAAGUCGAUAAUUUAAGAAUGAUCCACUUUAAAGAGAAACUUUGUGGAAAUCUCUGUAGAGAUAAUAAUGACCUUAAAAGAUUUUGUUUAUGGUAUCAUGAAUUGAGGUUGUUAUGUCUGAACUAGAUUUAAAGGUUGGGGUUGUUGUUGCAAUUAUGGCUAAUAGACCUUGGAUAUCAUAAGAUACCAUUUAUAUGAAAUUUAUUGUGUAUAAAGGAUAUUAAGACAAGUGUUAUUAAGAAAGGAGAUAAACUGAUGAAGACUUACAAAUGUAUUUUUGACUAUCAAUUUUAAAAAAGAGAUAAAAGGUGAAAAAGAAUGUGCUAAUUCAUAAUAUGAUUAUUGUUAGUACAUUAUUGAAAAUCUUAAAUUUGAAUGAAUUCUUAGGAUCAUAAUAUCCUCGAUCAUUAACAUGUUUGUGGAGCGUUUAAAUAAAGAAAGAGAAGAGAUAUGCAAAUGUGUGUGAGAAGAUCACGAGUGUACAUAGAGAUAAUAUGGUAGUGAGUUGAAUAAGUAUUCCUUGUUAAGUGAAAGGAAAUGUUAGAGGUAUUGGUUAUGAAUACAAGUGGUUUAUAAUUCAUAUUAUUUAUGUGUUACAAGCAUGGUUGUGAAAGGUUGAAAUAACAAUGUGUAAUUCAGAGUAAUUGGACUAUGAAAAAAAAUUAAUGCUAUAGUUAGAAAAAGAAAAAGAAAUAAAGAUGUCAUUAUCCAAAGUAUUUGUUUUACAAAAAAGACAAAAAGGAUAUUGCGUAUUGUUUUAGAUAAAUGUAUGUUUCAUGAAUAAAAUGCAUAAUUUUUUAUAUUAAAAUGAUUAAUUUUAUAUAUGUAUAUUUCAGGUCCAUCACAUUUGUCAUUACAGUAAAAGUAUGGUAGUUAGGUUUUUAUAGCCAUCUUAAGUAGAGUUUUGUUGUUUUUAUGUUAUGUAAUUAAUUGAAAUGUAUGUGUAUUUUUUUGGAGUUUUUAUCUAGUGAAAUAUUAAAUUACUAGUUAAGUUGGAUUUUCUUUAUACAUGUAUGUUAUAAUGAUAUAAGGACCUCAUAGAAACAUAUAUAUAUAUAUAUAUAUAUAUAUAUAUAUAUAUAUAUAUAUAUAUAUAUAUGACAAUUAAUGAUGGAUUAAGAGUAUGCCUGGGGCUAUUUAGGUACCGGUUGUUAAAUGUGAUAUUUAUGAGGGAUUAUAUAGGAAUUUGACAGGCUAAAGUUAUGGAUAAGAGUUCUGUGUGUGUGUGUAAAGGACAUUAUAGUGAUGUAGACAAUGAAUGAUGGAUUAAGGGUAUGUCUGGGGCUACCUAGGUACUAGUUGUUGAAUGUGAUAUUUAUGUGAGAUUAUACAGUAAUUUGACAUGAUGAGGUUAUGGAUAAGAGUUUUGUAUAAAUAAAACACUGCUAAAAUUUUAUAAAAAUGAACUAAGUAGAGACAUAUAAAUACUAUGUUAAUGUAAUGUAGGAGAUAUGAGUAUUUUGAUUUUUUUAAAAAAAUUACUCAAAUUCUUACGUGAUUAUUUAAAAUGAGAAUAAAUGCAGCCAAAAGUUCAGCAUGUUAUAUAUAUAUAUAUAUAUAUAUAUAUAUAUAUAUAUAUAUCAUUAAUGAAUUGGAAUAAAUAUCAUUUACAGAUCAUUAAUAAGAAACAAAUAUCCCUUACAGAUCAUUAAUGAACAUUAAUGAGACCUUGAGAGAUAUUCUAUACAACUACAGGUUUGAGAGAUGAUUAUUCCUGACAUGAAUAGAUCAUAUUAAUAAUUUAAAGAUAGAACCAUAUAAUCAUAACAUAGAUCUACAAGACUUAUUGGGUCUGACGUAUAGACUAACUUAAAAGAGAUAAGUCUGGCAAUUCAUCAGACCUAUGAUACCCUGGGCUCAACUCAUGAUUGAACCCAAAUAUACUGGGUCUGACAACUUACCAGACCUAUAGUACCUUGGGCUUAGCUCAUGGUUGAUCCCAAGUAUGUUGAGUCUAGCAUCUUGCUAGACCCACGGUGCCUUAAGCUCAAUACAUGGCCGAAUCCAAGUAUAUUAUGUUUAGUAACUCGUUAGGCCCAUGGUGACUUAAGUUCAGCUCAUGGAUGAACUCAAGUAUACUAGAUUUGACAACUCACCGAACCCAUGAAGACUUGAGCUCAGCUCACAGCCAAACUCAAGUAUAUUAGGUCUGAUAAUUUACUAGACCCAUAACACCUUAGGCCCAUCUUAUGACUAAAAUCAAAUACAUCGGGGUUGAUAGAUUGUUAAACUAACAUUUAAUUAGGUUAUCAUCCUAUAAUAGAUUUGGAUUAUUUCAAAGCAUAAAAUAAUAUUGGAUAAAAAUAUAUUUACUCAUUAUAAAGCCAAGAUGAAAUUAAUAGAUUCAUCUAACUUUUGGAAAAAAAAAAGAAAAGGGAAUCCAUUAUUUUAAUUUUCUAUGUUAUUGUGAUUAAAAUUUAGUUAUUUUUUCUUCUUAAAAACACAUUUUAAAGCCACAAUCUCCCAAAACCAAUCAAAGUAUAAUUACUGUAUUUUUCAAUGCUUAGAAUAAAUCCUUCAAUUUCAUUUGACUACAAGACUCGGGUCCCACUUAAAUUGUUGAUUCUCAUGAGUCAUGACCAUGUUGAAUUUUGGUUUCAAGUAACACAAUAAAAAAAUUAAAGAAUCAUUUUAUUUCUAUUUAUAAAAUUAUCAGUUUUGGUUUGGUUUAAAAAUCAAUUUAAGUGUAGAUUCUCGAAGAAAAGAACAUUGAAUUACAUCUCAUCAAAUUGGUCAAAAAUAAGAACAAAGCAAAUUAGGAAAACCCAAGAUAUGGAAACGAAAGUGAGAGAGUUUUUUGGAAUCAAAAUAUCGUAGGGCAUGGCUUUGGUGUGAAAUAAUGGAGGGUGAGGGUGGUGCCGUGGUGGUCAAGAGUGAGGGCCCGCCAUGAUUUUUGGGCCAACCAGCAUUUCGCUGUCCCAGCCCCUAAAUUCCACCCUUGACCCUCAAAAUUCAAGGAUCUCAUUUUUUACGAGGGAAACGUCAUCGUUUCUUCGAUAUUUUCCACCGACACUUAUUUGUGCUUAGUGUACAAGUUGACCAAAAUGAAACGAAGGAAUUAACUCAAAUAUUAUUAAUAUGUUCAUCACAUGAAAUUCAUCUUUCAUAUAACCAAACCUCACAUUGUUUUUCUUUAGAGAUUUUCUUUUCCAUUUCGUAAAUAAUAAUUCCGUAAUAUAAAAAAAAAUGUUAUUUAUAGAAGAACAUAAAUAUAACUAUCAAAAUAAAUAAUAACAGUUAGUUGAUUAACAGAUUUAAAAUUUUGGGUCUCAAAAGCGUUUUAAAAAAAGAUUAAUUUUUUUUUUAUUUUUUCUUUGCUUCAAAUUAAUAUUUUUUAAUAUUUUUAGAUUAUUUUAAUGUACUAAUAUCAAAAAUAAUUUUUUUAAAAAUAAAAAAUAUAUUAUUUUGAUAUUUUUAUGAGUGAAAAACCCUUUGAAAAACAAACGCAACCAUACUUCCAAACAUGCCAGCAAGUUCCAACUAUGAGUUGGGUUUUUAUUCUUAAAUGGUUUUUUUUUUUUUUUUGCAAUUCAAACUUGAGAAAUUAAACAAAUUAAUGAAGCAUCUCAAGUGAUGAUUUAUUAUGACCUGUAUCCUUAUUAAUAUUUAUUAAAGCACGAGGCAUGUGAAGUCAUGGGGAUUUGAGGACAUAUCGGGCAAGUUUAAUCUCCUAAUCAUAACUUAAUCAACAUUGACUUCGGGUUAGGAAGGUGGGAUUUGUCUUGUGAACGUAGAAGGAAAAAAAACCCAUAAAGAAGAUUAUUCUGUCUUGUGCUUGGUGAAGGUCUUGUGGCAAUAUCAAGACCGAUCGACCAAAUUAGUUGGUUAGACCUUGAUUUUCGCACAUGGGUUUUUUUUUUUUUUGUUUUUAAGAAAUCAUGGCAUUACAAUUAAACUAAUCAAUAUCAUUAUCAAGAGGGUUAGCGAGCUAAAUAUACAUUAUUCGGUGGAGGGUCUCUUCAUGUGUUCAUCAACUAAUCACGACCUUACAUAAUCUGAUUCCACCCAUCUAUACAGUUAAAUUCAAUUUCUCAGUUAACAACUUGUUUAAGAACUAAAUCUAACACUCGAAAGAGUAGCUUAAAAGUUACUUGCCAUUCCCAACAAGCUCUCUCUUUCUCCUGUGAGAAUAAUUAUUGCUAGCAAGAAGAAUGUUGGGGAAAAAGAAAAGAAAAGUCCAGGGCCAAGUUGGAUUCUUGACAAGCAGGGAAAGGCUAAUAUCAACCUGGAGCCAGGGUGGAGGUAGAGGUCAGAUGGGAGGUUACUUUCAACUGUGUAUAGCAGUUACGGUGGCCCUUUCAAGCUCAUAUGCUCCAUAUUUUGUUGUUGUUGACGAGUCUGGUGGCCCUUCUAGAGGUCGGUUUUGAUUCUGAAACUUGCAUGGUGAAAAAUAGUGUUAAUUUCAUUUCGUGAGGGAGUCAUAGAGUAUUAUUAUAUGUUGAUGUCGCCGAGGAAAGGAAAGAAAACAAUAUUGUAUAUUGAAUUGGGUUGGGUAGAUUCUACUUAUCAAAGAGCUCACUGAAGUCUCACAGCCCAAGACUGAUAGACCCAAAUAAGAGAUUACCAACCCCUAAAACAAAAUACCAGCCCACCUAAAAUCAUUACAUUUUGAAAUAUUAAUGUCUUAUUCCUUAAAUCGAGGAUUUUAAUGUCUUUUCAAGAAAACUCUUUUUUUUUUUUUGAAAAAUUAAUGUCAUUUAUUUCUUAAGCAUUUUAAGAAUAUUUUUCUUAAUCGAGGAUUCUAAUAAAUAAAGAAAAAGAAAAGAAUUGAGGAGGUUUACAAAAAUUAAAGCAAGUACAAUAUUCUAGCCAUGCCUGAAAGGAAUUUAAAUAGACACGUACAAUCAAAGCCAUCAUCUCCAUGACUAUAAAAUAUUCUCGUGACUCCUAAUUCAUAUAUAUAAACAUCGAGUAACCUGAGUUACACAACCUACUGCAGAAAUGGAGAAAAGGCAAGUACCUUAAAGACAUGCCAAGCUUUCAUUUAUUAAAAAGAAAAUUACCAUUUGCACUUUCUUCGUCUCUAUUGCUGUGAGAUAUCUGGCCACAGACAUGAUUGCAAGAGGUUAAUGGAACUAGAGACAACAAUUAAACAUGGCGUGAAGAUCAGGGAAGACAUGGAACUAGUAGUUUAAGAAUUAUAACUGGGUGAGACAGAUGUGUGAAAAGGUUGUUGGAAGAAUGAUCGAUCAUUCAAGUAGCAGCCCAUUCUUUUCGAAUGCCAAAGGUGUAGUUGAUCUCCAAGUAGCACUUGUUAUCAUCAUCAAAAAACUGAAAGAAACAGAGAUGGUUAGGACAAAUUAAAGGGAGAUGCCAUAUUGUGAUUUUGCAUCAGAGUACUGUUUACUAGCAGAUUAUUAAAAUGAAGAUCUCUUUCUUCUUUUUGAGAUUAUAUUCAAAGAAAAACCUCAAAAAGUUUAAAACUAACCUUCGACCUUGCAGAGUAUGAUCCUCUAGCAAACAUGCCCGAGGGUGUGGUCUCCUCUGGAUUAACAUGCGUGUAAGCCUCUGGCUGAGGACUGUAGGUUCCAAGCAUUUCUUUUGUGCUGUCCACUGAGUCAACAAAGACUGAUUAUAAGGGGGGAAACGUUCAAGUGUUUGGAGCACAGGUUUUGGCACGAGUCAGGAUGUAGAUAGCUCACCCUUGACGCCAGUUUUCCAAACAGUAUUGGUGUACUUGAGGCCAGACACAAUGUUAUUACUGACUUGGAAGGAGAAUUUCAAGCUAUGGGGACUGCCUUCUUUCAAUGUAAACCACAAGCCUUUGGGCUUCCCAUUCUCAGGAAUAGAAAGUACGAUGUCUGGUCUUCCAGGAGAGAGGAUCGAAAGAUUAAGAAAUUUCACAUCUGGUUCAAGCGUUUCUGCAAUAAUGAAAAGAAAAACAAGAUUAUUUAGAGGAUUAAAUAAAAAAAGAAAAGGAAAAGAAUUCUGUUCAAAAUUCUUCAUUAUCUUUGUUGGAACAUGAGCAACUCUAGCUAACAGAAUAUGGCACAAGAAUUCGAUCGGCAUACGCACAAGGAAAGGGAUUCAAAAUUCUCUGCAUGAACAUGUAACAUUAAUUAUAGAAAUGAAAGAAUUAACAGAAACCAAGAUAUAUUUAAAGAAUUUCAGAAGUUAGAAUCCAACAAACUCGCAUAAUUUUAGAUAAGGAAAAAGAAAAUAUGACGACAUGCAUGCACCUCCAAUGUUGUUCAAAUCCACACUCCCAAGAAGCUGCUCCUUCCAUUUCCUCAAGCUCUCAUCAUCCUGAACUUCCAAAAUCCAUGCACCAAUAUAUGAAAAAUGAAUUAACAAAUGCAUUUUCAUAACUAAAAAUGGAACAUGAAAUAAUAACAACAACAAAAGAACAAACCUUGUCUUUUUCAAGCUGUUCUUUGAGGGUGUACUGAGGACCCAGCUGAAGUUUGUUGGUUCCGUUCUCGUCAUCUUCCUCUUCGUGAUCAGUCGCAUACAUAGAGGUCUCACUCUCACUCAUCUGCCUUCCUAUCCUCACUCCACCAUCAUGAUCCUCGUCACGUGUUUCCAGAACUCCACUUUUCUCUCCUCCUUCCUUCUUCUUCUUCUUCUUGUCGUCAUCAAACCCCAUAUUUCUCAAACUUGAUGUAGCUCCAAUAGCCAAAGACAUCAACUUUAAGAUCUAUAACAAUGCACUACAAAUUUAUAAACUUUGAACCCAAAAAAGAAGAAGAAACGACGAUAGAAAGAUUACUGGUAAGAAUUUGUUAUAUCGAAGGAAGAAAGAAAAAAGACUGAAGAGAAUCCAAAAUGGGAGCAAAGUUAAUUUAUCACUUGACUUUUGCCGCGUCGAAGAAAAAGAGGCAAGAAAAGGCCAAAAGAUAUUUUUGUGCAGACUCCACCUAACGAGAGACAAAUAAAAGACCCACAAUCCACAAACAAAAGCUCAGCAAAGACAAAAAGAAAAAGAAAAGGAAUAACUAGGUUUGUCUUGUCUCCUGGCUUUUCUUGUCCUUCUUUUUUCUUUCGGUUCGGGUGGAUUGUUGUUGAAUCUCAAAACAAUUUGAGAUAGCUCGAGAGAGAGAGAGAGGCAAAAAAGAUUGGGAAUUCGAUUUGAGGUAGCUGAGAAAAGGUCAUGGGGUGAUCCGAAAUAUCAGAAAGAAGGUGAAAGUCACUAUAUUCUGUAAAGGGACAUGGUAGGUCGACGGAUUUUAAUGAAGCACAGUCUCAGCCUAGGAUUGAGGGUGAUCUUAACUGUCACUUUUGACUCUUUCUUUAAAUAUCUAUGCAAAUAAUCUAACAAGAAAAGAAAAACUUACUAGCAGUCAAUGGACCGUGAUUGGUGUCUUCUAGUUGUUUUCGUUAAUUAAUGAUGCCAUGCAUGCAUUUAUUAACUUCCAAUCCUCUUUUUUUUUUUUUUUCAAUGAUUCAAGAAAUUCUCAUGUCACUUUUACAUAUCAAAAUUAAGUUAAUCUUUCUAGUACAAUUAAAAAAAAACUCAUGACCUUCUCUCGCAUAGACUACCACAAAAUCAUAGUUAUCAAAUCCGGUUUGAGGUUGACACAACCAAGAAGCUGGGUCCCGGGUCACAAGGGUUGACCAGGGUCAACCUGAAAAUUUUUUUAAAAAAAAUUUAAGAUUUUAAUAUUUCAUAUGAAGAAAUUAAGAAACAAUCCAUGUGGAUAUAUACUAAAAAAUUAUUUCAAAAGGUUUUUUAUCCCACAUUAAAAAAAUAUUAUCUUAUCCUUUUAAGUUGAAAUAUUUAAAUCAAAAUUUUUUUUUAUUUCACGUUAAAAAAACACAAUGUUUUUCUUGUGAACAUAAAGUAAAUAUAUUAAUGGACUUCAAAUUUCACAUUGAAAAAAUAAAACUUCUUCUAGUAUUUAUAUAGUGAACUUUGAUAUGAGUUAGUAAACCCGGCCAGGCCCUGGGUUAUCCGGGUCCCGGGUCAACCUACCGGGCUAGGCCGGGUCUGAUAACUAUGCACAAAACAACAAACAAAUACAACAACAACAAAAAAACAAGCAUUGAAAAUCAAAAUAGAUUCAAGGGAAAAUUUACAUUUGUGGUCGAAACGCCACCAUUUUCUCUCUAAAUAAUCUUUCCUAUAAGUUUCUCUCUCUCCCUUCUUGCACUUUAUCUCUCUGCUCCUUUCUCUCUCCUCUCUUGCAUCAUAUGACCUUUCUCUGUCCUCACACCUCGGGGAGGAAUAUGAUUAGUGAUUGUGAGAUCUCUCUCGCCUAUCUACCUUCUUUUCUCUUUUUUAAGAUCUUUCGCGCUUAGUAUCAUCGUGCCUAGAUGAUUUAUGAUGGUUACGAUGGUGAGAUUCUUUGUCCAAUUGGUUUUUGUGGUGGUCACAAGUGAGUUUGAAGGAGCAAUCUAUUGUAAUCAAGGGUUUUAAAUUGUUAAUACUCUCUUAUCUCAUUCACUCUAUUUCUCAAUUUACAAAAAAGAAGACAAUGCAAAGAACUAAAAGAUUUUGUUACUCUCUUAAUCCCACUCACUUUAUUUCUCGAUUAGUAAAAAAGGUAAGCAAAAAUGGUGCAAGAAUUGAAGAGCAACUUCAGUGUUUAUAUGAAUAGUGAUUACCACCCUAGUUCUUUUAGUUGUUUAGCAAGAGACAGUGCAAAGAUAGUAUAAGAAUUGAGAAGUAGCUUCAUUGUUUAUAUGAGCAGUGAUUGUUACCAAAUUCUUUUAAUUGUUUAGUUAACUAGAGAUGAGGCUUUGUCACACGUUAAACUUGAAUAGAGAGGUUCACCAAAUAAUGAAAACAGGUUAGGUUUCUCAAUUGAACACUAUUAUGAUACUUAAAGUAAAUUCAUACUAGUAAAAGAUAAUCAUGAUUAUAUUUGAUGAUUAUUCAUCAUCAAUAAAUAAGCAGCAAAUCACCAUUCCAACUGUAGUUAAAAAUAAAUAAAAAACCCUUUUUAGUAAAAUCAUACAUAUUUGUUGUAUUUUCAAGAUAGUACUUUUAUAUUUUUCCUUUCAUGAAUCAUGGCUAGAAUUAUGUAAAGGUUUUCCUUAACAAAGCAAUGUAUAGAUUGAAAAAAAGAGUAUAAAAUAAAAAAAAAAAGAAAAAAGAGAUUGAGAAAAUGUAUUAUAGAAACUAAAUUUUUUAUUGUCUGCCUUUCACGUUUCUAUUACACUAUACAACGAAUUCCUUUCCUUUAACUGUUAUCCAACUAACUAACAUGUUAACUAACUAUAAACAGCUAAUUAACUUGACAUGUGUUAAUUCUUUACUAGCUAACUCUAACUGUUGUUGUUAAAAUGCAAUUACCAUUGCUACCAUAUCUGUUAUAUUGCUUGUUGUUAUUGCCUUCAUUCUUAUACUAAAAGCUUACUAUUGAUUUCUUCCAAAGCUAUUCAACAAGCUUUUGUAACAAUACACCUCCCUAUAAGAAUCUUGUUCUAAAAAAUAGUCAUAACAGAUUUUAACUCCACAUUUAAAAAAAGAUAAAAAAAAAUAAUACGGAGUAAAAUGACAAUCAGGUGAAGAAAUAGGGCCCAAAAUAAAAUAAAAACAAAUAGUUUGGGUCUCUCCUAAACAACUUAAAAAAGGAUCAAGAGAUAAAGGGAUAAAAUGAUUGGCAAGUAAAGAUACGAGAUCAAUAGAUAAAAGAUCAGGAUGAAAAUAAAAUAUUUGAUGAAUAGUCUAUAUAUAGAUACACAGUUUAGAAAUUUUUUUUCAUAAAAGCAUACAUAAAAAAAUUCAUGAGAGAUUAAAGUGCAAAGCAUAGGAAAAUUCAAGAGAAAACACAGUGCAAAAAAAAAAAACAGAGAAAAAAACACUUUUCAUCUUCUUCCCUAGAUAACAAACCAAACCUUAGCCACCCUCUCUCUCAUUAACUUUCAACCAAUCAUGACAGACCAGCCAUAACCUUCUCUUACUGGUUAGCCCCUCUCUUCAACCACCCUACUACCAAACACUUGAUCAUCAUCGACAAAUAAGCCCUAAUUCCUUUGAAAAAGGAAAGAAAACCACUCCAACAACCCUUAAAAUUCUUAGCCUCUACAACUAUCCAGUUGGAUUUUUCUUCUAUUUUUAUUCAGCUAAAUACUAAAGAUCAACCUCAAUCUCUCUUGUUAAGAAUGAUAAAGAAAAUCCUUUAUUUACAAACCAAAACCAAGCCACAACUGUCCUAAAUUUUAACCUAAAAUCACACCAAAAUCUAUCAUUUUCCUAAUAAAUUAUCCAUAAACAUGACUAAAAACUCAUCUAAUUUAUCUUAAAAAAGAAUCCCAAAAGUCACAACCUUAAUUUUCUUUUAAAAUCCCAACAUUUUUAUGGGUUUUUUGAAAGUCAAUAGUAGUGUGUGAGGAGCAUUCGCUAACACCAAACCUACAACUCAAACUAUAAGUGCAUGAGACGCACAUGUUGAUAUUGUUUAGCCUUAUUCUAGGUAGGUCAUUUUUUAUGGUUUUAGAAAGUCAAUUUUGAAUCCAAAAAUUAUUUUUUACUUUGUAUAAUUUUAAAAGUAGAACCUUGUAGCCAAACCUAGGUCUUAAACCACUUCUUUAAGAUUAAUAGCCUUUACCAAAUAUGCAUAUACUAGUUUAAACAAAUUUCAGCAUGAGCACAAUAGGUAUUUUUAUCAUUAUAAAACAAGAACAAUGUAGCUUGUAUUAGGUAGAAUGCUUUAGAGUGAUGUUUAUCUUACCUUUAGCAUAAUUAACUCCUUACCUAGAACUUUGAAGACUAGUUAAAGUUUCCUAGUUACCAUAAACUAGGUGGCGACUCCUAUCAUCUCAGCAAAAACAACAUUCAAACAUUUUAUAAACAUCCAUAUAACAUUAACAACCAACUCAAAACAACAUUAAAUAAAGAAAAACAAUAUUUUUAUGCAUUAAUCAAGAUACAAGCUUAACUCCACAAGACACCAAAACAAGUAUAAAAUGUCAUUAAAACAUUUAAGAAAGAGCUAGAGUUGUACCUCAUGGACAUCACCUAAUAGGUUAGAUGAGGUUUUUAUACCUUCAAAGAUUCAAAUAAUGACUGUUACCUUUUUUUGCUCUCUUUUGCAAAACUUUACCUUUAAAAAUUUCAAACCUUUCAAAGUUAAAAAAAAAACUCUUGUGCUAGGCUCAUGAACCUUCAUAACUAAGUUUCUUUCUUCUAAUUUUCUCUUCUGCUUUUUUCCCUUGUUUUUUCUAUUUUUCUCUCUCCUAAUUCUCCUAGGUAUUUAUAAGUUUUUACUAGGUUUUUUUAUGGAUUCAAUCAAAGAUUGAUCAUUAUUAAUCAAUACUUGUCCCUCUAAUCAAAAUGGGAGGGUUUUGGACAAAUCUUCAUAGCUAAAAGCUCUGUACUUGGCUAGUUUUGUAAUGGUGGUUUUGGUUUUUAAGAUUCUUAGUGGUUUUGCUAGAAUUAGAGGGCAAUGAGCUAUUUCUAGCAUUUUGAUCUUGAGAGAAAGGUUUUAAGCUCUUAAUAAGAACCUUAUAAAAAGCUUUGAAGUGUGAACACAUGAAAAAAAAGAGUGGUCUUUGCAUAAUGGGUAUCACAGUCAUCGAUGACUGGGUUACCCACUUUCGAAGCCUUGUCGGAGCAACCCUGAUGUCAUUAUUGUUUACUACCACUUGAAGUUGGUAGAGGGGGUGUACACCUUUUAUUUGGAUCUAACCUUGCUUGAUUUAACGGUUUGUAGCUUCACAUUCACUCAUUUGAAAGUGCCAACUCGAUCAACCUAGAAUAUAUCAAUGCAGUGAUGAUUGAUCAGGGAUAAGAUGUUGUUGAGUUCAUUGAAGAAAAUGGGAUGUAAAUGUUUGAUGGGAGUAGUUUUUCUUUAUAAAAAGGAUGUUUCUCAAUUAAAUGGUGGUAGCUGCAACUCCUGAGGUGGUCAAAGACGUCAUAUUCAUUCGUUUGAAGAUGCUUACUCGAUCAGUCAAAGCUGUAAAAAAAAAGAUACAUAAUGGUUGAACGACGCGUCAUUCAAUACCUUUAAUUAAAAAAACAGAUAGACAAUGGUUGAUCUAAGUGAUGCAUCGUCUAGGUUAAACUAUGAAAACUAGGGUUUUUAAUUUUGGAUUGGGCAAACUUCAAUUUAGUCCCUGUUUUUUCAAUUGCUUUAAAUUAUGCCUGUAAUUGCCUCCUAACUUUUAAUUUCAUGCAAUUCCACCCCUAUAAAACUCAAUUGUCAUUCCCAAAGUUCAACAUCUUUUCUGAUUUGGUCCUUUAUUCCUGAUUUAUACAAAUUGACCAUCAAACUUUCAAUUGUCUUCAAUUUAGCCCAUGAUUUUGCCGAUUUAAGUCUCUGAAGUCCCGCGCCUUUUAUGGUUUGGUCAUUGAUUUUGAAUUUAUUUGAUCAAUCCCUAAUUGCCUAUUAAACUUCAAUAUUUGUGCAAUUAAACUCAUGAUUCAACCAAAUUAGAAACCAACUUAUCAGACAAAACAAUGAAAGGUUCUGAAAGUCAUGAUAAAACUUCUUGGACUAAAAAAAUAUUGCAUAAUUUUUGUGACAUUUAUAUCAAAGCUAUUAAUAUUAGAAUAAGAUCAAAUAAUCAUUUUGAUAAAGUUGGUUGAAAAUUUGUUAUGACUACCUUCAAGGAAAAGACUGGUCAUGCUUUCACCAAUACAUAAUUGAAGAACAAAUAGGAUGGUAGAAAAAACAAUUAGAGGAUAUGGAAAAAAUUGAUUGUUGAAAUUGGUGUUGGUUGGAGUAGUGAAUUAGAAAUUAUUUCUAUAAGUGAUGAGUGGUGUAAAGCAAUCAACCAUUGUCCAUUAUUGCUAGCUUUUCUAGUAGCACCAAAACCCAUCUUCUUCUCCUCAUAGAUUAACCACUAAUCAAUUAAAAAGUCAUACCUGCCCACUAUCUUGUUUUCCCUCUUCUUUAACUCCAUAGCUCGCACCACCAAUAGUGGACAAUGAUCCCAUGUAGGCAUAUUUGUUAGUCUGGAUGCACACCAAUAAUCUAAAUGUUUUGAUGAUAAUAAAAUAUGUGAUUAAUGUUGUAUAACUCUAAUGAUAGCAUAAUAUGUGAUUGAUGUUGUUUAAUAUAUGUUUAUGUAAGAUUUUGAUGAUAAGAUAAUACAUGAAUGAUAUUGUUUAAUGUAUGUUCAUGUCUAUGUUUUAUAUCGAUGUCUUAAAUUAGCAUAAAAAAUGAUGUUUUGAUAAAUGACUUUAUUUGUUGCAUUGAUAUGUUGAAAAAAAUAUUAGUUAAGUAAUGUUUUGAUUUGAAUAAUGUUUUUAUAUGAAUAAGUGAAUAAUGAAAUAAUGGAUAUAUUGGUUGGUAUUAUUGAUUUCAUAUUGUGAAAUUUUUUUAAUAUAUGCAUAAGUUCUUGAAAUUAGCAUUAUAAAUUAUCUCAAGCACGGUGAAGCAGUCAAAUCAAAAGAGAAACAAUGAAAGAGCACAUAACGACUUAUCAUUUAUCAAAGAGUCAUGGUAUAAAUUUAUUAUCCUCUGAAUUAUUUGUGAUAUGUGCUUAUUGAAAAGAGGUAUAUAAUAUUUGACUCCGUAUUUUCUCAUGAUUAUCUUAAUUAUACUUUUAUGGAAUAAAUUAUUUGAAUUGGUUGAUCUUUUAUGUAAACCCUGGUGUGUGUGUGUGUGUGUGUGUGUGAGAUAAAAAAAAAAAAGGUCUCGAAAAUUGAGUAAAUUAAUUGAUAUGAUUUGUACAAGUAUGAAAUAUGAAAAUUUGAAUUUUUGACGAAAAAUCACAAACCGGCUAAUUUUACGUUGUAGCACGUAACUUUCAAUUUGGUCAUCAGAUUAAGUUGAAAUUUUGCUUGGAGUCUUAUAAAAUAUUAUUUUAACUUAGGUUAAAGUUUUAGAAUUUUUGGAGUAUGAUAAGAUUUUUUUUUCAGAUAAAAGAACAAAUAGCACAAAUGAGUCUAGAAAUUUCUUUAGGGACCAAAUUGAAAACUUGCCCAAAACAACCCUCUUUAUAAGCUGCCAACAAAGAAAAAAAAGGAAAAAGAGGGAGUGUGCAGCCAGCCAAGAGAAGAAAAUAUGAAAAAAGGGCUUUUGUCAUUUUUCAUGGAAAUUGCUUGGAAAAAAAAAGUGCAAGUUAGAAAGAGUGUUAAGUAAUUAAAGAGAGGGUUUAAUACAUUAAGGAGCAUACAAGGAGUUUAAAGAUUUUAAAUGUGCUUUUAGAGAAGAAAAAAUUGAGCUUAGAGGAAAGUGUGAAGGAGAAGUUGAUUCAACUUGUUUUGGUUUUGAUUCUUCAUUCCUUAAGGGUAAGAAAACUCUCUAUGAUGAUCCAUUGUGUUGUUUUUCAUGUUUGUUCUUGGAUUGAGUAGAAUUGAUAUUAUGUGAAUGUGGGUUCUUGAUGUUAGGGUGGUUUGAAUGCAUGAAUUUAUGUUGAUUAUAUGUUUGUUGAGUGAAUAAAUGUUUGGGCUUGUUAUUAAUUAGGUUAAUUUGUUAAAAAAAAAUAAGGAAGCAAAAGAAGAAGAGAAAAGAAGAUGGAGGGGGAUAAAGAGUGGUUUCCACCUUGGAUUUGCUAUUGAUCCCUUAUUAUGUUAUGAGUAAAUAUGAUCUUAUUAUGUUGAUUAGUGAAAUUUUAUAUAUUGAUGCUUAGUUAUUAUUAUGUAUGAUUAUGGAACUCUUAGAUAAAUAGAAAUUGUGGAUGUAAUUUGUGAAGUUGUGCUAGAGUAUUGUAUGUUGGCAUGAAAAAAUAAAAUAAAAUAAAUUAAAUAAAUGAGUUAAAGAUAAUUAAGUAAAAAGUUGAAGAAUUAUCAUGUCACCAUUUAUGCUUGAAGUUCCGGCAAGGGUAAAGAAUUUUGAGGGGUGGGUUGAAUUGAUGUAAUUGAAAAUUUUUCAUGACUUAAAUGGAUGAAUUGAGUUUGGAUGAUGGAUUAAAAUUUAGAGUAAAAGGGAAUUUAUCCUCCUCUUAGAAAUAUGAAUUUGGCCAUGGAAAAUAUAAGAAAUAAAAUUUCAAGCUUGAAGAAAUUAAUGAAUUGCAUUUAAAUAGUGAAAAUAAUAAUAAUGAAAUAAUGUGUUGAAUUAGGUGUAAAUGAAUUAAAUGUCCUAUAGUUAUUGGGAAAUUUUUAUAAUAAUAUAAGAUUCCCUUAUAAUUAUGAUGAAUUAAAAGUUUAAGUGGAUGUAACAUUGUAAAAAUUAUUUGUGGAAUUAUUAAAGAACAUGAAAAAAAAUAAUGAUAAUAAUUUCAGGUAUUAAAAUUGUAUUGAUCGAAAAUUUUACUAUGUGGAGAAGUUUUAAGUAAAUUAUUGGAUGAUGAAGUAUUAAAAUCAUGUGAUCUUUUAAAUAAAACAGGAGAGGUUAGAGGCUCCAAACAGCAACAAGGAGCUACUAGUCGAGCAUCACUAGUAGGUAGGUGUCCGACAUCUUGAAUUUUUGUUGAGUGAUUAAUUGAAAAACAUGUGUUAAUUUUAAUUAGAAAUUCUGUAAUUUAUGUUUUGAUGUUAACGGAUGAAUUAGCGCCCGGUAAUUAAGUAGGUGAACUAGCGCCUUGUAAUUGGGCGGGUGAACAUAUUUGGGUAGAUGAACUAAUACCCGGUAAUUAGGCAAAUGAACAUAUUUGGGCGGAUGAACUAGUGCGGUAUUUGGGCAGGUGAACUAAUGCCCGGUAUUUGAGCGGAUGAACUAAUGCCCAAUAUUUGAGCGGAUGAAUUAGUGCCCGAUAAUUGGACAAAUGAACUAGUGCAUGAUAUUUGAGCGAAUGGAUUAUUGUCCCUAGUGAGAGAGUAGUACCCUCGUGAAAUGGCUAAGAUUGGAGUUAAUUGGAUGAAUAUGGAGGUGUAAGAUAUUAAGAUUCAUAAUAAAGUAUAUAGGAGAAAUAUUUGUAUAUGGGUGUAGUGAAAUGAUACAUUGCAUUUAUUGAUAAUUAUGUUGAUAAAAUGUUAAUUUUAUUUUCAGGACCCUCAGUAGAAUAGAUCAUGCUUGAAUAUAUGAUACUUUUUUGUAUUUAUAUUGAUCAACAUGUAUUUUGAGAUUAAUGAAUGAUGUAAAAGAGGUUGAAUGAACCUUUUUAUUUGUGGAACAAAAUUGUUAUAUGUAAUUAAUGUAAAUGUCAUACUUAAAAAUAUUUUUGUAUUAUAUUAAGUAUUUGCAUUUUAUCAUAGUUGCUUAUAGGAUUAGAAAUGUUAGAAUGAUAAAAAGAAGAAGAAGAAGAAUUUACCUCAAUGUUUUAUAUUUAACUAAGAAAGUGUCCCAGAUAAAAUAAUAGGAGCGUUACAUUCAUAAUCUAAGUUUUUAUUGUUUUUCUUAGAAUCAAUUAAUUUUGCAAGUUAUGUAAACCUUAGAAUUAUUUAUGUAUUUUAUUUUUAUUGAUUGCAUUUUUAUUAUCGGACAACACAUGUCUAUUAUUUUUGUGAUGUAUUGAUUGGAAAAAAAGUUCAAGAUGAUAGGACCAUAAUUAUGAUAUGAAUUGUGUCAGGAAUAAAGAUGUUGAUAACUUGGUAUGGUCUCGUUACAGGAAAAAUUCUGUCAAAUUUUUGGAGAAAAAAAUUGCACCGAAUAAAUAAAUAUGUUUUUUUUUGUCGUCACAUUUUAUCUCUAAGAUAUCUUUUAAUAAUGAUAUAUACUUGAUAUAUGUUUUGUAGCAUUAUAUUUAUAUCAUGAUUGCAUUCAGUAGAAGGAGAAAUACAUAUGUUGUCAUGAUUAAGGUUAUUCAUGUGCAAGUUGAUAUAAUUAAUGAGUUGCAACUAAGUGAUUUAACAAUACUCUUGAAGAGUUGUACUUAAUUGAUUUUACACUCAAAAGUUAAGUUGUUUUAAACUUAAUGUUUAAAUUGCUUUAUACUUAAAAGUUAAGUUUUUUUAAAAGUCGAUAUUUAACUUGUUUUAUAUUCAAGAAUCAAAUUGUCUUAAACUAAAAAUUUAACUUGAUUUAUCCUAUAUGCUUAAAGUUUAUGAUAUCAUACUUGAAUCUUUAUGUUACUUAAUGAUUAGAUAAUCAUUUAUUUAUUUGAAUGCCUUUAUGCUUAAAUUUAUAUAUAAUAUACUUGUGUGAAACAUUUAUUAUUGCUUAAGUUAAACUAUAAUUAAAUAUGAAGUUAAGGAAUGCGUAAAAGCUAGAGUGUGUGUGUGUGUGUGUGUGUCCUUGUAUUUAUAUGUUGCACAAGCUUUGUGAUGAUAUAGACAGGCUUUAAAAGAAUGAAAUCAUUCAAGGAAAUCAUCAAAGAAGCAAGGCAUGGAUACAUGAAGUGUCAUGAUAACAAUUUUUUACUUCAAACAAAAAUCUUGAGACAAUAAUGACCUUCCAACUUCAAAGAUCAAGAUCUUGUAAAGAGGGUUUUGCCAAAUAACUUUUAAUUUAUUUAGAAAUUGGUUUCCAUACCAACAAACCUAACCAAACCCAAAAGAACACAAAAUAAGAACGAAAUUCUCAAAACAUGAGAAUUUUUCAAGUACCUAAAUCGGUCUAGCCAAUUUAAAAAAUAAGUUUUUAAGUUUGUCUCUAUUGAUAUUUGAGUUGAUCAUUAGGUUAUAUUUUGCUUUAAGUUGAGAAUAAUUUUUUAAUUGACAACCUAAUUUACCCUCCUCUUAAAUUCACCUAGACUUCCAAUAUUAAGUACGAGUAGUGGCUUUUGGGACUAUUUUAGAACAUAACCAGUAAAAGAUGGACCGAAACUCAAUUUAUCAUCUUGAUGUAAACUCGAAGGGUAGGAAUCCUAAAACCCAUAAUCAAGAUUGAUCACAGCCCAAAAAAGUUAAAAUCAAGUUGAAAAGAAUUUGAAUUCAACACAAGAUAACUCAAUAAAUUCAAUUUAUAUAUGAAAUUUUUCUAAGGCUCCUAAUUUCAACAAAACUGAUUUUAAUCAAUCUAAUUUUGUGAUUUGAUGUUCUUUUUUAUAUAUAAAUUUUAGCAGAAACUUAAUAACAUAUAACUUUUCUUAUAUAUAUAUAUAUAUUCAAAGAAAAUGCAACACUAAGCUAAACUAGAGAACAAACUGAAAUUCAAAACACAUAAAACUUGAUUUUGGUGUUAAGCUCUGAUACCAACUAAUGUAAACCCGGAGUGUAAGAACCCUAAAAUGUAUAAUCAAGAUUGAACACAACCUGAGAAAGCUAAAAUUAGAUUGGAAAAAAAAACAUGAUCUAAUGAUCAAUUGAACCAAUGAACCAUAGUUAUUGGAUGAAAACUCUAACUCAUUGAUUAUAACAAACCACGAACUGAAGUUAUAAGGAUGAACAUCAUAAAGAAGUAAUCUUUGAUAAGUUUUGAAGAAUUCAAUGGAAAACUAACAAUAUGAGUAACCUUACACACACAAUAUUAGUUUUGAAAUCAAAAUUACCCCAAAACCUAAAUACAAGUUAAAUAACCUUAUUUAUACUAGGUUAAACUUCCUAAACAAUACUGAAAAAAUAACAAAAGAGUUGUAAAUAAAAUAGAAAAAAAAAAACCUAAAUCAACUAGGAAAUACUGCAAAUCUUGAAUAUUAACUUCUGGGCUUAAUAGAAAAGCUUUUUGGAUGUCUAAUCCCUAUGAAAUUUUAAUUUUAUAGGAAACAAGAUCUUUAAAAUCUUCUAAAAAACUUUAAACUCGAUCCAAUUGUUAGAUAAAAGGUUAUGCCCAUUAACAUAAAAUUGCAUAUUAGAAAAAUAAGCCUAAUCUGCAUGCCUCAAGCCCAAGAACCAGCUUAUUUCUUUGCAUGAACUACAUUAAUUAAAGCAUGAUCAUCCAUUGUUUUAAUUUUGAUGUUUAAUUUGGCCUAAAUAUCUUGAAUUAGUCCAUUUAAUGCUUCUUUAAUCUUCUUAGCCCUUAACCAUGUAAUUUGCCCAAUUGACAUCUCUAAUAAAUUAUUUGGUAAUGUUUGUUGAUUCUCAUCACAUUUACCAUCAUUUUGAGUCCAACACUCGUACUUUAAAAGUGAGAACUGAGCAGUGUUGUUAGGCUUAAAUCCCAAAUCACUAUUUUAAGCCUUAGUAGUCCUUUACAUUUAACAAUAUAUAUCAAUUUAGAUAUAUUCUUAGCAUGUACCUACUUUUAUUGUUAAAAAUAAACACGAAAUAGCUUGCUUUAGGUAGGAUAUUUUAUGAUGACUUUAAUCUUUUCUUUAACAUAAUCAGAUCCUUAUCUGGAAUCUCUAGAGACUAGUCAUGGUUUUUAAUUAUUAUAAAACUAGGUGGCGACUCAUUUAUUUUAAUUUUACCCUUUUUACAUCUAGUUUGUUGAGAUGUCCCCUACAACACCAGCUAUAUAGGUGUGAUCAAAUGAUUUUUAUAUUAAUAUUAUCCUUAAACCUUAAAAAACAAAAGCUCUCAAUCAAGUAUUUUCAUUUAUUUUAAGGUUAUCCAUCCAAAUUAUGCUAUUUUUGUGGGGGAAGAGUUAUUUUAUAAGAAACUUAAUAUUUUUCAUUAAGUGCCCGUUUGGGAAUGCGGUGCAAAUCGCAUUCCUAAAAAUUUUGAAUUUGUUUUGUUAAAAAUAAUUUUUUAUGUUUUUAGAUCGUUUUGAUGUGUUCAUAUUAAAAAUAAUUUUUAAAAAAUAAAAAAUAUAUUUUUUUAAUGCAUUUUUAAGGAAAAAGCACUUUGAAUCGCAACCGCUACUACAAUUUCAAACACACUAACAUAAAUUCUUAAUUGGAAAAUCAAAAUAGUGUAGUGAAAUUAAUAUAAAAAAUAGUCAAAGUAUAAAAUUGAUAAUACCCGAUAAUUUGAUGUUAUAUUUAAUAUUUUCCUGGAAAAAUAAAACAUAAGAACGCCUUUAAGAAAAGUAGUUGCUUGUCUUGUAAUUAUGGUUUGAUUUUCCGUGACGAUGCUCCUAAUAAUAAUAGGAGGCAGCAGUAACCUGAACCAUACGGUUGGCCGGGCCAGCAACCGGCAAUAUCCUCCGUUUCUUCUCCGCCUCUCUUUAUUAAGCCCUUGAAAAGAACUAUUUGAUCAUGAACCGACCUCUACUAAGUCUUACGAUGGCACCUACACAGUUGAAUUGGUAUUGCGGGUUUCAUAUGAUGUUUUUUUAAAGUGUUUCAAUUAAAAUUUACAGACACUAACUUGAAUGUAUCAAAGAGAAAGAAAAGGUGAGGGAAGUUUUAGAAGUGUAAACUAAACUAGAAAAGCUGGCUGGUUCGAUGUGUUUCUUGUAGCCCAGCAUUUUUGGGUCCUCUCUCUCUCGCUCUAUAAAAAAUAAUUUCAUACUACAAUUAGGCCCUGCGUCUUCGCGGGUCUUUACAGGCAACACGCUUUUCUCUCCUUCUCAUUCCAUCGUCAAAUCAUAUAUCCUUUUUCUUUUCCAAAACAUCACUUGACUCUCUCUUUCUCCAUUAUCUUUCAAGUACAAAUUGCCCCAAAAGAAGGACGUUAUGAUCAAUCUCUGAGUUUUUCAGGUCAUUGGCUCUUGCUUUUUUUCUUCUUCAUUGGAUUUGACCCUCAUAUGCUGCAAUAGAUUUUACAUACAUUCGCGAUUCAAUGACGUUUGAUCAGAUAUCCUAUUCAUGCAUAUCAUCAUUAUUGUUUCUCUUCUUUUUCUUCCUCUUUCUUAUGAAUCCCUUGACAAAUUUUAAUGUUUUUAUUGUUUAUUGUUUAAAUGAAUCAGUUUUGUUGUUACAUAAUUAAUCAAGGAAUGCAUGCAUGCAGGGAGUGGGGGAUCAGUUUUAGCUUGAUUAGCUGAUUAAUGAAUUUGUGCAGCACAAGAAGCAAAGAUGUCGGGUUUUGUGGGUGUACUUGUUUCUGAUCCAUGGCUUCAAAGCCAGUUCACUCAAGUCGAGUUACGCUCCCUCAAAUCUAAGGUAACUCACUCACUCUCUCUUCUUUUCAUUACAUUCUCGUUAUUGUUAAUAUUCUAAUGUCUGUUUUUUUUUUUGGAUUGGUUUUAGUUUGUGUCGACGAGGACUCAGUGCGGUAGUGUCACGGUGGGGGAUUUGCCACCUAUUUUUGCUAAAUUGAGGGCCUUCACUGAGAUGUUUAAUGAGGAUGGUAUUAAGGCUAUGUUGGGGGAGGCAGGUUUCAACAUGGAAGAAGAACUCGACUUCGAAUCCUUCCUAAAGGUUAAUUAAAGCUUAUUUGGCUUAGCUUUUAAUUCUUUGAUUAUUUUCUCGUUUGAGGACUGCUUAAAAUGCUUUUCUUGUUAUCUUGGUGUUUAAAUUUUAAGCAUUGACCUUGCUAAACUUCAAUUGGCAGGCAUACAUAAAUUUGCAAAGCCGAGCAACUAAAAAAUCAGGUGGGAAGAAACUGAAAAGCUCUGUUUCCUUUCUCAAGGCAGCCACAACUACAUUUCACCAUAACAUCAACGAGUCAGAGAAGGCUUCCUAUGUGUCCCACAUUAACAGCUACUUGGCGGAAGAUCGCUUCUUGAAGAAAUAUCUCCCAUUAGAUGCAGCAACAAAUGACUUAUUUGAUCUUGUAAAAGAUGGAGUUCUUCUUUGGUAGAUGAGUCGCAUCCGCUUGACAGCAAUUUUAUUGUUGAAGGAUGUUUUGAAUAUAUGUUGAUGCUUUUUAAUGCUUAAUGCAGUAAGCUUAUAAAUGUGGCUGUUCCUGGGACCAUAGAUGAGCGAGCUAUUAACACAAAAGGGACCCUUAAUCCAUGGGAAAGGAAUGAGAACCACACCCUUUGCCUUAAUUCUGCAAAGGCUAUUGGCUGUACAGUUGUUAAUAUCGGCACACAGGACCUUGUUGAAGCAAGAGUAAGUUGGGCUGCUUAGCUCUCCCUUGCAAUCUUGUUAUAUUUUUCUUUGUGGUUUCAGUUAUUCUCAAUAUUUCCAGUUUCUCUUUUGCAGCCCCAUCUGGUACUUGGAUUGAUUUCUCAAAUUAUUAAGGUAUUCAACUUAAGAUUUCGUCCACUACAUGUGUAAAAUUCAUUUUGUGAAGCAGGAUAUAUAUAGAAACAAUGAUGAUGGUGAUAGUCUUGUUUAAAUUAAAAGACUUGAAGAUUAGGUGUCUAUGCUUUUAACAUGUCGUCUUCCAAUAUGGUGGCAACUUUCAGAUUCAGCUAUUAGCCGACCUUAAUCUUAAGAAAACUCCUCAACUUGUGGAAUUGGUGGAUGACAGCAAGGUCAGAAGUUGUCGUUUUCAUUUACCUUCUUUCCAUGCUUCGAUUGUAUGAGGGAUGUUGGGUAAAUCUGUUUGUGCUAUCCCAUAUGUUUUGCUUAUUACUUACAGAAAUUUGCAGGAUGUGGAGGAGCUCUUGGGUUUGGGACCUGAAAAGGUUCUAUUGAAAUGGAUGAAUUUUCAUCUGAAGAAAGCUGGCUACAGUAAACAGGUUACAAACUUCUCUUCUGAUGUGAAGGUAAGCAAAUUCAGCAAUUUAUUAUUUAUCGAUACUUCAUGUUCAUAUCUUAUGCAAUUGGUGGCAUUUUAAUUUGGGAUAAAAACCUUGGCUGAGUGGAUUUCCCAUGCACUUUUUAAUCAAUUGAGCAUUUGAAGCAGAUAUUUGCAUUAACAAAAUCAGUUUUUGUUGUAGAUUUUCUUCCAUUAAAUAAACUUCAUAUGGGAUUUUGUAAACUAAUACUUUCUGGUAUUCUUGUUUUAUCUCUUAUUCUCUUCAUAAUUUUAACCCUUGAAUUUGCAGGAUGGAGAGGCCUAUGCUUACCUUCUCAAUGCUCUUGCCCCAGAACACAGUAGCCCUGCUUCCUUGGAUACCAAGGAUCCGACAGAGAGGGCAAACAUGGUUCUUGUGCAGGCAGAGAAGCUGGAUUGUAAAGGAUAUCUCACUUCUAAAGACAUUGUUGAGGGAUCACCAAAUCUUAAUCUUGCAUUUGUGGCUCAAAUAUUUCAGCACAGGUACUGAGAAAAGAUGAACAUUUUUAAGUGACAUUUUUGCUUGCAUUUCCUCUACCUUUUGAUGCUCUUUGUCCCGUUGCGUAUCCAUAUUUGCUUCUGGAAGUUUAGUUUGUCAUUAAAAUAUUUAAAAUAGGUUAUUGAUAUCCCUGCUUCUUCUAUCAACAUUUCUAGGUUGCGAAAUAAGAUUUAUCUAGUCAACUAUUUUAUCAAUUUCUUUCACUCCAGUCUGACCGUCGUCUGCUUCUUACCAAUUACCAUCAAUAUAUUGUGGCUAAUGGAAUUUUCAUUCUGCCAGCCAGCUUCUUGUUCAUUCACAAUGAUUUUUCCAUAUUGCUAAAAGCUUCCUAUUUAGUGCCCUCCAUGCAACUUGAUUGUACUGAAUUAGAAAGUCUUUUUUGUGCAAAUGCUGGCUUUUUCUGUAAGCAUUAUUCUUGAAAUUUGUGUCACCAGUACAUGAAUUUCUCUUGCAGAAAUGGGCUGUCUGCUGAUACCAGUAAGAUGUCCUUUGCUGAGAUGAUGACAGAUGAUGCACAAACUUCUCGAGAAGAGAGGUGCUUCCGACUGUGGAUUAACAGUCUUGGAACUGCUACAUAUGUCAAUAAUGUUUUUGAGGAUAUCAGGAACGGGUGAGAUUUUCGUUUCCUCCUCAAUACGAAGCCUCAUUGAACCUUCAUUGAUGUUUAUGAUUUGCACUGCAGAUGGGUUCUUCUAGAAGUUCUUGACAAAGUUUCUCCGGGAUCAGUUAAUUGGAAGCUGGCAUCCAAGCCUCCUAUAAAGAUGCCAUUUAGAAAAGUUGAGAAUUGCAACCAAGUAAUACAGAUAGGGAAGGACUUGUGCUUCUCCCUUGUGAAUGUAGCUGGAAAUGACAUUGUCCAAGGAAAUAAGAAGCUCAUAUUAGGUUAUCUUAUUCAACUCAACCCCCUGACUUCUUCCUUCUUGAUUGGUUAUAGCUGAUUAGGCAUCGGUGGUGGUGGUUGACGUUCUUCUCUAAUCAGCUUAUGUGUAAUCAACUUGUUUGUUCUAAAAUAGCUUCGGCAACAACCUCUUUAACAAUUUUCUUUUCCCUUCCCUUUUAAUUUGACAACGUUUCUGUCCCAAUUUAGUUGUUUGUGACUGCUUUUCAGUUUAUAUUGCGAAGAACUGACUCUUCCCUCUCUUUUCCCCGCAGCCUAUUUAUGGCAACUGAUGAGGUUUACGAUGCUUCAACUCCUGAAAAACUUAAGAUCUCACUCCUCCCACUCCCAGGGUAAAGAGAUUACAGAUGCUGACAUUCUAAAAUGGGCAAACAACAAAGUGAAGAAAGCAGGUAGAACGUCUCAAAUGGAGAGCUUCAAGGUAAUGAAUGAAUUUGACCUUGUUAGACAAUUUUAUUCCAAGUUCUACCUUAGGAUUUACCUUUCUCUGUUUUGAUGUCUUGCUUCUAGGAUAAGAACCUUUCAAAUGGAAUUUUCUUCCUUGAGCUUCUUAGCGCGGUGGAGCCUAGAGUGGUCAACUGGAGUGUGGUUACGAAAGGAGAAACUGGUACAUUAUAAUCCUUUAUCUCUCUAAUCUCAACAUAUUUCUUAUUUGCUUGCGGAUGUUGGAGUUGUAUGGCAAUCGCCGAACAAAUGGGGAACAUGCCGAGCUCAAACCAUUUUGGCUUCCUAAGCAGCACUACGCUGGAACCUGUGUGCCUAGUUUAGUUUGACACAAUCGACACGAAGACCAUGUCUCACUUUAUUUCUUUCUGACGCUGCAGACGAGGAUAAGAAGUUGAAUGCUACCUACAUAAUCAGUGUUGCCCGAAAGCUUGGGUGCUCCAUCUUCUUGUUACCCGAGGAUAUUAUAGAGGUGGGCUCACUGUUCUGAACAUAGAACGAACAUAUUUUGAAUAUUAAAUGAAGUGCCGUGUCUUCUUUCCAUUUGUCUCUGGUAGGUUACUUGUUCAGGUCUAGCUAAAAAGUUUAAUAAAAAUAGCCACCAUGAAUCAUCAAGGCUGGUUCGGCCCCCGAGUCCUCUUCAUGCACCAGAAGUGUUAUUUGCCAGAUUCUUUAGCUUUCUCUUUUGACGACCUUACUUGAGGUCUUUAAUGAACUCUUUGAGAGAAAUGCAAAGAAGUCUGUCAACAGAUGGUACCGUAUUGACCCCAACUGAUUUCAGCAGAACUGGAUUUAACCAGAGUACAGUAUAUUAGUUUGGCAGAUCGUAACGAUCAACUUUGCUUUCGUGUUUAUGAUUAUGACAGGUAAACCAGAAGAUGAUCCUUACAUUGACUGCAAGCAUAAUGUACUGGAGCCUGCAGCAACAGGGUUACUCAGAGUCUUCUGCUGCUGAAGACAGUGAUGUUCCUGAUGCAUCCCCUCCCCCGUCUGUAAAUGGCGAGAAAGAGGAAGUUCUGGUUGGUGAGGUUUCCAAUUUGACGGUGGACGAUGCAGUUUCAGAUGCUACUAAGUCCUACUGAGUCGACACAUGUGGAGGAAAAAGAUCCUUACAUGAAAUGACCUGAAAAUGCUGCAGCACUUUUUUCAUUACUGAUUCAUUUCCAAAGAUGAGAAUCGAAGGAAAAUACAGCAGCCGUUGGCAGAUACACACUGUCUCUGUGUGCAGAACAGACGGGGGUCUUCAGAAUCAAUGUGCUCCUGAAGCACACAAGGAAAAAGAGAAGGAAGGGGGGGAAUCCGGUAAAUUGCAUUCUUUAAUUAGAGCCUGAUGUUCUUAGGCAUAUUCUUUUAACACUGUUGCAUUCAUCAUGCUGAAAUAAUUGGGCUAAUGAUACGUUUUGCCCAUGUAUUUUUAUUUUUUUUUAAUGUAUUUCGUCGUGUAAUUUUAUAUAUAUAGAUUCUACCUUUAUAUUUGUUUGGUAGGAACACAGGGGGAGGGAGAAAAGAGGGUGGCCAGUUUUUUUUUUUCCUCAAGUUUCAUUAAAAAAUAAUUUUCAUUUGUCAAUUUAAUGUAAGGGCACAAAUCUUAAUAAAACAAUAGUAUAAGGACAGAACCCAUAAAAAGAAUUAUACAAUGACAAGAUUUAUAUGUCGGGAAAAAAUGUCUAAACGUUACCUUCUCUAUUGCCAACUUUGUGCGAGGGUGUGCAAAGGAAAUUAUGUAAAACAAAAUUCACAUAAGAGGAAAGUUCAUGCAGGGGAAUCCUGAAUAUCAUCAACUACUGUUUCAGAUUCUUUCUUUGCCACAAGCAUAAGCAUCUCCAGGCGCUUGUCAAAAAGUAAUGCACUCUCAUCUCUCUUGUCAAGAUCAGCCGCUUCAGCUUCAAGCCAUUUCUCUCGCAAGUCAUCAAGGAGAUUUCCCUGGUCUGUAUUCAGGGCAGCUCCAGGAGCGCUUGGGGCAGUUGUGCGGAGCGAGGAAUCUCCAGAUGGUGGAGGCACCGUUAAAAGCAUUGCUCGGAAAUCACGAGUAUCAGCAAAUGUCUCAAAGUUACAGGCUAUUGUAUCCAGACAGUACUCCCUGAUCUUGAUGACACCAUACCUACGCACGUAAAUUCACCAAUUAACAACUCGGUAGACACCACUUGGCUCUAACUAGUAAGAUACAUUUAGGUUCAACCAAAGGUCAAUUUUAUGGCCAUCAGCUAAAACUGAAUCCUGGUUCCCUCAGAAAAAUCAGAAAAGCAGGACUUCAAAUUAGGAGCUUAACCACUAAAUUCCUGAAUGAUAGCAUGACACAAUCUGUUCAUUGAGAAAGGUGGCUGAUAUUUAGAUUCCUAAACCUGUUUUCAAUGUGUCUCAACUCAACACACCCUGACACAUGAUUGAAACAACACAAAUAUAUACUCCUUCUCAACACCUGAAUAAAUUGAACUUCAAGCCCAUCCCAAAUACAUUCAAACCAGGAAAUCAAUUAAAUUUUAAGAAAUAAGAAGGUCAAUAAACAUGCAUCUUACAUGUCUGACAGUAUCAGCCAAUGGCACAGUUCUGCUGGUGAGACCAUUUCCAGUUGUGGCAACAGUACAUCAGCAACUGCACGCUUAAGGGGAAAUAAUAGAUAUCUUGAAGCAGCAUCAAACAUUUCCUCUGCCUGCUCAAACAAUAGAGUCAGUAUUUGAUAAUAUCAAGUCAGGCACAUGCCAUUUUGACACAUAACGUACCUGCCCUGGAUUUAUAUCCUUUAAACCAUCAGUAUACCUGAACCAAAGAAGUAAAAAUAAGUCCCAUGACAGUUGUGCUUAGCAUUGCCAAUAACAAAGUGAAUUUCAUUGUUGCAUAUAAUGAUUCCAAGAAUUAAAACGGUUGAUUAUACAACACACAUUGCAAGGAGAUGCUGAUUUUAAGCAACACAUUUCAGACUACACCCAAGACUAUUUCUAAAUCUACAGAGCCCUGGGACCACUACUACAGGGAAUAAUUGGCACUGGCCAAUGGACCAAGCCUGGAAAUGAAUACUACCCUCUAGACAAUUUUAAUUAGGAUUAGCCUUCUACAAGAAAAGAAAGCACUUACAUAUACUCCACCAUUUUCUCAAAUGCCUCCAUGCUUAAAUCAUGUUCUUCAAAACAAGGAACAGCACCACUAGGUAACCCCACUUUCCCUUCAUGAAAGUCCUUCAUAUGGGACAGUCUUGCUCUAAAGUAUUCUGACCUUGAUGCCAAAACCACUUGAUGGCAACGAAAAAUCUUAUUAUCAACUCUUACACAAAUAUCAGCAAGAUCAUCUACACAAUCAUUCAUUUGCACUACAUUAAAAGAAGAUACUAGCCUAUCAACAUCAUUUUCUAGGUUUUGUUGCAUAGUGGACCUUGCCAAAGAGCUCUGAAGGACCCGGUGCAGGGCAGCAGAAAGCCUGUCUUCCUCAGGAAGUGAUAGGCCCUGUAAGAUAUAACGUUUCUGAGAGUUGUCUAGAUCUCUCAGUGCUUUGUACUCUGCAUAUUUUUGGUGAAUCAAUUCCUUCUCAAGAACCCUUUGUAAAGAUUCACAUUUGCAUACUUUGCAGAUUCUUACCAGAUCUUCCAUGUCAUCUACAGCAAUCUCCAGUCUGUCAGAAUAAAAGAAGUGAACGAGACUGUAAAGAGCAGGAUAUGACAACUUUUCCCUUGCUAAUCUCACUUCACUGCGGCCUCUCCAAUCAGUUUUGAACUUUCUCUUAAAAAAAGGUGACCGAGCACUUAAUAUGACUCUGUGAGCUUCAAUAGGCCUACCUUGCACAAAAAAUACGACAUCUGGAGGGAAGUGAUUGGCAUUGGAUACCCCACUGGAUGAAAGACCUACUCAACAAUAUCACAUGUCGAGUGUCAAAUCCAUAUUGUUCUCAGGAGAAAAAAUGCACAACCACGAUAAUCUGACCAACAAUCAAAAACUCAUGAAGCUGCAAUAUGCACAAAUUCAAGAUUAUGGAAGUAGAAUAGAGUUACUUUGAAAUAUCCAUUGUUUGUAACAUAUAUGCAUAAGAAACAAAACCUUUACAAAAAGGUGAAAGACGAUUCUGAACAAUUCAUGUGGGUCUUAGGAAGCUCAUGCUCAUCAGAUCUUCUACUCUCAAAAAGUUAACCCCAAGGAAGGCAGGUUUCAUGAUUGUUGAUGAAAAAGGAAAGGACACAGAAAACACAUCAUCCAUGUUUAAAUAAACCUUUACACGCUACACAAAUUCAUCACAAACUGAAAUAUCAAAAUACCCAGCCCCAUUUCUAACACAUAAGCUCACCAUGUCCUCUCCAAUUCUCAGCACAAGUCUCUUCAAUUGAUUCAGAUUUUAUAGCAUCAUAUCAUUUGUGGAAUUGCUUUCUCAGUCUCACCAAAAUAUCCAAACGUUUUUUGACUUUCAAUUCUCUAACCCAUUUACUCACGCUUAUGAUUCCAUGGAAGUUAAGGCUGUACUUUGUCUAAAUCCGCCAUAACCCUCCCUAAACAGGAUAAAUCUAAUUAAAUCUCAAGUGAGAUAGAUAGCUCCAAACAACUUAAGUGCUGCCACAGAUUAUGCAAAGAUUGGUUGAGAACAUAAUAGAAUGAAAGAAAAUGAUAGAAUUAACUAAAAAUGCUAUUGAUGAAGCACAAACACGAGGUCAAGGCAUCCACCCGAGAAAUAAUGCAGCUCUAUUAACUAGCGGGAUAAAGUUUCCAUUCUGACCGAACAUGUAAGAUCCCACAUCGGAAGCGAGCGUCCAGAGCCAGGGCCUUAUAAGUGCAUGCUCAUCUUGACUAGUAAGACACGUUUUGGGGCCAUGCGUGGCUGCCAAGAACAAACCCGUGAGGGGGACCUGGGUGGAAGCCCUGGACAUGGGUGGACUGGGAGGCCCAAAGCGGACAAUAUCUUGCUAGUGAGGUGGGGUGUUACAUUUGUAAAAUCCCACAUCGGAAGCGAGCAUCCAGAGCCAGGGCCUUAUAAGUGCAUGCUCACCUUGACUAGUAAGACGAGUUUUGGGGCCAUGCAUGGCUGCCAAGAACAAACCCGUGAGGGGGACCUGGGUGGAAGCCCUGGACAUGGGUGGACUGGGAGGCCCAAAGCGGACAAUAUCUUGCUAGUGAGGUGGGGUGUUACAUUUGGUAUCAGAGCCGAGGACGGCUCGUCUUAAGGUGGGGGGAUUGUAAGAUCCCACAUCGGAAGCGAGCGUCCAGAGCCAGGGCCUUAUAAGUGCAUGCUCACCUUGACUAGUAAGACGCGUUUUGGGGCCAUGCGUGGCUGCCAAGAACAAACCCGUGAGGGGGACCUAGGUGGAAGCCCUGGACAUGGGUGGACUAGGAGGCCCAGAGCGGACAAUAUCUUGCUAGUGAGGUGGAGUGUUACAGAACAUCUGCCAGAGAAACACCACUAAAGACGCUUGCAGUGGAACGAAGUCUGAUAAAGCAAAAAAAAAGGCUAGUCCCAGUGACACCAUAACGAUGCUCAAACGACUGUUUUAUCCAAAAUCAAAUGGAAAGAUAUAAGCUUAGGCCAUGUUUGGAUCACUCGAAAAUGGGACUUGAAUUCCAAUUCUACUUCCAAUUAAAACAUGUGAUAUAAAUUUCCCACGAACAAUAUUUCAUUUCUUGCGGAAUCUUCAUCCACGCUAUUAGCAAACGAAACAACAUUGCAUAAGGAAAGGAAUAGAACAAGAGGUCCCUCUCCAUUUCCAUUUCCAAUCCUGAUGCAAACCAAACACGACUCUAACUAUUUGAAUACAGAAUAUUACUUGACAAGUUUACCAAACAAUGAGCAAAUACAGUCAUUUUCAAAAUGAAAAGGGAAAAAAACGAAAUUAAGGCACCAACCUGAAACACGAUAAAUAGCCUCGCUCUGUUCCAAAUAAACCCUAUUAGCCUCGCAGCUCAAAAAAGUAUCUCUCAAGGCAGCCUGCAACGGUGCCAAAGGCGGCGGCCUAGCCUCAAAAGCCUUCAAUAACUUCCUGACCUUCAAAUUCAAAGCGGCAUAGUGACACCUGUCGCCGUCGAAAGUGUGCUCGGAGCAAAUAGCCCCACUCUCCAGCAACAUGCGGGCGGCAUCAAGGUGUCCGGCGAGGCAAGCGUAGUACAAAGCAACGGAAUCCCACUUGUCCCGCGCGUUGACAUUGACGCCUGAUUCUAGCAAGUAUUUGAGGCGUUCGACGUCACCGGCACGGGAGGCUUGGAAAACAUCGCCGUUGGGGACUUUUUUAAGUGGGAGAGAGGAAGUGAAAUCGGAGGGGUCAAGGUCUAUUUCGUCCAGGUCCGAGUCGAUUAUCCAUCCGGAUGAUGGGCGAUUUGGGGGCAUUAAUUGGAUGGAUGGGCGUUUGAUUGGAUUGAGCGUGCGAGGUGAGGUGAGGUGGGAAAGAAUGAACUGGAGGGAAAUGUUUCUUGGGUUUUAAAGGUAGGGAUAGGGGUGAGAAAAAAACCGAUAAACCGAUUAAACUGAGAAAACCGGAAAAAAAAUAACCGAAAAAACCAAACUGAAAAAAAAACCGAAUUAACCGAUUAAAAAAUCACAAAAAAAUUCCGGUUCGGUUCGGUUUCGGUUUCUAAAGUCUGAAACCGAUUGAACCGAACCGAACCGGUUCAACCAGCAACCACUUAAAAAAAAAAGACAAGUAUAAAUAUCAUGCUUUCUAACCCUAGAAUAACAUUAAACUAUCAACUGCCACCCCACCCCCCCUCCCCUCACUUCUCUGCAUCUCUCCACUUUUACUUUUACUUUCACUUUCACUUUACUUUUUGGUUGGCCCCCCUCCCCUCCCCUCCCUUCUCUGCAUCUCUCUCUUUACUCUCUGGCUGGUGAAAAAUCAAAGCAGAACAAGUUGGUCGUCGUUGGCUCUACUGAGACACAGAGUGACGAAGAAGAUUACUUGGCUGAGUUAACUCACCAAACGGCUCACUCCGCCCUUGAAGAUGAUUUCAAGAGAAACGACCCCCCUUGCAGCACCGAAAAGACUAAGGUAUUGCUUCCUUUAUGUUUCUUUUUAAAGUAGGACGACCUGCUCUGGUUUCUGUGAUUAUGUUUUCUGGGUCUGAUGUUCGGGUCUUGGGUUUUUUGCCUGAUUUGCAAGGUUGGGUUUUGUCUGGAUCGUCUCCAUCAAUGCUAUGUGUAGUUGGAUGCAAGUGCAGUUGUAGACAAGGAUCUAGCCGUGGAAGUCUGAAUGUCAAUGGGUCUUCAUCUCUAGCAACUUAGGAUCUACUGUAUGAGGUUGCAGGAGAAGUAGAGAGGACCAUUGGGUUUGAACCGGUUUGAAAGGAAAAAAAACCGAACCGAACCGAACCGAAAUUAAUCGGUUUGAACCGGUUUUCGGUUCGGUUCACAAAAUUAAAAAAAAAAUUCGGUUUAGUUGUUUAUUUUGGUUCAAAACCGGACCGAACCGGAAAUGCUCAGCCCUAGGUAGGGAACUCCCAAGGCCCCACAAAAAAAAAAAAAAAAAAAACACACACACACACACACAUAUAUAUAUAUAUAUUAAAAUGAUAUUUUUUAAUUGUUUUAAUUUACUGAUCUCAAAAUUAAAAAAAAUUAAAAAAAUUAAAUAUAUUUUUAAAUGAAAAACAAGUUUUUCCUGCUUUUAAUUUCUUUUUAAUGUGCAUUUUUUAUUUUAUAUUUUAACAUUUAGUUUAUUAAAAAUUAAGUUUUAUAAUUUGUUAUAAUUUGUUUUCUAUGUGGUUGUCCAAGUCUUAUAACCCAUGUUGCAAGUUUAACAGGUUAAUCCGAUUGAUUCGGAUUUUUUUUUUAAUUUUAUUCUUCAAUAUUAUAUUAAUUGAGAAUUAAGCUUUGUUAUUCUUUUCAGUUUAUUUUCUAUUAAAUUAUAUCGGUUUCAUGACAUAGAUCUCGAGUUUUGCGAGUUAAUUAGGGUUGACUCAAGUUAUUUUAUUGUGUUUUUUUAGAUUGAUUUUUUUUUUCAAUUUCAUUCUUCAACAAUGGAUUGAUCGAUAAUUGACUAAUUGUGCUUCAUAAUUAGUUUUGAUUUGCCUUAUAUGAUAUUAUCUCAAUCUUAUGACCCGAGCCGCGAGUUUGGAGGGUAACUCGGGUUAACCUGUGUCAUUUUUUUUUGUUGCUUUCUACGAGAUUAUCUAGGUCUCAUGAUCUAGAUCACGAGUUUUGCAGGUUAACCUAGAUUAACUCGGGUUAUUUUUUCACGUUCUUUUUCUUAAAUUGAAUUUUUUUCAAUUUCACCUUUCAACAUUUAAAUUGAUUGGGAAUUGAGUUUCAUAAUUUAUUUUGAUUUAUCUUUUAUAAGGUUAUCAUGAUCUUAUGACUCGGGUCAUGGAUUUGGCAGGUUAAUUCAAGUUAACUCAAAUCGUUUUUUAUCCUUUUUUAAUUGAUUUUUUUUAAUUUUAUUUUUUAAUAUUAAAUUGAUUAAGAAUUAAAUUUCAUAACUAGUUUUUUAUUUACUUUAUAUAUAAUUAUUAUGAUCUCAUAAUACAAAUUAUGAAUCUAAUAAUUUAAUUAAAAUUAUCUCAAUUCAAUCUAGUAUAUUUUCGUCUCAUAACACUUUCACCUCGAUUUGUCAAAUAAUUAUCGAACAUAUGUCAUAAUCAUCACCCUUUUUUUUCACUAAAGGUUAUUUUAUGCUCAUACUUCUCCAUGUCAUGUGCAAACACCGCAACCAAUGAUAGCGCAAAUGUUUCCAUGAUUAUAGUUUAUAAAUAUCUUGAUCAUCAUUUAAGAAAUCCAAGUCAAUUUAAGCAAUUCAAGUCAAAUAACUCUAAUAAAAUCUAAGCUUCGUUACUUCACAUCAUAAGUCAAACUUAUUGCAUCACACUAGUAUAUUUUAUUUCUUUUUUAUACACGCUAUUUUCUACUCCUAUAUUUAUUAAUUUAAUUAUUAAGAGUCUUUUGUUCUAUAAUUUUUUUUAUUAUUAUUCAAAGAUAUUGUAUAUUACAUUUUAGCUCAGGACAGGAGGAAGCCUAAUUCAAUAUGAAGUUUUUACAACUUCAUCAGUCUCAAUGCCUCGUAACCCAUUGUGGAUUCUUGCUGCACUGUAAUCGAUCUAUGUAUUAAGUGGGUCUGUUAGCUUUGUAUGUGCUUCAUUGAAAUCUAUAUUGACCGAUUUAUAUGAACUGCUGGGAGCAGGACGAUCUCCAAAUGCUCCCUUGUAAGACUUCAUCCCAGUGGGAACCACAUCAUGUCAUUUCCUGUUUUUUUGGGCAAGAAUUUAUGUAAUCUUUACUAAUGAAACAUACAGUUCGAUGCAUGUCUCACAGCGAAAAAUGAGGAUUGUGUUCUAUUUCCUUUAACUUUCAUCGAGAUUGGCAAACUUCAUGAACAGAGAGUUAUUCUACAAGUUUGCUUUAUCAUUUGCUUUGGGUGUAAUUUGCAUUAGGCAGAACAGAAGGGUUGUGGUGUAAUUGAUAGUUACAGUCCUUGAUCUUUACGUGGUUUCUGGUAAUGUUAAAGAUCGCUGUCAUGCGUUAUCCCAACCAAUGAAAUGGAAAUAGAAAACCCGUCACUUAACAUAUUUCAUACUGAUUUUGUUGCUUUUUUCCUGCUUGCUGGUGAAUGUCAGCUUUUUAAGGUGCUUAGAAGUGUCUUUUUUGCAGAACGAUUUCUGUUUUGAGAAGAGAAUGGAUGAACCUUGGAGGAAUUGCUAGACAGUUCACAGCUGGUACGAAAAGAGUAAAGAUUUGGCUUUUUGAUUAGCAGGGUGUUCAGAUUUGUUAACUCAGAUGCAUAAGCCUGAUUCUUUAAUUUUCUAUUUUUCUUUAUAUUUCCAUUUAUCAGAUCAUAGGGCUGAAUCCCUCAUUUGGAUUGAUGCACAACUUGCUAAUCAAUUUAUUAGCAAGGCUCUAGAGUUUAGACUAAAGCUCAUUGCUCUUAUUACCUCCAUCUGAAUCCUUUAAUAUGGGAGGAUGAUAGACUACUCUCAGGCAAGGGUAUAAAACGCGGGGAGGCCGCUCAUUGCAAUUCCUGAGUGGAAUUAUAUGAAAUAUAAGCUUCUAACGUAGCAAAUUUUAUUUAUUUUCUUGGUUUUACAGUCAUUUUAUCUGUCUGGAUCAGCUGUUGCGAAUGGCAAGCAGAUAGAAGAUUGGACUGUGAACACACCUCCGAUAUAUAUUUGGAGUCGUGCUGAUUGGACUGCCUGGCGCAUUCCAAUAGCACGAGAGCAUGGUCACGUAUCUAAAGAACAAGAUGAUUAUUUAUCCGGAGAUGAAUAUUAUGUGAUGGUUUCCCUAAUCCACUUGGCGUUCCUCGGGGUGAUUGCAGACGUGUAGGGAAUCAGAGCACUUGUCACUGGUGAGCAGAGCAAGGGCUGUUUUGGUUAUGUCGACAUUGAAGGCUGGGAGAGCGACCAUACAAAGAAACAUUCCCAUGGGAAUCUGAAUGGGAUGCAAAAUGAGGGAAGACGCAGUACUGCUUCAGUCUUACCGGGAGAAAAUGAUAUUGCAAUACCAUUUGAAGCUGAUGAUAUGUACAUCGACAUGGAUAUAUCUCCAAUCAAUUUCCCUAACAGCUCCGCUGACAUCCAUAGCAAUUUGGAAAGCAAACCACCAGAAUCCCACGGCGCUAGUGGAAUAAUGGCAGGUGACUAGGGCUCUCCAGAUUUGCCAUCAGAUCGAGUUGAAAACUGAAUAUGCGAAAGUUCAAACAGCUGUUUUUAGUUUUUACUAUCAUAUCUGCAAGAAUGGAUUACUUGUUUAAUCAUUAAUGGGCACAUCAAUGACUUUUACAGUGGCAACUCCCACCAAUCCAGAGCUGGCUACUGGCUAGGAUAUAACCUACCUUGCUGUUGUCUUCUCUCUGUUUUUUCUUUUACAGAAAAGAGGCUCGAACUCGGGUUUUAUGAAAGGCACUAGCGAGUCACAAGAACAGUUCUUCACUUGUUAACACGGAUGAGACCCUCAUUUGGGCCAUUUCAUUUGAGGGCUUCCAUAGCUUAAUUAUGGUGAUUUUCCAACAAACCGCAAUGGACUGUUUAUUGCAAGGCUCAACAUGGCUUAUAGACCACACACCAGGGGGUCCUUUAAUCACUUGCUUCUAAUGUGACAGAAUUCAUUCCAAUUUCAAGAGCAGUUUGAUAUCAAACUGGUAAACUUACCUUGCGCCGGACACGAGUCUGUGAUUUCGGGGAAUAAAACAAUUCCAGAGUAGUUUUAGAAUGCUUCGGAUCAGAUAUGAAAAUUGCAGGGCGGUAAAAGGUCAGCAAUGUCUGACUUGCAUUUUAAUUUAAAUGCUAGCGUCAAAACAAGCUCAAAUUUACAUUCAGCCACCUACAACAUCCUUCAAAACAACAAAACGCACACUUUACUGUCCUUCCCUUUCAGAGAUAAGGGGGGAUCAAUAAAUAUUCUCCUCAGGGGAAACAAGCCACUUCUAAGAUGUGUUAUAUAACAAUUUUGAUCAAGGUGCUAAAAGUGCUGCUAUUUCUCGUCAUCCAUUUUGAUUGAGUUUAGCCUUCUCAAUCUUUGAUCAAGCUCUGCCAUUACUGCUGGCUCCUGCUUUUUCCUUUCCUUUGAUAUAGUGUUAGUUGUCAUGGAACCUAUCUUAUCAAAUGCCACCUGAAAGAUUUAGAUAAGGUGAAGUUUCAGUGUACAUUUUCUUUAUGAAUUGAGGGAAGUUGCACUCAAAACAAGAAAAUGCAGAUGCCUCACUAACUUGCUAGUCGUCAUUAUAAUGAAUUAGGUGAUUGCCAUUACAGAACAGGACAGGACAAGAAGAUGGGAGCAGUUCCUUGCAAAAGGGGUUUAGGGACACCAAAUGGAGGGGAAAAUAAUCUAUAAUCAGCUUUUUAACCAAUAUCAUGCUCAUAGCUUGAGAAACUAACGACUAAUCCAUUGGGUUGUUUGACAAGUCAAGUUAGUACUAAAUCAAGAGAAGCCCCAUCAUUCUUUGACUAUCAAUUAAAAAUUAAAUUAUGGUUUGUCCUGCACCAAAGAUUACAUUCUCUAACAUGUUCUCACUCAUCCUAAUUCUCCUCCUUUUCCUCACAAAAAAAAACAUAGAAAAUGUGCUAUGCAAUAAUCAAUAGAAAACUAUUUUAUGUAGGGGGUGAGGCAGCAAGUAAACUGUCUUACCGUCAAUAAUUCAUCAGGAUCAAAGAGGUGAUGCGUUGUUUUCUGUAAUAUAUUAAUUACAUCACCAACAUGGUGAGUUUGAAGCAGCUCCUCUUCCUUCAUCUGCAAUCAUAAAUCUCAAUUUAUUGUUUGUUUUGCUUAAUAAUGAUGUUCAAGAAACUUCUAAGCUUGUUUAUAGAAAUUCAAACAGCUUAAAUAAAAAGCCCAGUGCAAAAGCAAAGCACUAGCACCUUGAAUAUAGCCAAAGCUACAUGAAACAGAACCUUUGCUCCCUCAUAGAAAAGGACAUCCCACACCCGCAGAGUUGUCUGGAAUGUAGCAAGGCAAAGGAAAAAAUGUUAUUCAUCAAUGAAAACAUUACGAUCUUUCUACUCAGGAGAAAGCGUGUGUCUAAGAGAGAGAGAGAGAGCGCAUGAGAGGGAGAGCGGCAAUCCAACCUCCGAAGGCAAGCUCUUAGAGAAGAGGCAUAGGAACCAUUCAGUGGCAACAAGGGAGACAUCAAACUCUAGUUCUUCCAAAUGAGUAGCUAUUCUGCAUUGUUUUUUUAUUCCCAAUUUCUUAGCAAAUUGACAACCAUUAAAAAGCCAACUAGCUAGGCCAUCAAAAGGAAAAUACCUUGGGCACUUUUUAACAAGCAAAUCCUGGAAAACUCUUUGCUCAACGUGGCAUCCUGACAAAUUAUUUGUGUAGCAGUCACUAACUAAGACAUUCUCCAGAAGAACUGCUAGCAUCCAGAAAGCAUCUUCCUCUGUUUUCAUCACAAGCAACAACAGUGCUGCAACAUAAUUUAAGCCCUGCUCCAAAGAUAAUUAGAACACGUUUUAUGAAAUUAGAAUUUAUUUAUUUAAGAACUUAAUAAUGGAAAUCUAUGAAAUUAAACCAUGGCCAAUUCAAAAACAAAAUCAGUAGCUGCCUAGCUGGUACACACCUACUAGCAUAUCAUUUUUUGGUUCCUUAGAUGAAUAGUCUGGGAAGAUAAAUAUGCUAUGCCAGAUAUGCAUGUUGAAGCAGUAAUUCCAGCAUGGGAAAACAAAUGGAGAUUCUUCCUAGAUGACAAGGAAGCCAUUAAUGAUUUACAAAGUGGUAAUGAAGAAGAUUUGGGGCAAGAUCAGACAAUGUGAUGAUUAGGAAAUAAUACGAACACAGAUGAACAUGAUAUUACACAUAAAAGUACAUCAAGAAAAUAUGGAGUAAAUAGUAAAUCUCAGGGUGAUUGAUCUAGAAGCUAUGCUCAUAGGAAAACAGAAAGAAACGGAGACUAAGCAUUUAGUACAUCUAGAGGCUAUCAGCUCGGUACAGCUAAAAUACUUGAGCAAGGUGCAGCAAGAAUUUGACUAGGGGUGAGCAAAAAAACCGAUAAACCGAUUAAACCGAGAAAACCGGACAAAAAAUAACCGAAAAAACCGAACCGAAAAAAAAAACCGAAUUAACCGAUUAAAAAAUCACAAAAAAAUUCCGGUUCGGUUCGGUUUCGGUUUCUGAAGUCUGAAACCGAUUGAACCGAACCGAACCGAACCGGUUCAACCAGUCAGCACUUCAAAAAAAAGGCAAGUAUAAAUACAAUCUUUUCUAACCCUAGAAUAAGGCAUUAAGCCAUCAGCUGCCGCCCCCCCCUCUGCAUCUCUCUCAUUUCACUCUCACUUUACUCUCCCCCCUGCCCUCCCUUCUCUGCAUCUCUCUCAUUUCACUCUUUGGCUGGUGGGCCGCCCCCCUCCCCUCCCUUCUCUGCAUCUCUUUCCCUUCACUCUCUGGCUGGUGAAAAAUCAAAGCAAAACAAGUUGGUCAUCGUUGGCUCUACUAAGACAAAGAGUGAUGAAGAAGAGUACUUGGCUGAGUUAACUCAUCAAAUGACUCACUCCACCCUUGAAGAUGAUUUCAAGAGAAACGACCUCCCUUGCAGCACCGAAAAGACUAAGGUAUUGCUUCCUUUAUGUUUCUUUUUAAAAUAGGACAAUCUGCUCUGGUUUCUGUGAUUAUGUUUUCUGGGGCUAAUGUUCGGGUCUUGGGUUUUUUGCCUGAUUUGCAAGGUUGGGUGCAGUUGUAGACAAGGAUCUAGCCGUGGAAGCCCGAAUGGGUCUUCACCUCCAGCAACUUGGGAUCUGUUGUAUGAGAUUGCAGGAGAAGUAGAGAGAACCAUUGGGUUUGAACCGGUUUGGAAGGGAAAAAAACCGAACCGAACCGAACCGAAAUUAAUCGGUUUGAACCGGUUUUCGGUUCGGUUCGGUUCAAAAAAUUAAAAAAAAAAUAAUUCGGUCUGGUUGUUUAUUUUGGUUCAAAACCGGACCGAACCGGAAAUGCUCAGCCCUAAAUUUGACUACGAUACAAGAAUUCUGAAUAUAACUCUGCAUUCAUCUUGCUCUGCUGCCAAAUAUAUACAGAAUAAUUCCAGGCCAAGCUCAUGCUGAUGAGCUUCUAAGAGUACAAAAAUUAAUGUAAGGGCAUUAUUAUCAACCAAACAAAGUGUGCAAGAUGAAACAUGGAACUUUUGAAUUACUUCAUUUGACACUGAGUAAUCGCAUAACUGUACAUUUUUUAAUUAAACAAUGUCAGCCCCAUAAAUAACCUACCUGACAAUAGCCAACAUCUGAAUCACGGAAAGAAUAUCCGACAAGAACUCGUCGGAGUGCAGCAUGGCCCUCUGGAGUGUCCAACCAUGGAUGACCAGGAAAGGUCCGUGGCAGGUCCUGCAAGCAAGAGCAAAUUAACACAGUGAAAAAAAGAAAUUGAUAGCAAAAUGAACAGCACCUGUAAUGUAAGGGAUACUAUUGGGAAACAGUACAAUAAUUUUUCUGCCAAGCAGACCAAGUAACAUAAGCUUGAAAAAAAAAGUUAAAUAAACGAAGCGAUGACUAAAUUCCUUUCUAUGGAAAAUUUACCCAAUCAUUAAUAAAUGUACAAGAGAACCAGCACUGUAUAAGUUGUUUGUCUCCAAGGCAUACAGCAAUGAGGUACUCUAAUAAACACUCAUCAAAAGUACUUUUUCAUUCGUCUGAAUGAUUCUUACUUCCCCCAUUCAAUGUGUUCAGACAGCAGAACAACAUGUCUCCACAAGAGACAUCAAAGAAGCAAAUAAAGAAAGACUGUUAGACUUUGAUGAACAUGGUAAGAAUUCAGCCACAAUAUAUCUUGACCUGUCACGAUAUAUCUUGAUCAGUAAUCGGUAGGAACAACGGAUUCUGACAAUUUGAGUUUGAAAAUGGCAACAAAAAAUAAUGCUGAAACGAAAGAAGGGGGGUAUAGGUUUGUAAUUUGUGAUACUCAUGGUCAUUUGAUUUUUGUUAAAGCAGUCUAUUGUUCCUCUGUUGCUAGUUCAAAAGGGAUGAAGGCUUUAAGCUGGAUGCGAUUGCUUAGAAGUGGUGAAUGAGAUUGUGCAAGGCUCUUGAUCCUGGGAAAUUGAAGCCAUUUAUAAUGGUAUUUUGCAGCUGAGUAACUGCACAAAUUCCUCUUCUUUAAGCAUGUGAGACCAAGUAAUAAUCACACCCCACAUGCUAUUGCUAAACUGGUUUCUAGGAGCACUCCUGUGUUUAUUUGUACUAGUAAUGUUCCACCUUGCUUAUUAAGCGUCAUUUUGGAGGAACAUCAGAAUUACAUGUACUCUUGAUAGGUUUUGUCGUGAAUGAUAUGUUCUUAUUGGUUUUGACAUUACGAAAAAAAAAAGGACAAAUUAAUAAUGCUGAAUCACAAAAUUGGAUUUGCUUUAGGCAAAAAAAGGAAAAAAUAAUCACCAGAUUCUAUCAGAAAAUGAAUCUAAAACAAAAUCCUUUAUCUUCUCAUGCAUCAACACUCUAAACAAAAACUUUCAACAUUUGAAGAAUUAGGAUGCAAACACCUAUCUUUUCGAAAGAAAUCUGGUAUCCCAGCAGAGCACAUCGCAAGUAAAUCUAAAACAUCAGGCUUUAAGCAAGACAACAAAACAAUUUCACAUCAUGGCCACAACCAUCAUUGCAAUUCAAAAUAAGCAAACGGAUUCACGCAUGAUAGUAAAGCCAGCAUAACCACCAAAUCUAAUAUCAUAACUUGACAAUCAAAGCCAACAGAAAAUUGUCCAAGCCCAUCAUCAAGGCAGCACAAAAACACCAAAGUACCAAACAACAUAAUUCAUCAAUCAGAAUAAACGAAGAAAACCAAUCCAAAUUAUAUCAAAACCAGCAUUGGCAUGUUGCAACAUAACAGAAAUUAAGACUCACAUGAUCAAUCUGCUUUGUAGCUGCUGUGACCUUCCCUUCAACGGCCUUGGUCAAAUCACUGUAAUAACUCUCAGGCACUGUAGACUUCUUCUUUGCAGCACCGGAGAGAGAAAACCAAACCUUAGGCCUCAGCACAGGGGGUAUCCCCUUCCUUAUUAACCUCUUCAAAGUAAUUGCAUUCGUCAGAUUAGACAAUUUGAGAGAAGAUUUGAGUGCAAUCCCUUCAGUUAAUGAAGAAACCUGUGGCUGCAGAUACCAAUUAGCACCUUUGCUUGCCUCCAACGCCCACCAAACCCUCCCCUGUUGCCUCACCUUCUCUCUAACCUCAUUCAAUAUAUUAACAUCAUCCACAUUGCCCUCUACAGUGAACCCAUAAAGGUCUUGGAAUUUUACCACUAUAUUUGCCCUUCUUGAAUGGAUGCUUGGCCUCAAUAUGUGUAUUUGAGGUUGGAAUUCUAUGGCAAAUUCUCUUUGGCUAUGUGUUUGAUACAUUUUUUUUUUUAUUUCUCUGUUAGAUCAGCAAGGCAAAGAUGAGAAAAGAAGUGGUGGUAAAAGGAGAAGGCUUCUUUUUUUAUGAUUUUAUUAGUCAAAUGUGAAAAGGCCACAAAUGGCUUGGAAACAUAAGAAACGGUCAAUUUUGUAGCUUAAAUUGAACUGGCUUGGGAUGAGUAGAGAAAUGGAAGACCGUCUUAUCCUAUAAGCUUGCAAUUGAUAUAGAAAAAAAAAAAGCUUUAAACUUUCCAAUUACUAGUUGAAAGGAAAUAAAUAUUAAAACCGCAAGAGGGACCAAGAAAAGCACAGGUUUUAUUCAAACAGAUUGAUCAGACAAGACUCGCAAAACAGAUCUUCCUGGUAAGGAAUAUGCAGAGAGAAAGAUAGGGAUGAUGGUUGAAGAGCUUGUCAAGUUUUCUUCCUGUCUUUCUAGUUAAAAAAAAAAAAAAGGAAGGAUUUUUAAAACAAAUGGGUGACAAAGAAAAUAAAAAAGACCCGAUUUUUCAGGGUAAGCAAAGCUUUGAGGAAAAAGAGAGAAAACAUGAAAAUAAGAAGGGACUUAACGGGAAAAAAAAGGUGAACUCUGUCACUGAGGUGUGAGGUUGGGAAGAAGAUAUGGAAGGGUGAUGAUUUGAUAAAGUGGAAGAGAGGAGGAGCUGGAUUUGGAAAUUAUGGAAGGGACGAAACUGCAACUGUUCACUUUUUUUGGGGGUCUGAUCUGUCAUUUUGGACGAAACUUUGUUUUUUUUUUUUUUGCUAGAGCGUUACAAGAGCGGAUAAUAAAGGGCGUACAGAAGUUAGGGUAAGAUUUGCACGGAGAGGCUGAUGAUUUGCUUCAAUUACAAAACUACCCUCUCUAAAGAUGCGGUUGCCUUGCCUCACAAAUCACGAUAAUUUCUUUUUCUAUUUUCCUUUUCUUUUCUUUUUUUGUGCGAAUUACUGAGUGAAGGCAGCUCAAGCAGACUAUAUAUAUAUAUACAGAACAAUAAGAACUUGAGAUCGCAUUUACUUGUGUUGUGUAAUUAUUUUUAAAACAAAUCCUUAGAAAUAAAAAAAAAAAACUAUUGAAAAUAGGUUUAAUUACUAUUAAUAUCUUUUUAGAAACGUGUGUUUGCCAUCAAUUUUUUUGUAAUUUUCUAAGAGUUUGAAAGAAAUUAAUAAAUUAUUUUCAAAAUCUCUUUUUAGAAAACAAAAUCUAUAUUUGGCUUACAUAUUAUUUAAUUUAUUUGAUAUUACAAAUCCCUUGCUAUUUAAAAAUUAUUUUCUAGUAAAGUAUUUUCAUAGACAAAUUAGUUUAGAACAGGGAUGAAAAGAGAAAAUGAAUACUGGAAUUUUUUGUUGAAAAUAUUUGACAGAAUUAUUUCCUAGUAACAUAUUUAUAUAAAAAAAAAUCUGAGAUAUGAAUGUCUCCUCGAUAUAUGAAAAUAUUUGCCAAAUGGUUAAUGCUUUUGCUUUUGAAACAAGGAGACAAGACGGAAAAAAAAGAAAAACAAACAUACAAACUAAUUGUCAUAUGAUGUAAAUCUCUUUAUAUUUUUUUUCAAUAUAUAUUGUUUUUUUUCUUGUUAUAAAAGAUAAGUUUGACUUCGAGAGUUUUUUUUUAAAAUAGUAUUAAUACAAAUUGAAUUAAAAUUUAUUGAUAUUGAUAAACACAAAUUUCACGAUUUAAAAAAACUCUAAAAAAAUUAAACAAGCCCAAAAAAACACCUCAUGAGCUCAUGCUACCAUGACCAAGGGCUCAGUCGUGGAAACCCAAGCUCAAGCUAGAAUGCCCAAUAAGGUGUGACAUACUUGUGUUGGGCGUGCUAUCACGCCUAGCACCUUUGGUGUUGGGCAUGCACCCUAGCACCCACGUGAACUCGGCUUACCAUGUCCGACCCCAACAUGUUUGGAUCUACAUAGCGCACUUGAACUCAUCUUUUACCUCUAAGGCACCAUAUUCGUGCCCAACACUCUUUUGAGAAUUUUUCAAGGACUCCACGUGGAUUCCACAGUAUUUUAUAUCAAUCCAAUAAAUAUUAUCUUAAGUAGAAUACAACUCAAAAUCACAAGAGUAAAAUGAUUCUUCAACCUCUCCUCUCCACAAAAGACAAGAUGAGCUAUAAAUACCUCAUGAAUUCUUUAAAGCUCAAAGUUCACAAUCUUUUUAUUUUUAACAUUUUUAGUAUACAUAUUUUUAAAGUCUAUCUCUAUAAAAUAUCAUUGCAUUUUCUCUCUCUAUAAAGUUACUGACUUAAGCAUUUAAGAGUCCCUACAUCCAUCAAAUAUAACCUUUUCCAGGUACCAACUACUAGCCAUCUUGACUUGCUAGGCACCACUAGCUACCAACCACCUAGGUUUUCCAUAUCAAACCAUCAAACACCUUGUCUAAAGAGAAUGGAUCAGAUUGAUUAAAUUAAGAGAUUAACCGAUUAUCCAACACAUAAGCCUUAUUCCCUAGCAUCUUGGAUUUUGGAACCUCAUCAUUGGUGUGUCUAUGGGAAACUUAUUAAAAAGCCACUAGUUUCUUCCCAAAACUUGUUUUUGACAUUUGUAGAUCAUUUCAUGGCACACAACCAAGACACACAUAGGCCAAGAUGUAUAACGAAUCUACCUAUUACUGCAAGCAUUUUUGCCCAACCGAACAUUCAACAACUCACCAGUCAGGUGCAAGUCCUCACCCGAGCUGUGUUGGCAAUCCAAGGACAAAAUCAGACCUUGCCAUCUUAACAAGUCUUGACACCCUCAGCAAUACACAACGCCUUAACGCCACAUUGGUCACACCCGACGCCUGUAGACAAUUACACUGCCUAAAGGAUACGAGGUAUAAUGACAUUUAUAAGAGUCCUUCAAGGUGUCGCUCAUUCCAUUGCAAUAUAUAUGCACAAAGCUAGUACUUUAAACGUACUCCCCUAACUAUCAUGAGAUAGACACUAGUUAUCGUGGUCGUCAUUCCAUGUCAGCCUUUCCAGACUCCUAAGAGCCCAACAGACAAAUGACUAAGAGACUGUCUGUAUAUGAGUAUACCCAGAACAAUGUUUACAACCCCCAUCAGGUGAGGGAUUCUUCCUUGUCCAAAUAAGUAUCGAACAAUUGACUCCCUAAGAACUAUAUUUCCAUAAUUAAAAAAAAAAAAGAGUCUAUACAACUAUAAUAGUCUGGCCAACCCAAUAGAGCAUGUGUAGAAUAUGCAUAACAACUUAGAAUUGGUCAUCCAAGACAGUGACUUAAUGUGUAAAAUCUUCCCCAUAACCUUUCAGGGGUCUACGCGUGCUUAGUACAAUAAUUUUGAGCCAAACUUCAUCAAAAGGUUCAGUGACCACUGAAACAAGCUAGUAACACGCUUUAACACCAACAUUCCUGCCAAAAAAAGCUCCACGUAGCUAUUUGGUGUUACCCAGCAAGGGGGCGACUCUACUAGGGUAUACUUGAAAAGGUCCAAUAAGGAGAUGCUCAAAGUUGAAGAUCUAUUUGAGCAAAUAACCUUAAAAGGUUUAAUAAGAGGGGUAGGAGAACAUGCCCUCUAGAGAAAACUUUAUACCUUACCAGACAGAAGCUUGCUCAAGGUGAGAAAAGUCAUGGAAAAUCACAUACGGAUGGAAGAGGCCAAUGUGCUACAAUAUGAGCCUCUUUAUUUUUAUAAAAACAACCGGCGUAAACAACCCUCAAAGAAAAAUCAUUUUCCUAGUAUAAAUGAAAGCUUGAGGAAGAACCAAGGUUGUUAAAAUCGUGAUUUUGACACGGCACGGAAAAUGUAAAACAAACUCGGAUCGUAAAAACAAAUUGUAAAUUUUUUUAAGAUUAUGCUAUUUAUUUUAAUUUAUUUUAAUUUUUAUGGAUAAAAUAAUUAUUUGUUCACUGUAUGUACUUAGGAUUAAGGUUGGGAGUUUUUAAAAUUAUAUUAAUUUCAACUAUAAUGAAUUUUUUCUUUUCACCUAUAAAUAUCAGUAUGGUUGAACCAGGUACACAAUAUAUCUUUGUGUAAAUUGGAAUGAUUCUCUUUAUAAGGUAUAAGUAAAAAAAAUGGAGUUAUUUAAAAAAAAAAUUAUAUAUCCAAUUCGAACCUCGAUGAAAAACUAUUAUGUUUUGCUCCUUAUUCUACCUUCAUGUGAUUAUAAAUAAUUGAAUUUUUAAAUAAAAAAAUUAACACAACUAAAUUAAUGCACGCAUCAUGUUCUAACUUGAUUUUAAUCUUCUAUUUUGAUUAAAUUUUUAAAAAUAUAAAAAAUAUCAGGUUUUAUAGUUAUUGUUAAAAUUUUAAAAACAAACAUAAAACAGUUUAUUUUAAAUAUAAUAUAUAUAAUAAUGGUUAUAUUUCCUAUCGUAUAACUAAUCUCUUUUAUAUAUAUAUAUAUAUAUAUAUAUCCAAUGUCACACAUCAAGUAAUUACCAACCCAAAGUCACAUAAAGUCACCAUCACUCAAUGUACUUAUUUUACUUCUUUAAGUAAACAUAACUGAGCACAAUAAAUUUUUGUACGACCACAGAGCUGAUGGAUAAACAUAACAGUAUUUUUUUGCAAUCAAAUGUCAAUAAUCAGUCGACACCUGUAAUAACAAUUGCAAUUUUAUCUUCUGCGGGUAAAAUCGUUAAAUCGGUGGUGAAAUCGUGAUUUUAUACGAUUUCAUCCGAUUUUAACGAUUUUACCCGAUUUUAAUCCGAUUUUACCCAUUUUCGAGUUUUAUAAACGAUUUAGCACGUAAAACCUACAUUGACUCGUAAAAUCAUACGAUUUUACGAGUCAAAUCGCGAUUUUAACAACCUUGAGAAGAACCAUGAGGGAUCAACCCCAUGAGCGCUUGAUGUAUCCAAAGAAUUUAUUAUUCUUUUACAUCAAAAUAAGAUCACCCAUUCAAAGUUAUCAUGGCAGUCAAGGAAAACACUAACCACCUCCAAGACAUGUUUUUCUUAAGAACCUCCCUCAUACUUAUUGCUUAGAUCACCUCAAGAUACACAAUCCUUAAUGGAAAUGUAAGCUUAUUUUUGAAAUAAAAAUAAUAUAUUUCUCACAUAAAUUUCCUAUCUACAAAUUUUCAGUGUAGUCACGGACUGACAUAUUCUCCAAGUAGUGUCAAAAAGCCCCUCACCAAUUCAUUAGGGAUUGAUUUUGGAUCUCCCGCCUCUCUAAUGUAGUCUCGGACUGACAUGAUUCUCUAGUGGAGCUCCCGAGCUUUAUAUUAUCUAUAUGGAUGAUCUCGAAUGUCCCACUCUUAAGUGCAACCUCUCUUGCUUAGGGGACUCUCAUGCCCCAUUUCAUUGUCAUGAAGGCCACACGCUACUCAUUCUGUAAAAAAACAACACUUUCUGGUAGGGGCUUUCACACCUCAUGACAAUGUUAAAAAGGUCACAUACCCCCCUCACUCUCAAACCCUCAUGCUAUCAUCAAAAAGGCUAUAGACCUCUUACUAUUUGAUGAGAUCUUUCUCUAAUGGUGAGCUUCUAAGCCCCUAUACCAUCAACUAGAAAGCCAUGAUCCUCCCUCUCUCUCUCUAGUACAAUCGUGGAUUGGUACAUGGCUUUCAAUUCUUGCGUUAUCUCAAAGAAUCACCCUCCACAAGUUCCCCUUAACCAUUUAAAUUUUUUUUUCUAAAUAUAGGCUCACCCUUUAGGUUCCCCUGACCUCUUAAAAAAACUUUCUAAGUAUGAAGUUCUUUAUAUCUUACCUCACUUUCGAAUAAUUUUUUUUAGGUAUGAGUUCCUUCAUGGUUCCUCUCUAUAUACUUAGAGAAUUUCUUUAAAUAUGGUGUACACCCUUACAUAUAAGCUCUCAAUUAAAUAAACUUGUAGUCUCUUCCCCUCUUUUUAUAUGAAGAAAACACGAUGAAUUCAUCAUGCCGGGAAUUUUUACAAGUCCUUACGUAUCAAUAUCACAAAGACUUAAGGGGGCUACUAAUAAACCCAAAUUUAACAAGGAAAAAAACCCUUUACAAGGCAAAAAAAAACUCAUGGGCUUGGGCUACCACGCCCGAGCUUAUUUGCUGUUAUAAGGGAUGGACUCAGGCUGUUUGCUUGGGGCUAAGGUGUAUGGGCUCAAGCAUGGUAGCCCGAGCUCAUACUAGGCACACACCCAAUAGGGUGUGACAUGUUUGUGUUGGGCGUAUUGUCAUGCCCAACACCUCUAGUGGUGGACAUGCACCUCAACACCCUACAUGGCUCAAGCCCAACAUGUUUAGGUCCAAGUAGUGCGUCUGGAUCUAUUUUUCAUCUCUAAUAGGCUCAGAAACCUUGCCCGAGUGCAAUACUCCCUUGGAAAUUUUCUUAGGACUCCACACGGGUCCCUCAGUAUUUUAUACUAAUCCAAUAAAUAUUAUUUUGAGUAGAAUACAACUCAAAAUAUCAUAAGGAUAAAAUGAUUCUUCAACCCCUCCUCUCCACAAAAGAAAACGACUCAUGGGCUAUAAAUACCCCCAUGGAUCUUUUCAAAGCUCUAGAUUCUCAAUCUUUUAAUUCUUAACAUUUUUAGUAUACAUAUUUUUAAAGCAUAUCUCUAUGAAAUAUCAUUGCACUUUCGCUCGUUAUAAAGUUACUAACUUAAGCAUAUGAGAGUCUUCACAUCCAUCAAAGAGAAUAUUUUGCAAGUACCAAUCACCUUAGCUUAUCAAGCACCACCAGCUACCGGCUACCAACCACCUGAACUUUUCAUUUUAAAUCAUCAAACACCUUAACUAGAAAGAAUGAGUUGAGUUGCUUGAAUUAAGAGAUUAAUCGAUUAUCUAACACAUAAGUUUUAUUCUUAAACAUCUUAGAUUUUAGGAUUUUAUCAGAUAUGAUAAUAUACGAUGUUGCAUUAUCUAAAUAUUAAAGCUUCAAAUAUUCAACAACAUGAAACAAAUAAUGGGAAAAAAAAAACUCUUCCUUACAUUAUAUAAUUUCUAGAUACAUAGAAUAGUUAGAAAUGAAUAUAAUAUAGAUGCAUCAUUGAAUACAAAUACAACCAUGUAUCAAUUUUUAAAACUUUAAGAAUUCAUUUUAUACAAUUUAUUAAUUAAGAAAAAAAGCUAAAACAAUAAUUAUUAAAAAUAAACAAUAGUGGUUGAAAUACCACAAAACUAUAUACUUGUUUGUAUAACAUCCAUAAUAAGAAAAUGUUAAGUAGCAUUUUUUUCUUUCUUAAAAAAAAAUCAUAUAUUUUUCUAUUUCUUUACCAAUCAGGAACUGUCCCGGAUAAAAACUUUAGUUCGAUACUGUAGAAUUAAAACAUAGAAAAAUAUUAAUUUUUUAAUGGAGAGAAAAUUAAAAUAACAGCAGUGAAAGUGAAAAGCCACCCUACCUACGACUUACAAAAAAGAUAUUUUUAAAAUAUCCCGGAAUAUUCAUGGUAGAAAAUAAAAUAGUAGCAGCAAGGGCAAUAUAGUCAUUAUGGAUAUCCUGGACGCGUUAUUGGUAACUGAAAAAAAUAAAUUGAGAGGAGGUUGUGAGGCCCAGCCACGACCACACAACACCAGCAAUGAUUAUCUGAAGUUGCGGGCGAGCUGGCAAAUUUUAGACUAAAGUCCUCGCACGAGAUAGCCAACAGUGCCAAUAUUUCACGUGCGAGCUUUGACACGUGACAAGAUAUCACUGUGUCCAAAUCAGGACAAACGACAAGAGAAAGAUUGGUGUCCGUGUCCUUGUCUGUCUUGCGUGAUCUCAGCCUCUCGAUGUGUAGUUUUGGAGCCUUCCACGCGUUUGUCUUCUUACAGUGAUAUUUUUCACGGAUGGUAAUUAUAUUUUUAAUGAAGAAAGGAGUAUUUAAUGUUGGUAUUAUAUUUUAUAUUUGAAAAAAAUAUAGAUAAUAUUAAAUAUUUAUUUUUUUAAUUGGCAUGUUUAGAUUUUAUCCUUUUUUAAUUACUACCUAUCACCAACUUUUUUUUUAUGAGAUCCUCCUUAAAUAUAUUUUCUGUAUUUUCAAAUAUUAUUACCAAUAACAUGAAUGUUUUAAAAAAUAUAAUAUAAUAAUUAAAAAUUUUAAAAUAUAAUUUUUAUAUACUUCCUUGUUUUUUAUUUGAAUUUUAAUAAAAUUUAAGUUAUUCUUUUGAUUAAAUUUAUAAUGAACAUGGGUGACUGAUCAUUUAUAGAAUUAGAAUAAAACAGAAAAUAUGAUUUUUCUUUAUGGCAUGCAUAUAUAUAUAUAUAACAAAAUAUACUAAAACAUUUAGGUAAUUUAUAGUAAUUCAUUUUUUUUUCAUUUUUUUUAUUGCAGCCUUAUUAUGCUAAAAUUAAUGAUAAAUUUUUUAAAUUUUGUUAAGUAAAUAAAAAAACAAGGUAUAAACACAGUGACAAAUCUCAUGGUUGAUCUUAAAUUUGCUAGAAAAAAAAUAUAUUUUCACUUUCGUUUCUUUUUUUUUUAAUUUUAUAGUUUUUUUAAUUUUUAUAAUUUUAAUUUUAAUAUUUAAUCUAAAUCGAUUUAAUAUGUGAUUGUCUUAAUAAUUUUUUAUAAAAAAAUUAUUAUUUUUAAUUUUUUUAAAAAUAUUUUUUUACUUAUUAUUCAAGUUAUUUAUGAACUUAUUAAAUUAAUUAAAUUAUCAAUAUUGGAGUUACAAACUAGAUAAGAAAUCAGAAUAAAAGAUUUCAACAUUAAACUAUAAAUGAGAUUUAAUAAGAAUUUCUCGCUGCUGAACAAUUUGUUUUUUUUUUUUUAAAUGUUUUAGCCUACAUAACCUAGGCUAGUUGUCUAGCAUGUGUCUAUUGGCCCACGAAUUUGUAAUCGCGAGUUGACAAGUGGAAACUUUCAGGGAUUUAGGGUCAAAAGGGCCGGCUUAUAACUAGGAAGUGGGCCAGUCGAGCGCUGGGUCCCACUUGUGAGGAUAAUUCAAGAAAGUGAUCAAUGAUCCUCCAAGGGGAAAAGGAAAAUUGUUAUGCUUGGUUUGCUUGCACUCCACCGUUAAUUAAUUAAUGUAUAAGAAAAUCUACUGCUUUAAGGCAAAUCUUCUUUAGUGUAUAUUUGGUUUAUAGGUGUUGUGUUUUUUUUAAAUAUAAUCUUUUUUAAAUAUAAAUUAUAUCUCACAAAAAUAAAUAUACAUAUUUUUUAUAUAGAUUCUAUAAAAACAAAACCAUCACAUCUCCGUAACCAAACACUCCUUAUAAUAAAAUUAAAAUCAGUAUCAGAAAACAUUCGAGAUUGCUGAGCAAUUUUGGUAUUUUAGUUGACGAGGACGAGCACUCAUAAUUAUUGGUUCCUUAGCAUAUGAAUUUAUCUGGAGUUGCGGUGAAUUUUUUUUUAUAUUAAAAUUUAAUUGAUUUUUUAAAUUAUUUGUUUUUAGUGUUUUAUAAUUAUUUUAAAAUGUACUAACAUCAAAAAUAAAUUUUACUAUAUUUAGAUAAAAUUUAGUGUUGAACUCUCUAAAGUGGCGAACAACUAUGCAUGUUUCUAUUUUUCCGUAGAUCUUGGCGGUACCCACAUUGACAUGACCAUUCAAUGCAAGCACUUACUAAUUAAAGAAGUGAUUGAUUUCUUACCACUGUAAAUUAAGAUGCAAUAGUAAAUUCACCCAACAAGUCAUAAUUCUCAUCAUAAUUAUAUUACGAAAAGUUAGUUUGUUUUUUUUAUUAUUAUUUUAAGAGUGUUUUAAAAAAAUUAAUUUUUUAUAUUUUCAGCCAAUAUAAAAAAUAAAUUUUAAAAAAUAAAAAAUAUUAUUUAAAAAUAUUUUUAAAUAAAAAUCACUUUAAAAAACAAAAAUUACUGAAAUUAAAAACAGUUACUCAAUCUUCGCCGCGGGGAGUGGGGACUCAUGAAGAAGGUAGAUCAGCCAAAGACUUAUUGGGUUUGAUAAUUCACCCAUCAUCUAUAGUCAGUCAUAAUUUUCAUCAUAAUUAUAUUACGAAAAGUUAGUUUGUUUUUUAAUUCUAAGAGUGUUUUAAAAAAAUUAAUUUUUUAUAUUUUUAUAUUGUUUUAAUUUGUUAAUAUAAAAAUAAAUUUUAAGAAAUAAAAAAAUAUUAUUUAAAUAUAUUUUUAAAUAAAAAAUCACUUUAAAAAACAAAUAUAAGUUUCGAAUCUUGGCGGUCGUGACUCAUGAAGAAGGUAGUUGUUGAUCAACCAAAGACUUACUUGGGUUCGGUAGUUUUUUCUUUUUAUUUUAUAACAUAAAAAAUCAAAUUUAAGAUUUACUCAGAAAAAUUAAAAGAAGGAAGAAGAGACGACGUCUACCUGCUAGCAUUGUGAUCCAGGUGGCACCGCUGCUCUGUAUCAUCCAUGGCAAUGCUUGCAGAAGGGGGAGAGAGAGAGAGAGAGAGAGAGAGUACUCUUUGGAUCCACUUCGAUGAAUGAUUGUCGUUGAUGAUAUAAUUGUGUUCACAUGGCGCCACUAAAAGUAUUUUCUUCUGUGGGAAGACAAGACCAUGUCCGGUUCAAGAGCAGUGAGUGGAGCUAAAGCAAAGCCAUCCUUUCAUUUAGAAAUUAAUCAAUUACUACUUCUCCAAGUGUAUUUUGCUUAUUUAUUAUCACUCGCACAAUAAUUGCGAACAAGUCAGGCUGCUUCUUUUCACAAGCUAGCUAUAUUGAGGUAGAAGAAAGAAAGCGCUACACGGGAACCGGAAACUUUACGCUACAGGGGGGUGUAUGGAUUAUCAUUUUUAAUUCGGUUCAAUUUUUAUUUAUAAAAAUAACUAACUUAAAAUUUUUUAAAAUAUAUAUAAAAAAUCAAAAUUGAAACCAGUUCUAUUCGAACAGUUUUAAUUCAGUUCGAUUUAAUUUGGUUCGGUUUGGUUGUUUUAUAUUCAUAACUGAAAAUUAUAUUGUUUUUGGGCUUUUUUUUAUUUUUUAAUGGUUCUUUUCGGUUCAGUUCGGUUUUUUCCAGUUUGGUUUAUUUCUUAAUUAAACCGGUUUGGUUCAGUUUUUUUAUUUUAGGCUUAAGAAACCGAACCCAAACUGAUUUUUUUAAAAAAUAUUCUAAUCGAUUUAAUUGAUUUUUUUUCAUUGUUUGAAUUUUUAAAUUUUUUUUUUAAUUUAAUCAAUUUGUUAGUUUUUUUACUUAUUCCUAACACGGCGGAUAGAUAUGAUGAGAUUGAAGAGUGUUUGUUUUUUUUAUGUGGGAAAUAUUUAGUUGUGGUUGAUUUGAUUAAAAAAAUAUAUUUAAUUAAAAAUUUGGUAAAAUUGUAAUUAGAAAAAAGUACAUUAAAGAUUUUUGGUUGUAAUUGUGCUUGAAAUUAAUAUGUGCGGCAAUUCCAUUACGAGCAUAAUCCUAUAUUUAUAUUCUCAUUGAAAUUGAUGGAACUCGAGGAUCGAUCCUCCCACCUAACAUAUCUGCACAGGAUGCUACCAACUGAGACAUUUCGAAAACUAAUAGACACAUUUCUGGCUAAACAAAUCAAGUUCAUUCAACUUCUCAAAUCCUGAUUACAAUGACUAAUUUUAUUAUGAUAUGUUUGGUUGAUUUCAUAUGGAUCAAACAACUUUACGGUCACACACUAUGCAGCGAGUUAGAUCAAAAUUUUAUUUAUCAUCGAAAAAAUAUCAAAGUCAUUAAAUUAUUUGAUAUUAUUAUUAAAUUUAUCUAACAAGCCAAACUUGAAAUCUUUUCACCCUAUUUUUUGUCUAGCUCUGAUUUAAAAUUAACUCACGUGAGAGUUGUUUUGACAUGACAAGGUUGACUUAAUGGGUCCAAAAACAACUCAUGGUUUGAUUUUAAAAAAAUUCAAGAUGAUUCUUUUAUUUUAAUAUUGAGAUGACUCUAUAUUGGAUCGAUUUAUGACUUAACUUGCUAAAUUUGUGAUCUGGAUCAUUCAUUCCAUUGGGUUUAACAACUCUUUUUUUAAAAAAAAAAACACUAUUUUUAAUUUAAUGAUAUAAUAACAAAAAAGACACUUGCAAAAUUGAGCACUAAUCAAAUACCAUAAUAUUUUUUUAAGAUUGUAAUAAACUCAUAAAAAGCAAAUCAAAAUAAAUUAUGAAGACCACUUCAAAAUCAAAUAAAAUUUAAAGGAUAAAAUUGAAAAAAAAAGUCAAAAUGGAUUCAACCACAAAGAAAAUAAAAUUGGAAGAUGGAAUUAAAAAAAAAAGAGGAAAAAAAGGGCUUCACCAACAGGCCGACCUUGAACUUCUCAACCCAACUCCUUACCUAGCCUGAGUUUAAAAUUAACUUACAUAGAAGUUGUCCAGAUAUGAUCUACUUGUCUUGACGGAUCCAAAUAGCAACUCGGACGACCAAUGAAAAGCGUGGUAUAACUUUAUAAAAAUUCAAUAUGAUAUCUCUUUAAUACUAAGACAAUGAUAUAUUAGAUUGACUAGCUUUUGUGGUUUAAUCCACCAAACCUGCGAUCCAAAUCAUAGACUCCAUUGAGUGUGACAUUUUUUUUAAUUAUUUUAUAUUUAACGAUAUGAUAACAAAAUAGGUUCUAUAAAAAUUAAACACUAAUCAAAUAUCAUAAUAUUUGUUUAAGAUUGUGAAAACCUUAUAUAAAACAAAUAAAAAUAAAUUAUAAAACCAAUUCAAAACGAACAUAUUGAAAAAAAAAAGCUAAAAAAGAAAAAACUUAAAGGUAGAAUAAAAAAAAAAAGGGACCAACUCCUUCACUGAACAGUGAAGGAGCUGGUUUUACCCUGGUUUUUUUAGCAGGUUAGGUAAUCAUUGACUAGAAUUGGGAGGUUUCAGUUAGGUUACUUGAGACUAUGGAUCAAUAGAUAUCAUAUACUUUUUUCUUAAUGGUCAUAUUAGAUUAUUGGUUCUGGAUGUGUUACGGGUUUGAUUAAUUUUUUUAAUGUAAAAAAAAUAUCCAAGUAUUAUUAUUGUAUUUUCUAAAAAAAAUGAUCAUGAACUCAAAAUAUAAUGCAUAUUGAACGAUAUUUGUUUUUUAAAUAUUAAUAUGACAAUGUAUUGAAUGACAUUUGUUUUCAAAUAUUGAGACAAUAACAUAUUAGAUCGAUUCCGGUUAAUCUGUCAAAUCUUUGACCCUAGUCAUUGGACCGUGAUAAUUCUAUAAAAAGCAAAUCAAAAUAAAUUAUGAAGGCCAGUUCGUACGCAGCCUAAUGUUGAAGGGGAAAAAAAAAAUUACUCGGGUCAUGAGAUCAGAAUAACCUCUUGAAAAGUAAAUAAAAAAAACUAAGAAGCCCAAUUUUCAAUCAAUCAAAUGGUGAAGCAUGAAAUUAAUUUAAAAAAAACACAAAAAAAACAAUAUAAGUCAACUCGAGCUAACCUGUUAAACCUGUGACUUAGGCCAUGAAACCAGGAUAACCUUAUAAAAAGUAAAUAAAAAAAUUUACAAAACUCCAUUUCCAACAAAUCCAAUGUUGAAGCUUGCAAUCGAGAAAAAAAAACUAAAUCCAUGAGAUCAGGAUGACUCCACAUAAAGCAAAUUGAAAAAAAAAUACGAAGCUUAAUUCCUAAACAACCUAAUAUUAAAGGAUGAAAUUGAAAAAAACUAAAUAAAAAAAAGAUUGAGUUGUUGGAUAGUGAAAGAGUGAAAUUGAAAAAAAAAAUCAAUUAAAAAAGAAUUUGAAAAAAUAAACCAAGUCGAUCUGGGUUAAGUUGCCAAACCCACGACUCGGGUCUUGAGAUUGGGAUAAUCCCAUAGAAAACAAAUAAAAAAGAAGCCCAAUUAAAAAAUGACAAAAAAAAAUAAACAGAAUCAACUCGGGUUAACCUUCCGAACCCUUAACCCGAGUCAUAAGAUAUGGAUAACCUCAUAGAAAGUAAGUAAGAAAAUCGUUAACCCGAGUCAUAAGAUAUGGAUAACCUCAUAGAAAAUAAGUAAGAAAAAAAUCCCAAUAAAAAAAUAACCAAAAAAAUAAACUGAGUCAACUCAGGAUAACCUGCCAAACUCCUAUCUAGGUUAUGAGAUCGAAAUAACCCAUUAGAAAUACAAUUAAAUUUUUUUUACAAAUUUCAAUUUCCAAACAAUCCAACAUUAAAGGAUGAAAUAAAAAAAAACCAAUUAGAAAAAAUAACCUAAACAAUGAUCCGAGUUAACCUGAGUUAAUAUGUUAAACAUGCGAUCUAGGCCAUGAGAUUGAAUAAAUUCAUUGAAAGCAAUAAAAAAAAUAUAUGAAACCCCACUUCCAAUAGAUGUAAUGUAGAAAUCGAGAAAAAAUAAUCUAAAUCUAUGAUAUUGAUAUAUAACCUACCAGAAAGGAAAUUGAAAACAAUUACGAAGCACAAUUAUGAGAAGAACUCAAUAUUUAAAGGAUGAAAUUGAAAAAAACCUAUAAAAAAAAAACAAUUGGGUUGAUGAAAGUUGAAAUUAAAAAAAAUACACAAAAACAAUAAAAAAAAUUAUAAAACAGUAUUUUAAUGAAUAAUAUUAUGUUAAGGUGACUAUAGUAAUUUAACCACAUCAUGUUUAAAAUUUGAAUAAAAUACUUAAAAAGAUCGUGUUGAUAAAGAGUGAAAUUAAAAAAAUAAAUAUUAUUUUAAUAAAUAAUAUUUUAGAGGUGUGGCUAUAAUAAUUUGAUUAUAUCUUUUAAUAUUUUAUUAAUUGAUUGAAAAUUAAAAUACAUACAAGAGACACUAAAACCAAAUUUCAAUUAUGUUUAUUAGAUUAAAUUAUAAUAAUAAAAAGGGGCACGGAAUUUCCAUGUAAAUCUCGGGGAUUGGAGAGCAAAUUAAAUGUGAUGACAUUUAGCUUUAUAACUAGUUACAUGCCCCGCGCGAUGCCGCGGGUCAAUUAUUUUUUGCAUUUUAAAAAUAGUUAAGAUCUAAAACUAUUAGGUUUUUUUACAAAGUUAUACCCAAUAGUCUCAGGUUUGGUUGUAACGCCUGAUCCAAGAGUAAUAUUUAUAAUAUUAAUAAUAAAAUUAAACUUGGGUUAACCCUUAGCAUAAAAGUGUCUGGAUUGCAAUACCAGACCCAAUAACAUUGGACAUGGGUCUGGCUGCAAGGUUGUGUCAUAAAAGUGUGAUAAUUUAAUAAAUUAGUUAAAAAAAAACCAACAGGAAAAAAAAACUAAUGAAAAAAAAAAUAUGAAUUAAUUGGGUUAACCCUUCAAACCAGGUUAACCCGUCAUACAUUGAAUUUGCAUCGUGAAAGCUUGAUAGUUAAAAAGAAAAAAACAAAUUAAUGGGUUAACCCAGAAUUAACUAGGCUAACUCGUCAAACCAGGUUAACCUGUCAAACCCAGAAUCCGUGUAAUGAAAGUUUGAUAACUAAAUAGAAAAAAAUUUAACAUUAACAAUUUAAAUUAAACAAAAAAAAUUAAUUAAAAAAAAGCAUCAGCCUUUUCACAGUGGACUGCACUGUGCAGUUCACAGUCAAAGGCAUAAAAAAAAACUAAAGGCAUCAGUCGAGAACUACUUAGAAAAAAAUUUAAUAUUAAUAAACUAAAUUAAUUAAAUAAAAUUAAUUAAAAAUAACAAAUAAAAGAAAAAAAACCUCUAAGAAGAAAAAAAACUAAAUAGAAAGAAAUUUAACAUUAACAAACUAAACUAAACGAAACGAAAAAAAUAAUUAAAAAGAAAAAAAAAGCAAAAAAUAAAAUAAAAUUCAUGUUAACUCGUCAAACCAAGUUAACCAGUUAAACCCGGGAUCUGUGUCAUGAAUGUCUGGUAACCAAAUAAAAAAAAGUGAAUAUUAACAAACUGAACUAAACAAAAAAAAUUAAUUAAAAAAAAAAAAAUCUGGGUUAACUCGUCAAACCAUGUUAAUCUGUUAAACCCAGUAUUUAUGUCAUGAAAGUCUGAUAACUAAAUAAAAAAAAAAAUUAACAUUAACAAACUAAAUUAAAAAAAAUAUUUAUGAAAAUAAUAAUAAAAAAAAUUGACGGGUCAACCCGGAAUUAACUGGGUUCACCCGUAAAACCAGGUUAACCCGUGAAACUCGAGAUAUGUGUCAUGAAAGUCUAAUAACUAAAUAGAAAGAAAUUUAACGUUAACAAACUAAGCUAAACGAAAAAAAUUAAUUAAAAAAAUAAAGAAAAAAGCAAAAAAAAAUCUCAAAAAGCAUAAAAAAAACAGCUAAAAAAACUUAGAUAACCUUAAAAAAAAAAAAAAAAACCGCCUAAGGAACAGUCCAUAGUAAAACACUGACUCUUUUUAGUUAUAGUUUAAUGGAUUUAUGUGGUCCAACCUGCAUACACUCUUUGUUUACACCGGGCUGUCGUUUGCGCGUAGCUUUGGGCUCCUUAUGGGCAUAUUAUUUUCGAAAUCUAACUUAAUCAAAAGCCCAUACAAUAUAUAUAUAUAUAUAUAUAUAUAUAUAUAUAUAUAUAUAUAUAUAUAUAUAAUAUUAUAAAGUUUCAAACUUGAAUUGGGCAUAUAGUCAUAGCUGGGGAGAAAAAACAGAAAGUAGACUACAAACAGAAAAGGCUUUCCACAUGAAAAAAUAAAAACUUAAAAAAAAAAAAACGGUUUUAUAUUUCUUCAUAUAUAAGGUUGCAUUCUCACACUUGCUCAUGUAAUAUUAUAUUUCUUCAUAGUUUAAUAAAUAUUAACUAUUUUUCAUCCAAAACAUCUAGAUAUCUUGAUAAACUCAUCAAUGAUAUUAGAAAAUUAUACAAAAACCUGAAAUCAAUCCAAUAUCAAAAAUCUUCCCGAGCUCAUAUAUGUUCUUUAGGCAAUCUGAAGAUGGAAAAAUACUUAAGUGGAGCUUUUCUUAUUGAAUAGAACUCGUUAACACCAAAAUCAACUAUUUUGGUGGCCGAAAUUGAUGUCAAGAAUAAUUUUCUCUCUCUAUCGUUGGAAUCCAGUGACUUUCUCUAUUAUUUUUCAAACUAGAGACUAAAAAAAUAAGAAAAAUAAAAUUUUGAACUAAAAUUGAUUUUUUUCUUGAAAUUUAAAAAAUUAGAGAGACCCAAUAUUUAUAAUUUUAAAAGUAAGAAGUAUACAAUAAACAUUUUAUUCAAAGUUGAAAAAAGCCAUCCAUUCAUCCACCUUUUCACUUUGUUCCCUGUUUUGUAAUAAAAAAAUAACUUAAAUUGGCCUCUAAUUUGGUCUUACAAGGAUGAAAAUUUUUUUUUUGAAAAAAAUAAUGUCUUUAUCAAAUACAAUUUUGUUAUCAUAAUAUUAAUUUAAUUCUAUAUAUCUAGUAGUAAAUAUAAAAUAUCAUAAACAUAUGAGCUCAUGGUGUCAAAUAUCUUCGGUCAAUCUUGUUUAUUUCUUAAUUCUAAUUGUUCUACAGAGUUCUCUACAUUAUAUUAUUAAAUGUUUCAAUUGUAAUCUCAUUUCCUGACGUUUGUGACCUCUCUAUAUUUUUGAGUAUAUUUUCAUCAUUUAUAUGCACACCUCUCAUAAUAAGAUCUGUAAGAGAAAGCAAAUGAAAGAUUUCAUAUUCUCCAUAUUGGCACAACCCCAUCACGAAAUCCAUGUUGCAGAUGAAGUAUUAUACCUUGGACAUAGUGAUCAAGUUCUUGAACCUUACCUCCUUUUCAUGAAAGAUGCUAGGUAUGUAUCAACGAUACUUGUAAGUCCCUUGUCAGGGGGUUUAAUUGCAGAGAACCUUAGUAUCUAAAUUUGAGGCAGAUUGUAAAGUUUAAGGCUUUUUACCUACAUGAAGAUGAAAUUGAUCUCUAUAGUCUAUUUCAAUAUCAUCAUUGUUGUACCCUCGCGAGAGCGCGACGUCGUGGCGACCCUUCCCGGAGCGGGGGAUUGAUUUCGGGGUUUUUGUUUUGUGAAAAAGAAAAUUGCCAUCUAGUAUUAUGGUCACUAGGAAACCUAACUGGUCUUUCAGAGAUUCUAAGGCAAGGGACUGGUUGCGUAAAGAGAAGGUUAUAACACCCCUAGUACGCCCUACCUAAGGUAAGCUGCUCGGUGUUUGGUUUGCCUUAUCAUUGUUAUGGUAUUGAUGUUUUCUAAUCAGUUUUCCUAGGAUGAGUUUGCUAUGAUGAGUGAACUUGGGUUCAAAGUCUAAAAUAAGAAGAAAAAACCCUUAGCCAAUAUGGAUUAUACCUUUAGAUAUGUCUAUAGUGUGCCAAGGAAAACCAAUGCAGAUCUCUUGAAAUCUGUGUUUAAAAUAAAUUUAUAACCUAUGGAUUAAGAGACAACUAAAAUAGAAAUCUAAGGAGAUUCAAUGUGUUUAAGAGCUCAUUUUUCUCUUAGUAUUUCAAGUGUUCGCGACUCGUAAAUCGCAAGGAAGAGAAAAGAAAAAAAACUAAGUUAGAAAUCUAAGAAAAUUCAAGGUGCUUUAAAAGCCCAUUUUUGCCUUAGUAUUUCAUAUUUUCGUGACUCAUAAAUUGUGGAAUCAAAAUUUGAAAUGUCCCCAAUUAUAAUUGAGGCUUCUUUCAAGGAUACACAAUUAAAUUGUUCUAAAUAAAAUUUUAGGCAUAAAUCUGUCCUUAUAUUAAAAAUAAACAAGUUGUAUUCCUAUUAACAAUAUUUUGGACAUUUACCUUUCAUAGGUUUAUUUUCCCUUAUAUUAUUAAGGGAUAAUGACUUCUUAUUCCUAGAAAAAUAUUUUUGAUAUUUACCACUUGAGGGUUUCUUUAUCCAAAUAUUAACAGUGAACAAUGACGAAUCAUUCCCAAUAAUAUUUUGAAUAUUAACCCCUUUGGGGUUUCUUUAUCCAAACAUUUGUAGUGAAUAAUAACAAAUCAUUCCUAAUAAUAUUUUGGAUAUUAAUCCAUUUGAAAUUUUUUUAUCCAAACAUUAAUAAUGAAUAAUAACAAAUUAUUCCUAAUAAUAUUUUGGAUAUUUAUCCAUUUGGGAUUUCUUUAUCCAAACAUUAAUAGUGAAUAAUUACAAAUUAUUCCUAAUAAUAUUUUGGAUAUUUACCCAUUUGGGAUUUCUUUAUCCAAACAUUAAUAGUGAAUAAUAACAAAUUAUUCCUAAUAAUAUUUUGGAUAUUUACCCCUUUGGGAUUUCUUUAUCCAAACAUUAAUAUUGAAUAAAGACGAAUUCCUAAAAAUAAGAUUUUUGUAUUUUUGGAAUAUUGGCCAACACCCUUUAGAAUUUACAAACACGUUGUAAAAUCCAAGAUGCAAGAAAAUAAUUUUUAUGUUUAAAAAAUCAUGUUAAAAUAUAUUUUUUGAAACCUUGAAUAUUUGCUUUUUUUAAAGAAAUUUUUUUAAAAAUAUAUUAGGGUGUUAACUGUAUGCAACAUACAAGAAAACUUUUUUUUUAUAAUCAAAACACAAGCAUCACAGUAAACACAAUUAAAACGACAAACCAACACAUAUAUUUCGCAGAAACUUAGACAGUGCAUGUAAGACAAAGCAGGAGGAACCCAGAAAAAAGGUCAUCCAAAGCCAAAUCUCAUCAAAACAGAACUGGUCUAUCAACUCAAAGCCCAAACAUAGCAUGACCAUCAUUUUCAACAGAAGGGAGUAAGUCAUGUGCACAUGGAAGCUAAACGUUUGAAAACCAAACCUAUAAUAGAAAACGUUGCUCCCACCCCUUCUUUUUUUGAUCUCUGACACUGCUAUACUCGUUUCAUGAAAACAGAAAGAAAACGCUGGGGAGCAAGCCUUUAUAUCAUGUAUAUCACAGACUAAAAAACAUAAAAAAACAUUAUGGUUGGCCAUCCUUUCUCCAGCGGGCAGAAAAGGGAUGGAGGAAAUAUGACCUUCCCCAGAACAUGCCAACGUUACUUCAAGUAAAAAGGAACUUUCUUUGUGUUUUCUUUAUUCUCUGGACAUACUACAUUUAGGAGCACAACUCCUCCUAUACAUAAACUUAGAACCAAGGAGGUACCUGAACAGAGAAAAAAAAGUGGGGAGGGUCUUUGAAGUUCAUGGUUUCUCGCGGUAGGGGAAUAAGGAAGGAAAACACGCCUUUAACAUAAACCAUAAGCUAAACUCAAAGCCAUGAAAGAUUAAUUAGUGGGCGAGCAUAUAACCUUUGUCCAUACAGAAACCGCAUGUUUAGAGCAAAGGGAGAAACAGGCUUGGAACAGAACAACCAACAGAUGCCUAGUUUGAAUAUAACCACGAAGAAGAAGUUGGCAUAUACCUGCAGAUUUUGUUUGCUUGAAUGCAGAAGAUGAAGUACAGACGGAUGGAAAAGCCCUCGCCUUUCUGCCUCUAAAAAACCAAAGAAAGCCUUCCUCUUUUUGCCGUUAGGAGUCUUAAAGAAACCCUUAGAUUUUGUGAGCUCCUGUUUGGCAAUCUAGGAUAGACUGGAGAUAAUUUUCCCUCUCGUCCUCUUUGUUUUUUUUUUUAUGCUAGCUCUCUCUGUUCUUUACUCUUCUCUCAGCCUCCUCCUUCUUUUCUUUUUCUUUACGUUUCUCCACAGCUUGCUUAUAUAGCCAAGAAAAAUUGAAGACCAGCCCCACCCCCUCUCAUCCUAGCCGUGUGUAUUAAGGGUAAAAUCCCAGCCCUUAGAUGGUGUUAGGCUCCUCUCUUUGUCUUUUUUCACAGCUAGCACUGUGAAUGUACACAGUCAUUCCCUUGCUAAAAUUAUUUUACUUGCAGCUGCAAACCUAGCGUAAAAUAGGUGGCACUCGUACAGACCAAGCUGGCCUGAGAACGCAAGGACGAGGGAAUGAAAGAAAAGCCAGCAGGAGCGGCUGUAGAGGAGGGAAAGAAUUGCAGAUGGGGAGGUACUGUUCUGAAAAAUGCAAAUAAACAGUACCAUAAUGGGGCUGUUUCAAAACGGUGCUGCCUCUUUUCUCAGCUGAAGAAAGGAUAAAAAAACAAUGACGGUGUCGUUUGUUGUUGAAAAAAUAAGGCAAAGGUAAACAUAGCAGCAGCCACGUAAUUCAGUGUGGCAGCCUUUUAUUUUCUAUCCAAUCCCCCGUUUCUUCAUACCUUCACGAGAGCAGGUCGAGGCGAAAACAUGAUAUUCAAACGAGAGCAGGAUGGCCAAUUUCUUCUAAUUUCAUCUUAAAACCACUCCCUUAUUUCAGUCUUUUUUUAAUUUAGUCCUGCAAACUUGAGGGGCAAAAUCCUUCUUGUGGCAGAAUUUUUGCUUUCUCAUUAGAUAUUCAAAUAUGAAUAUCUUGAGUUUCUGAUAUCGCCAUCAAGCGACUCAAAAACCUAAAUUCAUAUACAUGUAGGACUACAACUUUCAUGAAAGAUUCAAGGUGAGAAAAAAUUGUUUUAAAGAACAGAAUCGAGCAGCAAUCGGGUUGGUAAAAAAAGGGUCUCCUGAUCUGAUUAAAAAACUAACAAAUGCCGAGCAUCCCGAUAUGAUUGAGAAUAUAACCCAAGAAUAACGACCAACAAAAUCAUGAUGGAAGCAGAGUCUUUAGUGCAAAACUCGGGUCAGAAUCCUGCUCGCGGCAGAAUUCUCUACUUUCACGUUUAGAUAUUCAAAUGGGAAUAUCUUGAGCUUCUAAUAUCAAAAUCAAGCGAUUCAAAAACCAAAAUUUAUCUACGCGUACAGGACUACAACUUUCAUCAAGGAUUAAGAAUGAGAUAAAUUCGUUUUGAAGUACAGAAACUGGCUGCAACCUGGUUAGUCAAAAAAGGAUCUCCUGAUCUAAUUCAGGAAACUAACAAUGCGAAGCAUCCUAAUUUGACUGAGAGUCUGCCAUAAGAAUAGUGAGCCCUAGGACCCAAUAAAUGUGUAGGUCAAUUCUUCAACAUGUCAUGAGUGACAGAAUAUAGUCGGGACGGUCGGAUAUUGCACGAAACCAAGUCAGAAUCGAGGCCUAAGUUGGAACAAAAAAUUACGACAGCAGCAUAAUCAGUUUUUUAGUGCAACUUCUGAGGGAUUUAUCCAACCUUAAAGACCAGAUAACAAAGGAACAAAUUUACCAUUAUAAAGACUCCUAAUUAGCCUAAGAAUCCUGACAAUUUCGGCAGCAAAGGGGAAGGAUAAGGAGAGCAGUUGCCAGCUGAAACAGGAUUCGAAAAACAUUUCUUUCUUCUUUGCUUUUGUCAAUCUCCCAGCAACCUUGAACUAAACUCCUGCCUUUGAUUUAAAAAGAAUAUACACCAUCUCUAUUAGCAUGUAUGGCUCAAAACAAUGAGUGACAAUAGCCAUCAUCAUCAUCAUCAUCAUCAUCAUCAUCAUCAUCAUCAUCAUCAUCAAACCAUGUUUUAUGGAGGUCGAGAAAUGAGAAAGUUGGCCAGAUAGCCUCCCACCCCCUAGGUAAUUGAUACAUAUGGCAAUUUGCUAUAUUAUUACAAUAAUAUUAUUUGCAGUAAAUGAGGUAAGUCUUAAAAGAUCAAAUAGCUACUCACACUUUUCAAUGGAAGAAACACACAAUUUCAUUUUACAGAUUUUCUUAAUACGCCCCCGCAAGAUAGAAUUUCAAUUAGUAAGGCCAAUCUUGGAUCUAAGGAAUGCAGUACGCUGCCCGGAUAAAGGUUUUGUCAGCAGAUUUGCAAACUAGUCCUGGGUGUGAACAUGUUUGACAUUAAUAGUGCCUUUUUGAACUAAAUCACGGACAAAGUGAAUAUCAAUCUGAAUAUGCUUCAUUCUAGAGUGAUGAACCAGAUUGAAACUGAGAUGAGUAGCGCCAAGGUUGUGACAUAACAGGUGACAUAACAGGGAAGGUGGAGCUUUAAGUGGAAAUCCAAGUUCAUUGAAAAGACUGAGUAACCACAUUGUUUUAGAUGCUAUAUUAGUUAAGGAUCUGUAUUCAGCCUCUGUAGAUGAAAGUGCAACAACCUGUUGUUUUUUGGAGCUUCAAGAGAUGAGAUUGUGUCCCAAAAAACUGAUAUAAGCUGAAGUAGAAGUGCGAUCAUCAAUGUUUCCGGCCUAGUCAACAUCAGAAUAUGUUGUGAGAUGCCAAGGGGUAGUCUUUUGGAGUUGGAUGCCAUGGAAUAUAAUCUAUUUCAUAUACCGAAAUAGUCUUUUAACUGCUGUCCAGUGUGUAUUGAUGGGCUUCUGCAUAAAUUAGGAUAAGUUGUUGACGAGAAAGGAAAUAUCAGGACGAGUGAGGGAGAGAUAUUAAAGGCUCCCAAGUACUCGAUGAAAUUCAGUACUAUUAACAGAGACAGUAUCAUCAACCGGUUUUAAGGAUGUACCAGUAGAUAGGGGGUGGAAACAUAUUAUCAAAAGUUGGUGGAAAAGCUGAUUUACUUAUCACAUACACGACCUGGUAUUGCAUUUGUUGUAAGUUUAGUAAGCUAGUUUAUUCUCUCACCCUACGCAAAACAUCUUGAGGUAGUUUAUCGGAUUCUCAUAUACUUGAAAAGUACAUCAGGAAAGGGUUUACUCUUUUAGAAGACUACACAAUAAACAAUAAAGACAUACACUGAUGUUGAUUGAACAGGUUCAUUCAUUAACAAAAGAUUCACAUCAGGAUACUAUACUUAUGUCUAGAGAAAUAUGAUUACGAAGCUAGUAGAGAUUGACAAACAUUUCAUAAAAGAGAAGAUUGAUAGUGGAGUUCUGUGCAUGUCUACCAUCUGUUCCUACUACCCAACAAACAGCUGAUAGUACGAAGCAUGUAGAUAUUGAUAGACAUUUUAUGAAAGAAAAGAUUGAUAGUAGAGCUUUGUGCAUAUCAUUUGUUUCUACUACGCAACAAAUAACUAGUUUCUUCACCAAAUGACUUCUUAGACCUAUAGUUUUGAGCUCUUCGUGAGUUGAGCACGAUAGAUAUUUAUGUUCCAGCUUGAAGAGGUGUUGGAUUUUUAGGAGAUAAAAUAAGAAGUAAGAUUGCAAAUAAAAUUUGGAAUUACAGUUUCAGAUUUUAAGGAGUUUUUGUUUUCUACUUUCUAGCCUAGAGAUUUGCUCUUUUAUGUUUUGAUUUCUUGAUUUUAUGGCCUUCCUAUUUUGAUGGUGAAGGAAAAUUCCAUCUUCUACAUUUGUGAACGCAAGUAAGUCAGGAACUUUCAAGAUCAUGAGCACGUUUGACUUGCGAAGUGAAAUAUCGAAAUUUUGGAACAGUUCUAGAACUUCACUAUUCAUUGGCAUUCAGUAUAUAGUGAAUAUAUAUUUUUUUUUGGUUAGGAAAAAAAAUAAUUUCUGAAUAUCCACAUGAUAUAUUCAUUUGGAAAAAGUGGAGAUAGCCGGCGGUUCAUUGCUUAAUUGCGUUAUUGAGAAAGGUCGAGUAGUCCUACUCAACAUGUCCUAACCUUUUCAUGCCUAUGGCAUGUGCUUAGAAGUUAGAAAGUAGUAUAAGCUAGGGUCAAAAUCCGUACUUUUCAUGCCUAUUCCCUUCGUGAUUUAUAUUUUAUCUAAAAGAAGUAACCCUUAUUACAAACCUAUAUAGUUGGAGAGGACGCGAUUACUUUUAAUAGGUUUGAUCUGAGCAGAAAUCCACAGAACUCUCGACAGGACAACAAGAACAAAAGUGAGUAAUAAAACAGGAUUUUAUUAACAAUUAAACUCCUACAGUCUGCUACAUUAUAGUAACAUAAACCCAAGGUUAAUACAAUAAGACACCAGCACAAACAAGAUUUGAACAGCCUACAGUUAAGAAAAAGGGGAUAUAACAAUUUCUUUACAUGUUAACAGACACUAAUUAAGUAAAAAAUAGAAAAAAGACUACAGCACUUCAGAAAUAUCUAAGCACAGCUUCCUUGGAUGUUAGCUGCCCUCAUCUUGAGGAAAAGCAAAGUGAAGGACAUGGUAUCAAUAGUAACUCCCCAUGUGGGAAGGGUUUGGAAUAUCUGAAUCUCAUUUUCUUCAAUCAGGCAAGUAAUUUGCUUCUAGCAGCAUUUGAGAAAAUGACCCUGACCAAUUGGUGAGGCUUGAAUCGCAAACUCCAUGUUCAAGACCAUAAUCAACAGCAUCAGCAGAGCAGGUUCCAUCCAGAUCUGGUGUAGCCUGAACCCAAUAUACACUAGCCUCUGCUGUUGCUUGACUUGCUAGAACCCCAUCUGCCUCGUCAUAUCCACCACUAAAAUCAAUCAUCUUAAAACAGAAAUCAUCAUCCUGUGUUGAGGCAGCCUCCCCAUCAUUUUCGACGCACUCAACCUCAAUUGACUGCAAGUUCUCUGUAGGAUUAAAUGCAUAUAUAAUUGGUUCGGGUGCAACAUUGCUCGUGGAAGUAAUAUCUGAAUCAUCAGCCAUCAGAUAACUUUCAAGAUCCUGCACAUUCUCAAAAUAAAUGCACUCAGAAUGGUCGAAUUCUGCCCAAUUAUCAAAGACCGGUUCAAGCUCCAAGUGCUGCUGUUGGUUUUCUACGGCCACAGAGAAACCCAUAAUCUGUUGCUGAUGUUGAUCUAAUUCAUCGAUCCUGGGCUUUUGCGGUAUGGUGUUUGUUGCAUCAUCAACAAUUUCACUGUCAGCAUCCCUCUUCCUCUUUUUAGUUGUUGCGGUUGUUGUAGUUUGUACUGUCUCAGUGGAGUGGACUUCUUUCUUUCUCAAUCGACACAAGACAAUUUGUUCAGAAAGUGAUGGCAGGCUGUACUCAAACAUGAACCAGGAGCCAUUCUGGUCAGAUUUCGGAUUUUGGUAAGUGAAAAGCCUUCUGAUGACAGAGACUUUGCAGUCGGGGUCGAUGGAGACAUUGAAAGGAGGGUCUUUGAACUCUUGAUGCCAUGUACCAGGCCCGCAGCUAAUUUUGCGCACAAAGUUCCUCCCUUUCUUGAUGAGUUGAGUGAAGAAGAAGAGAUCCUCGCCAUGACGUUUGGGGAAGGAUUCCCAGAUUUGCCAAGGUUCUUUGGCUUGGUCGCCAAAGAUAUGGGUAUCUCUAAUGGGAGUAUGGAUGGUGGUGAAGAGUUUAGGGUUUGUGAUUCUAGGGUAGAGAUAGAAACGGACUAGUUCUUCAUCAUCGGGACGGAAACGAUAACCAUGAGGUAGUUCAGGGGUUAGGGUUUCUGGUUUUUGUGGUACAAACUGUACCCUACUGCUAUGUAACGACAUAGCUGUCAGUUGGAAUUAAAGAAAGGUACGAGAAUUAACGAGGAACAAAGUCGUAGGAAAUAAAAAAACUGUAUUUACUUACAGAAACAUCAAAGGAGAGAAACAAAUCUUCUUUCUCGAAGAUAAAACACAGAGAGAACUACUUGCUUACUUUCUUUAACUUCUUUCUUUAAUUCUCGGUGAUUGAUAAAGAAAGAAAUUGGUGGAAACAAGACAGAAGAUUAUAAAACCAAACCCUAAAGAAUUGCAGAUAGAAAAUCGAAAACACACUAAAAAUCAAAGCGCGUAACUAUAAAGCCAUGUCUCCCACACCAAUAUAUUUAUAUAAUAGGGUUUGUUGUUGAGGCGGUUGCGGUACAACGGUCACUAAGAUUUUUGACAAGCUUCCUAUUAAUCUGUUGCUGACGUGGGAAAGGAACAUGAAGUGUCAGUGUACGGUACCGUACUAGUUAACGUGUCGCUAAUGCACGUGCAAGGUAUUGAGUGGGUGAAUUGUGAGCAAAUAAAGAAAAGAGACCAAAGCUUAACUUGAUAAGUGGGUUUGCAUUGGAUGACUUUUGAGUCUUUAGGAUUCGUGGGCUCUACAAACUAGUUUGUGGGCCCUAAUAACAGGGACACUCUUUUUAUGUUUUGCAAAAUGGGUAAUGAUUUGUUGACGAUCGAUGUGAUUGAUUGUCUUCGCUUAGGUUGUGGAAGAUGAUGAUGUAAGAAGAAGCCAUUCUGAAUUUGAUGCCGUGUUUGGUAACGACAAACAAUUAUCAUUUUAGAUUUCAUACAUUCAGGUUAGUAAGUAAGAGUGGCUGGUUUCACUUUGAGUGUUACUCUUAGUUCAUAAAUUUAGAUUUCUUCCUGAAUGUUUCUCUUCAUCUCAUUCUCGCAUUAUUGAAGGCUCGAUGUAGUGAAUUUUUAGAUUAUUAAUGUGGAAAAACUGCAGCCUAUUUGAGUCUCCAUUGUAAUUAUGGCAUUGGGAUGCUUAUGCAUGAAUCGUAGGUAAUAUAUUGAAUUCUGGGUUUGGUACUAGGAAGAGCCAUGUUGUUGUUCUCCCACAAGGAGAGAUUGGUUUUGUUUGUGGUGUCGUGGUUUGAUGAACUGGUAGAUGACUUGAGGUUUUUGGUUUCGCAGCAGGGGACAUUGGAAGAUCCCUCAAGUAUUUAAGGAAUCACUAAUUUCAAUUAUUCAGGUUAUUAUUAUGUCCCUAUGAGCUCUUUUUUUCUUGUGGAAAUUAUAUUAAUAAAUCUAUGUACUUCAUGCUAUAACUGAUAAAUUCGAGGCUGCCUACUGUAGACAUGUAUUUAUCCUACUCAUAACUAUCCAGUUGGAAAGGAUCAGUGUAGGAAAAUUGGUUGGUGAGAAGGGGAAUGGUUCUUACACUUGACUUUUUAAGUGCUUGAUAAAAUGCCGAAUUGGAGGAACAUAAUGUUCAGUUAGCAGCCAACACAAAUAAUGUAGAGGAAAACAAUCAGUGAUAUAGAGGGAAAGAAGAACGUGAGUGUAGGGAAGAAAAGGUGCAUGGAAAGUGGCUAAAUGGCUACUAUGUUCACGACCUUCUCUAUCAAGGGAUAAACGGUGAACAAGUAGCGUCUCCAAGUACAGGAAUAGCCUUGAAAUGCUCCUCCUCCUCCUCCUCCUCCAGUACCUACUACUGUGUAGGAGGCAGAGGCAUUCUACUUUCAUAUUUUUAUUCAACAAGUUAUCCACUGUCAACCUUCUUUAUUAGUGGUAUUUAUUCUCUGGUCUCGAAUGAAUUAUGGUAGUGCAUACUGUGAACUGAUCUUUUUGUUCUUUGGUUGUAAUUGAUCUCACUUUGAACACACUCUGUUAGAGGGUGAGUGAUGUACGAAGUUACAUUAAGACUUAUGUAUGGCCAUCUCAGAUGAGAGAGUCUAUGGUUCAAAACACUUAUGAUAGCAUCUACUGUGAUACCGAUCGUGAAUUUUCAUAUGGAAAGCUAAAAUAAUUGUAGUUGACUUUUUCUUUCCUUUAGUUGUUUGGACAGUUUCAUCUUUGUUCAUAAUCAUUUUAUGAUAAUUUUUCUUAUGGUCUAUACCCUUAGUAAUAUUAGCUAUCUUUACAUGUUAAUUAUAACUAUGUCCUCAUAGGAUGAGCAACUGAAGCCAUGUCCAAAGUCUUGGUGGGGAGUUAGAUCUGUUUUUCAUACCUGUACCAGCGUCAUGUCACUUGGACACGAGUAUUUGGAGGUAAAUUGAAGAAGGGACAGAGCAUCAGAGGCACUAUCACCAUUGAUUUUCCUCAGAAAAAUUAAUCUCUUUGCCUCAAUAAAGUCCUCACUGUUAAUCUUGUAAGUAUUUAGUUUCGCUUUUUUAAUUAUAUACCUUCUUGGUUGAUCUUGUCCUCGUUUCUUGGACUUUUGUUUUGCCUAAUUCUCCUCCUCUUCUUCUUCUUCUUCAAACCAUUCAACAAUAUGUAUCUUUCUUAUAAUUCUAAAUGGUUUUCCAUUUCAUUUCUUUAAUUUAUUUUACAAGUGAUAUUAUAAUUUGAUUAAUGAUUUUCCUCUUAUAAUAUUCCAAGUGUUGUAUGAUUUGGUUUCUUUCAAGUUACUUUGAUUUUAAAGAUUUUCUCUUUCACCUUUGAAGACCAUGGCAAAAGACAAUAGACGAAAACGUUACAAGAAAGCGAAUAAAGAUAUGAUUUGUAGAUUGCCUAAUGAGAUUCUUGGUCAUGUACUCUCGUUUCUUCCUAUAAAAGAUGCUGUGCGAACCAGCAUUUUGUCCAAAAGUUGGAGAGAACUCUGGACAUCACUUGCCAAUUUUAAUUUUGAUGAUCACAUUCGGUGGCAACUAUCAGCAGAAAGAGAGACCACCUUUGGGGAUUUCAUGGAUAGGUUUUGUUAUCUUCAUAACUCUCCUGAAAACUCUAUUGCAAAAUUUCAUCUCAGAGUGCAUGGAAGCUAUCCUUCUUCCUGUAUAAGCAAUAGAUUUCUGCUGCAAUUAAGGACAAUCUUGAGGAGCUUAUACUAUACACGUCUGAUCAUGUUCUGUUGCCUCGGAGAAUUUUUAGUUGUGAGAAAUUAGUGGCUUUGGACCUUAGUUAUCGAAUUGAUAUUGAUCUUCUUGGGGUUGGUGUACGCUUUCCAUGUCUCAAGGUCCUUCAUCUUCAAGACCUCCUGAUGCUUGAUGAUCAUGCUUCCAUAGAGAAACUAUUAGCAGGUUCCCCGGUCCUUGAAGCACUGAAAAUUGAACAUGAUUGUGAAUCCAGGAACGCCUUACGUACAUGCUCAAGCUCAUUGGAACGCUUGAUCAUAAGAUUUACAUUUAUUGCUUAUUACGUGAAGGAUCCUGGUUGUAGAGCACAAGGUGGUGUUUGGCUGGGCGGUGCAACCACUAUUUUAUCCAAUUUUAAAAUUAUUUUUGUUUAAAAUUAAUAUUUUUACUAUAUUUUAAAUUAUUUUAAUGUGCUGAUAUUAAAAAUAUUUUUUUAAAAAUAAAAAAUAUUAUUUUAAUGCUUUUCCGAAUAAAAAAUAAUAAUUUAAAAAACAACACUACCAUAUUUGAGCUUCUUACACUAACUGGUGUCCCACGAUGCUGCAGCCUCUGUACUCACUGGUAGAGGCAGCUCUCCGUGUUGCUUAUGAACAUGUCUUCACCAUACAAGUAGAUGAUUAUAUUGACAUGGCAGUUCAGUUUUUGAGACCAAUAAUGCCUAUUGUCAAGAACUUACAAUUGUGUGAUUCUACUAUGAGGUAAGUUUCUUCGUCAUUUUACUGUUGUGCUUAAAUUUUCCAUGGUCUGAUCACACCCUCCCUCACAUAGACAUCCCUUUACAGACGCUAUCAGACACAGUUCAUAAGAAGUUGCCUGGCUUUGACAAUCUUCCUGAUUUCAGAAUUUGACUCGUUUGGAGAUUGAAGCUAGUGGAAAUGAUCGUUGGUUGGUUUUGCAUGAGAUAAUCAAUUGCUCUCCUAAGGUGGAAGUCUUCAUCUUAUACAAGAACAUGGUCAGUUCCUAUAAGAUACAUGCUAUGUUUUCUGCAAGUAAGAUCCGAAUUGUUCUUCUUACUGACUUUAAUCAUUCAGAUGGAGAAAACUGCCGAAUCAUUGAGGAGCAUAAUUCAAUAUGUUUAUUGUCUUUGUAUUUCAGGUCAUAGGCUUUAUUUUCCAUUGAAAGAUAAUAUGUAAAUGACAAGUUCAUGGUUUACAAUGGCAGAAGACUUUCAUUUUUACAAGGAAAAACCAUUAUUUAUGUAUAAUGUUCGAAAUAUAAGAGAUCCACAUUCAUAUUUUAUGGUGAUUACUUGUCAUUUUAUCGUAUUAAAUCCCUUCACACUGCAAAAGGGAUUUUUACUGUUUUCUAUAUUUUGUUUUCCCCACCUGUACUAUAUGAUAUCCCUUCACACUGCAUAAGACCUCUUCCCCCCCUCUAAACAUGCUAGUUUUUUCGUGCGAGUAUGUUACCUCCAUUUGCAUCAUCUUUAAUUGCCAGCAUUCCCUGUGUAACAAUUAAUUGACUUGUAACAACUAAAAUCAAGAAAUCUUGUUAGAUAAAGUAUGAGAAAUGUUUCUUGUUUUUUUCUUAACCUAAUUAGAAGUGUAGCGAUAAUAGAAUAGAUAGCCCCUUGAAUGGUUUAAGAAUAAAUAGGUUGAUCGUAAUAUAAUAUCCAUGAAGUAGUCUUCUUUUCUUUUUUUCUUCUUCUUUUUUGUUAAUUAAAGCAACUAUGAUUGUAAGGUUGUGUGGUUUAUAAAAAGUUUUUUUUUAUUAACGUCGAUGUCCAUGUUUUGCGCGCGUCUCGACUAAUUUCACGGGUCCUGAAGUUAAUGACUAUGUAAGCCUCCAGUAGUUAUCAUAUUAGUAACCACAUGACUCAAACCUGAAACAACAGGGGAGCAAAUAGCUUUUAUUAUUGAAACAUCAACUAAAUAGUUAUAAAAUGUUUUAUUUUAAAGAAUGGCUUGAAGGUUAUAUGGAACAACUUAAAAUGAUGAGAAUGAAACCUUUUAUUAAGGCUUUGUGUAUUGUUUUUAUUUCUCUGAUUUGGAGGUAGGGGCAUUAAAAGUUGUUGGCAACAUCAUUUCUUUAGCUGGAUCUUCUGAGUCUGGGCCCAUGACACGCUGGUCAUGUAGGUUAGGUGAGCACAAGAAACCAUUGCAGCAACUAGAAGUGAGUUUGACAGCAGAAAUAAUAAUUUAUCAGGUAAAAAAAUAUAAGUAAACAACACAUUUACUAAGCAAAGCAAGUUGUUGAGAGAGAGAGGAUGUUGCCCUAAAUGAAGGGGGAAAAAAGAAAGAAGAUAUCUGAUUUUAAAAUAGUCCUAGACGAAAACACAAAUACCACUCAAGCAAAAAGGGGUAAAAAGCAUGGCGGUGGACCUGUGCAAACUGAUUUAUCAAGCAUAAAAAAGUCUUGAAUGAUUGAAAUAUGAGAAAAAGAAGAAAGCAAUGACCAACAAAGGAGAAGAAUUCGAGGAGGAAAUUUAAAGAAAACAUAAAAGAUCAUUGAAAGAUAGAAGGGAAUUUGUAGCAUGAAUGAAUGAAGAAGGUUUGAAUUUCAGCUAAGAAAAAGCAAAGCAAGAAGAAGGCGACGUCGUAUCUACAAAUAUGAAUUCGAAGCAAUUUGCAAAAGGUGGAGCUGAAGCUAUACAGGCAAGCCUGUUUGCAGAGAGAACAAAAUAACAUUAAAAAAAACAAAAUUCGAGAGAUAAGACAAAACAGCAACCCUUAUAAGGCAGCACAAGUAGGAGCAACAUGACAGGUAAAGAAAAAAAGGGAUAAUGGCGAGAUCAACCGAUAAUUAAAUUGGAAAAAAAACAAAUGAAGAAUUCCCAAUAUUCAAAGUCAAAUGAAAGUAAAAUAAGCUGCAAAGGAAGGGGAGGAGAAGGUGGAUGAAGCAGAAAGGAACGAAGUUUUUAAAUAGAAAAAAAAAAUGCCCACAACGAAAGUAAAAUAACAUGGGAGGAGCAACAAAGCAAGACAGAUCAACAAAGAACACAAAUGGAUAGAAAAAACUAAACACUUAGCCAAAAACAAAUUAUAUUUAAUCUCAUAAUUAAUCCAAAAGGGUAAUUUAAAAUCAGCAGAAACAACUCGAACAACAGACACCGAAACAGGUAUGGCAUUAAACAAAAGUCAAAAGAAGAUAAGACUUUAGUAUUUUGGUUCGGUGGGAGGACUGGUGCUUAUUGGAAAUGAAAAUAUUCAACGACCUGUCCAUUCUUAUCAAUGCUUACCUAUUUCAUGGUUACAUAUUUUCUAUGGUGGUGUCGGUUCCUAAGCUCUCUUUUCUUGAUUACAUUUUCAACCAAAAGGCCAUAAAUGCUUGCAAAACCCCUUAAUUUUCACUAAGUAAUUAAGCCCUUACACCUUCUGCAAGAGCAGCACCAAAUAACCCUAAAUGGCUAGGAAUCCCUCAACAUGAAAGAUAACAGAGCUAAAGAAAUGAUUGAAUGAAAACGUGAGGGCCAACCUAUUUGAACUUGUAGUGGAUGAACGCCAGUGAUAAAAUAAAAAGGAACAAAAAUGCAGGUACAUGGAUAAUGAAAUAAUUUUUAUAACUAUGAAUAAUUGACAGCAAUAAACAUGAAAAAGUGUUGAGGAAAAGGGAAAAAAGAAAAGAAAAACUCAAGUCCCUCUAAUAAAUGAGAUUUUCUCAUAACUAUUCUAAAAAAUAGAGAGAAUAAUAUCAAAAUACAAGACAUGACAGUCGAGAAGAGUUUAGAGCAAGAGAUAUUCACUUAAAAACUGCACCUGGGUUUCAAACCAGUAGACAAAGCAAGGCUUGAGGAUAACAAGGUUAAGACCAAACAAAGUAGAGAAUAGAAAACCCAAAAGGGGAAAAAUAGUUUGCUUGUAACCUGAAAGGAUACCAAUUAAUCCGGACAUAGGAAAAAUUAGGGUUUGUUUGAGGCCAAGUUGCCAUGGCAGUCCUGAUCGAGGAUGCUGAAAGUUGAGGAAACCAGUCUCCGAAGUCAAAGGCAUUAAAUAGAAAGAGCUCAUGUGUCAAAACAAGACGUGUAAGCAUAGGGAAAAGUGGUAACUGGAAACUGGACUAAAAUGGAAUGGUAAGGGCAACUAUAUUUAUCUGAUCAGAAGAUAUCGGGGAAUGCCAAGACGAAGGGCCCAGAGCGUAAAGAGAAGGAGGGGGAAAGCUGAAACAUACAAGAAUUCCCAUUUCAAGCCCAACUCCAUCAAAUCAAAACCACCAGAGCUCUAGCCAAGAGAAUGUUGACAAAAACCUGGAGAGAUAAAACUUGUAGUGUGCGUACAAUGUCUUUAUUUUAGUUCUUUAGUUUUGAGCUGUAACUGUAAUAAUGGCUUAUAAGGAUGACAUGGAUGAAAUUAAAUAUUGACUAGGGAGGACCAAGCCAUGAAAAAAGUGGAAAGGGACCUAAACAAGGAAGAAGAAGAAGAAGAAAUC
Molecule: long non-coding RNA, 89788 nt
Filed under: Populus trichocarpa (black cottonwood)
Lineage: Eukaryota; Viridiplantae; Streptophyta; Magnoliopsida; Malpighiales; Salicaceae
Description: long non-coding RNA (PTRI_LNC003352)
Source: RNAcentral